RNAcentral lists this long non-coding RNA (120913 nucleotides) under Lotus japonicus. RNAcentral describes it as "long non-coding RNA (LJAP_LNC001816)". Lineage: Eukaryota; Viridiplantae; Streptophyta; Magnoliopsida; Fabales; Fabaceae. The record is from RNAcentral.
GGUUCCACAUGUUUCCUCUAAGGCUUAUCAUUCUUCUUCUUCUGAUCAACACCAUCAGAGGGAUCAGUCUCUUCAGAGGAUUCCUCUACAAUCAUUCUUCUCUUCUUCUUCUUCUUCUUCUUCUUUGGAGGAGAAUCAAAUUCUGGAGCUGGUGGCAGGGUUCUGAAAAAUUCAUCCACAUCUAUUUCAAAACCUUGUUCCCUCAUAUCAGCUAGAUAGUGCAAGAUAGCAACUAGGUCAUCAGCUUUGGACCAUAGAGGGUAAUCGUUCAGAGGGACUCUUCUCUGUCGGACUUCAUCAGACGUGUCUUCUUGAACAGGUGCAACCUUUGUUUUAAUCAAUCCCAUCUUUUUCAUGGAAGUGGGAGUGAAGACAUCACCAACAACAGUUGUCAGAUCCUCUGUGCAGCCUGCUAUAGUCAGAUCUUCUAUCAAUUUGCUUUCCAGGAAGAGAUCUGAGAGCAAUCUUCCGAAAGGAAUGUAUCUGAUUGCAGAUUUUGGAGAAGCAGUGGUUCUGGACUUCUUGAUGCACUCUUUGAGAUAAGAGAACAGGAAGAAAGGAAGGCAGAUCUUCUUGCGGUCCUGAAUGAAGAAAAGCAUCACUUUCUGACAGAAAUUGAUGUAAUCUGGGGAGCUUCCCUUUGACCUUUGAUUGAUGCAAUGCAGAAGAAUCUUGUGCCAAAUCCUCAGCUUAGGAUGAAGUUCUACCACUUUGCAGUCAUUCUUUCCUGGCUGCCAGUUUGUGUAGAGAGUUUGGUUAACAACUUCUUUGGUCUUGGGUUUCACCUUUGAUUCCAACAGUUGGAAUCUGUAGCCUGUACUGGUAUCUUCACCCAGAAGAUCAAUGAUUGAUUUCUCCGUGAUGAUAAUUCUUCUGCCAGCGAUGUAGGAGACCACUUGGUUAUCAUCACAGUCGGCAUGCUUCUAGAAUUCCUUUACCAAUUUGAUGUAAACUGGACCAGGAAGCCUGUUGAAGUAUUCUUCCCAGCCUUGAGCUUUUACUUCAGGACGAAGAUCAAACCCGUGUAAGAUCAAUAUUGAGGAUGCCUAAUAUCAAACCCGUGUACCAUCGGGAUGCCUAAUAUUGAGGAACAUAUCUUCCUCAAACACCUUCCUUCUGAGCUCUUCUAAUGCCAUUCUGUAUGAUGCCAUUUUUUUUCUUCCUGAAUAUUAUUCGAGGUGUGAAGCUUACCUUUCUCUCCAACGUUUUUAUAGGCUUCACUUUCUCUCUGAAAGUUAAUGCUCUUACAGUUUCUCGAGGUUAAGUUCUUGGUAACUGACCCUUCUAUUUACUCACUUGACCGGUGGUAAACGUUCAUCCCUUGCAUUAACUCUUCUAUUUAUUAUCGCCUAACUCUGAUUCUUACAUCGUCUUCAUUUUCUUUAAACUUAGACCUUCUCUAAGGGGGAGUACCUUGUACUUCAAGCUAAGUUUUUCACACCCCAAGCUUUUUGCUUAUGACAAAAAGGGGGAGUAAACCCAGUUUUUGAUGUGUAAGAUGUGUUAGUGUGACUUAUUUUUCUUUUGGAGAUUUUAAGAGUUCCACCUUCAUGACCAUAGAUGUGUCACUGGGCAAAUACAAGGAAUACAUUUCACUUCGUCUGAAGUGAUUCUAAGUUGACUCUGAUACCCAAGACUCUGAUACCCUGUUCAUGACUCUGAUCACUUAUGCGCUCUGAUUAUUCGUUUUUCAUCUUUGUCAUAAGCUUUUCACUCUGAACUCUUAUAUGUUUUAGCUCAGAAUCUAGACUUUACUAACGUUUUCAUCAAGUAUUAGAUUCAGGGGGAGCUAAGCUCAGAAUCAAGCAGUGACUUGAAUUCAGAAUGAGCAAGAUAAACUAUUCACAUCAGGAUAAGUCUUAUUCUAUAUCUCUAAACUCUGAGUGAAUUCAGUUUAAUGUUUAAGAAUUGUUCAUCAAAAAUCUUAGUUUUGUCAUCAUCAAAAAGGGGGAGAUUGUAAGAUCAAGUUUUGAUCUAGUAGUACAACUCUAUGUUUUGAUGAUUACAAGUUAACCUUUUGAUAUGAACAAUUGUGGUACUCUAACGUGUUUUUCUGAGUGUGCUAUUUACAGGCUCUGACCUCAACUCAAUCUCACACAAAUCAGAAGCACUGUGUAUAAAGGGUAACCCAAGCAACGCUUUCGCAUUCACCAUGUUCAGUAUGAACAGUGGAAAAGCUUCAGAAGUUCUGAAGUUAUACAAACUCUGAUGUGGACUCAGUCGCUAGAAGCUCUGAAGAUCCAGAAGUUCUGACAACCAAGAAACACUGAAGGUUCAGAUGUUCUGAUGGUGUAGAAGACUCUGAAGAUCCAGAAGCUGAAUAGUGGAAACUCUGAAGUCCAGAAGCAAGAAACUCUGAAGGCCAUGUUCUUCCCUCUGAGUUCAGAAUCAGAAGAUACAAUGGUCAGAGGAUCUGUGCUAUCCCUCUGACUCUGAUCAACCGGCUUCACAAGUUCCAAUACGAAGCAUUCCUCUGAUCAGAAGUCUCCUAGGUUAAAAGGUCAAGUCGCUAUCCAAGUACAAAAGCAAGUGUACCUUCCUGACGACCUACCUAACGUUCUCAGCCACAGCAGAAGCUGGAUUUUCCAGAACUGCCCUCCAACGGUAGCAUUUCCCAUGCAACGCUCAACCCUAAUCCUUGGAGUAUAUAUAGAGGCUGAAGAUUGAAAGAAGCGGCCAGAGAAGAGAAUACAAGAAGCAACACACGCGCAAGAUAUUCAAAAUAUUCUAAGCCUUCUUUCAUCUGAAAUUCAUUGUGUUUACUAUCAGCUUUUUAGAAGCAAAUCCCUUGUAAACAUUUCUUUGAUAAACAGUUUGUUUAGUUCCUUUAGGAGAUCAAGGUUGAUCGGAUCCUAGAGAAGACUAAGAGAGUGAAUCUUAGUGUGAGCUAAGUCAGUGUAAUUGUUAGUCACUUGUAGGUUUCAAGUGCAGUUGUAACUCUUACCUGAUUAGUGGAUUGCCUUCAUUCUAAGAAGGAAGAAAUCACCUUAACGGGUGGACUGGAGUAGCUUGAGUGAUUUAUCAAGUGAACCAGGAUAAAAUCCUUGUGUACUUUUCUAUCUCUUAUCUUUUGCACUUAGUUCUCGAAAAGAUUUGUUAAAAUCUUUAAGGUGGUAGUUUUGUACUGAAAACGUUAUUCAAACCCCCCUUUCUACCGUUUUUCAUACCUUCAAUUGGUAUCAGAGCGCAAGUUCUGAUUACCACACCUAACAGUGUUCAGUGAUCCGGGCCGGUGUGAAAAACAAUGGCUGCCACCACCAGUGAAGCUCAAAGAGAUGGUUACAAUGCAAAGCCUCCUAUGUUCGACGGUCAAAGGUUCGAAUAUUGGAAAGAUAGACUGGAAAGUUUCUUUCUGGGUUUCGAUGCAGAUCUCUGGGAUAUUAUUGUGGAUGGCUACGAGCGUCCAGUUGAUGCAGAUGGCAAGAAGAUCCCAAGGUCAGAGAUGACUGCAGAUCAAAAGAAGCUGUACUCACAACAUCACAAAGCAAGAGCAAUUCUUCUAAGUGCUAUUUCCUAUGAGGAGUACCAGAAGAUUACAGAUCGUGAGUUUGCUAAAGGCAUUUUUGAUUCUCUGAAGAUGUCUCAUGAAGGAAACAAGAAAGUCAAAGAAUCAAAGGCAUUGUCUUUGAUCCAAAAGUAUGAAUCCUUCAUCAUGGAGCCAAAUGAGUCCAUUGAAGAAAUGUUCUCCAGAUUUCAACUGCUUGUAGCUGGCAUACGUCCUCUCAACAAGAGCUACACAACAAAAGAUCAUGUCAUAAGGGUCAUCAGGUGUCUUCCUGAAAGUUGGAUGCCUUUGGUGACUUCAAUAGAGCUCACGAGAGACGUUGAGAAUAUGAGUUUAGAAGAACUCAUCAGCAUUUUGAAAUGCCAUGAGCUGAAGCGCUCAGAGAUGCAAGAUCUGAGGAAAAAGUCCAUAGCCUUGAAAUCCAAAUCUGAAAAGGCUAAGGUUGAGAAGUCAAAGGCUCUUCAAGCUGAAGAAGAAGAAUCUGAAGAAGCAUCAGAAGAUUCUGAUGAAGAUGAGCUGACUCUGAUCUCCAAGAGACUCAACCGCAUCUGGAAGCACAGGCAGAGCAAGUUCAAAGGCUCUGGAAAGGCAAGAGGAAAGUCUGAAUCCUCAGGUCAGAAGAAGUCAUCAAUCAAGGAAGUCACUUGCUUUGAGUGCAAAGAAUCAGGGCACUACAAAAGUGACUGUCCAAAAUUGAAGAAGGACAAGAAGCCAAAGAAGCACUUCAAGACCAAGAAGAGUCUGAUGGUGACAUUCGAUGAAUCAGAGUCAGAGGAUGUUGACUCUGAUGGUGAAGUCCAAGGACUCAUGGCUAUUGUCAAAGACAAAGGAACAGAGUCAAAGGAAGCUGUUGACUCUGACUCAGAAUCAGAAGGAGAUCCAGACUCUGACGAUGAAAAUGAGGUAUUUGCUUCCUUCUCUACCUCUGAACUGAAACAUGCUUUGUCUGAUAUCAUGGAUAAGUAUAACUCCUUGUUGUCUAAGCAUAAGAAGCUGAAAAAGAACUUAUCUGCUGUUUCUAAAACUCCUUCUGAACAUGAGAAAAUCAUAUAUGAUUUGAAAAAUGAUAACCAUGCUUUAGUUAAUUCUAACUCUGUGCUUAAGAAUCAAAUUGCUAAGUUAGAAGUUAUUGCCUGCGAUGCCUCUGAUAGUAAGCAUGAAUCUAAGUAUGAAAAAUCUUUUCAAAGAUUCCUGGCUAAAAGCGUAGAUAGAAGCUUAAUGGCUUCAAUGAUCUAUGGUGUAAGCAGAAAUGGAAUGCAUGGCAUUGGCUAUUCUAAACCAAUUAGAAAUGAGCCUUCUGUGUCUAAAGCUAAAUCCUUGUAUGAAUGCUUUGUUCCCUCUGGUACCAUAUUGCCUGAUCCUGUACCUGCUAAAGUUGCUAAAAACCCUCUUAAAAAGGGAUCUUUCUCUAUGACUAAAUAUCAUGCAAAUAUUCCUUUAAAAUAUUAUGUUGAGACACCCAAGGUGAUCAGAACCUCUGGGGUAACUAACAAAAGAGGACCCAGAAAGUGGGUACCUAAGGACAAGAUUAUCUAUGUUGCAGAUAUCCUUGAUAGCUCCACUGAAACACCAAUCAUGGUAUCUGGACAGUGGAUGCUCGCGUCACAUGACGGGAGAAAAGCGUAUGUUCCGAGAGCUGAAACUUAAGCCUGGAGGCGAAGUUGGCUUCGGAGGAAAUGAAAAGGGUAAAAUUAUUGGUACUGGUACUAUUUGUGUAGAUAGUAGUCCAUGCAUUGAUAAUGUUUUAUUGGUAGACGGCUUAACACAUAACUUAUUGUCUAUAAGUCAAUUAGCUGACAAGGGUUAUGAUGUUAUAUUCAAUCAAAAGUCCUGCCGGGCUGUAAGUCAGAUCGAUGGCUCUGUUCUGUUUAACAGCAAGAGGAAGAACAACAUUUAUAAGAUCAGAUUAUCUGAGUUGGAGGCUCAGAAUGUGAAGUGCCUUCUGUCUGUUAAUGAAGAGCAGUGGGUAUGGCAUAGACGGUUAGGGCAUGCCAGUAUGAGAAAGAUUUCUCAGCUGAGCAAGCUAAACCUUGUCAGGGGCUUACCCAAUCUGAAGUUCGCUUCAGACGCUCUUUGUGAAGCAUGUCAGAAAGGCAAAUUCACAAAAGUCCCUUUCAAGGCAAAGAAUGUUGUCUCAACCUCAAGGCCGUUAGAACUUCUGCAUAUCGACCUGUUUGGACCAGUGAAAACUGAGUCUAUAGGUGGCAAGAGAUAUGGGAUGGUUAUCGUUGAUGACUAUAGCCGCUGGACAUGGGUAAAGUUUCUAACCCGCAAGGACGAGUCUCAUGCUGUGUUCUCUACCUUCAUUGCUCAAGUGCAAAACGAGAAGGCUUGUAGAAUUGUGCGUGUCAGAAGUGACCAUGGUGGAGAGUUUGAGAAUGACAAGUUUGAGAGUCUGUUUGAUUCCUAUGGAAUUGCACAUGAUUUCUCUUGUCCCAGAACUCCUCAACAAAAUGGUGUUGUUGAGAGGAAGAACAGAACUCUUCAGGAGAUGGCUAGAACCAUGCUCCAAGAAACUGGCAUGGCUAAGCACUUUUGGGCAGAGGCAGUAAAUACAGCAUGUUACAUUCAGAACAGAAUCUCUGUGAGACCAAUUCUGAAUAAGACUCCUUAUGAAUUGUGGAAGAACAUAAAACCCAACAUUUCUUAUUUUCAUCCUUUUGGCUGUGUUUGUUAUGUUCUCAAUACUAAGGAUAGAUUGCAUAAAUUUGAUGCUAAAUCUUCUAAGUGUCUAUUACUUGGUUAUUCUGAUAGAUCUAAAGGUUUUAGAUUUUAUAAUACUGAUGCUAAGACUAUUGAAGAAUCUAUUCAUGUUAGAUUUGAUGAUAAGCUUGACUCUGACCAGUCAAAGCUAGUUGAAAAGUUUGCAGAUUUAAGCAUUAAUGUUUCUGACAAAGGCAAAGCUCCAGAGGAAGUUGAGCCAGAGGAAGAUGAACCAGAGGAAGAAGCUGGUCCCUCUAACUCACAAACUCUGAAGAAGAGCAGAAUCACUGCAGCUCAUCCUAAGGAAUUGAUUCUGGGCAACAAAGAUGAACCAGUCAGAACCAGAUCUGCCUUCAGACCCUCUGAAGAGACCUUGCUGAGUCUGAAAGGAUUGGUGUCCUUAAUUGAACCCAAGUCCAUAGAUGAAGCUCUUCAGGACAAGGAUUGGAUUCUGGCCAUGGAAGAAGAAUUGAAUCAAUUCUCCAAGAACGAUGUUUGGAGCUUAGUGAAGAAGCCUGAGAAUGUCCAUGUUAUUGGAACGAAAUGGGUAUUCAGAAACAAGCUAAAUGAGAAAGGAGAUGUAGUCAGAAACAAGGCAAGGCUAGUUGCUCAAGGCUACAGCCAGCAGGAAGGAAUAGACUACACUGAAACAUUUGCUCCAGUAGCAAGACUGGAGGCAAUCAGACUAUUGAUUUCUUUCUCAGUAAAUCACAACAUAGUUCUACAUCAGAUGGACGUAAAGAGUGCCUUCCUAAAUGGUUAUAUCUCAGAGGAAGUCUAUGUUCAUCAACCCCCAGGUUUUGAAGAUGAAAAGAAACCAGACCAUGUGUUCAAAUUGAAGAAAUCACUCUACGGUCUGAAGCAAGCUCCCAGAGCAUGGUAUGAGAGACUUAGCUCAUUCCUUCUGGAGAAUGAGUUUGUAAGGGGUAAAGUAGAUACAACUCUCUUUUGCAAGACUUAUAAAGAUGAUAUCUUAAUUGUGCAAAUUUAUGUUGAUGAUAUUAUAUUUGGUUCUGCUAAUCAAUCUCUAUGCAAAGAAUUUUCUGAGAUGAUGCAGGCUGAAUUUGAGAUGAGUAUGAUGGGAGAAUUAAAGUACUUUCUGGGAAUACAAGUUGAUCAAACACCAGAAGGAACAUAUAUCCAUCAGAGCAAGUACACUAAAGAACUUCUGAAGAAGUUCAAUAUGCUGGAAUCUACAGUGGCCAAGACUCCAAUGCAUCCAACAUGCAUUCUGGAAAAAGAAGAUAUAAGUGGUAAAGUAUGUCAGAAGCUCUAUCGUGGCAUGAUAGGUUCACUUCUAUACUUAACUGCAUCUAGGCCAGACAUAUUAUUUAGUGUUCAUUUAUGUGCUCGUUUCCAAUCAGAUCCAAGGGAAACCCACUUAACUGCUGUUAAGAGGAUCCUAAGGUAUCUGAAAGGCACCACUAACCUUGGCUUGAUGUAUAAGAAAACAUCAGAGUAUAAGCUUUCAGGUUAUUGUGAUGCUGAUUAUGCUGGAGAUAGAACAGAGAGAAAAAGUACUUCUGGAAAUUGUCAAUUUCUGGGAAGCAAUCUAGUCUCAUGGGCAAGCAAGAGGCAAUCAACCAUUGCACUAUCAACUGCAGAGGCAGAAUAUAUCUCAGCAGCAAUAUGCAGCACUCAGAUGCUCUGGAUGAAACAUCAGCUGGAGGAUUAUCAGAUCCUUGAGAGCAAUAUCCCAAUCUAUUGUGAUAACACUGCUGCAAUUUCGUUGAGCAAGAAUCCUAUCUUGCAUUCAAGGGCAAAGCACAUUGAGGUAAAGUAUCACUUCAUUAGAGAUUAUGUGCAGAAGGGCGUACUUCUUCUGAAGUUUGUUGAUACUGACCAUCAAUGGGCAGAUAUCUUUACAAAGCCCUUAGCUGAAGAUAGAUUUAAUUUUAUUCUGAAAAAUCUAAACAUGGACUUUUGUCCAGAGUGAAGAUAGAUCAGAACCUCUGACUAUGAUACUUCUUGAUCAGAAGAUGUCUAGUCCAGAAGGUAACUCAAUCAGAGUGUGUGUGCCCACUGGUACUGACUCUGAAGCUGAGACAACAACACGUGCGUCAGAAUUUCUGAUGCAUAGUUCCUUGUGCCCGUGUGACAGUCUGUUAUGAUUGCGUGUAGAUAUGCUUAUCUCCUGUGUGUGAUUGUGUAUUUUACUGUUACUAUCUAUCUUUAAUUUUCAACCGUUGAUCUUAAAGUGCUUUUUGAAUCAACAACGGUUAUUUGAUAAAACCCACUAUACACACACGUUCUCUCUCACUUCCGGUUUUCACUCUCGCACUCUCUGCUUUUCAAAACCGCCUCCUUCUUGAUUUCUCUCUCGAUCUCUCUUCAUCCUUCAAACUUCAUCUUCUACCUCAAACCUUCAACCUCUUCAAAAUGGUGAGACAAACCAGAAGAUCUACUGCAGAUGCACCUCAGUUCCCUCACAUGGUAGUCGGUUUGGCAACGGGUCAACAGGGCUCUGAGAACCCAGCACAAGAACAAGCUCAAGCUCAAGAGGAGAUUGUUCCUAUUGCAGAACGGGGCUGUGCCGUUCACUGUGUAUUUCCUCCUGAGGAACUCCAAGUCCUGGCAGAAUGGAGAUUCAACCUCGACAACUUGGCUGCAAAUGGGUUUGAUCUCCGUCCUGAAGUCCAAGCUCAAGGUUGGGGAAACUACUUCAAUCGACUUCGAGGACCGGUGUAUGAGAAGCUGGUAAAGGAAUUCUGGAAGCACGCCGACUGUGAUGACACUCAGGUGGUUUCUUACAUACUGGGUAGGAAGAUCAUCAUCACGGAGAAGUCAUUCGUGAAUCUGCUAGGUGCAGAAACUGCUCAUGGGUAUCGGUUCUCACUGACGGAAUCGAAGCUGAAACCCAGAACCAAGGACAUAGUCAACAAGGCCCUGUACACCACCUUCAAACCGGGCAAGACGAGUUACAAGGUGAUGGACCUUCACCCCAAACUGAGAAUCUGGCACAAGAUCCUGCUCAACUGCAUCAAUCAACGACCAAAGGGCAGUUCUCCAGACUACAUCAACUUCAACCAGAAGGCGAUGCUGUUCUUCAUUCAAGACAAGGAGAAGAUCUGCCUUCCCUACUUCCUGUUCUCCUAUUUGAAGGAAUGCAUCCGGAAGUCUCGCACCACCGCCUCCAUCAAGUCUGCAAUCAAAUAUAUCCCUUUUGGGAGGCUGCUCUCAGACUUUCUCAUUGAAAGCAACUUGGUGCAAGAUUUGAUCGAUGCUGGUUGCACAGAGGACUUGAGCACAAUUGUCAGCGAUGUCUUCACUGCCAACUCUCUGAAGAAGAUGGGCUUAGUCCAGAAGAAGAUUGCUCCUGCUCAUGAGGACACAUCUUCUGAGAUCAGAGGAAGAAGAAUGCCUCUGAAUGACUACCCUCUGUGGACUCAAGCAGACCAUCCUGAAGCCAUCAGAUGCUAUGUUGAAGACCUCAGGGCUCAAGGAUUCGAGAUUGAUCUUGAUGAUUUUGUCAGCAGACUUCCACCACCUCCAGAGUAUUCUUCUCCUCCAAAGAAGAAAACCAAGAGGAAGAUGGUUCUGGAAGAAUCCUCAGAGGAAUCUGAUGUCCCUCUGGUCAAGAAACCGAAGAGCAAGCCUGCUGCUGAUGAUGGUGAUGAUAGUGAGGAUGGUCCUCCAAAGAAGAAGCAGAAGAAAGUCAGAAUUGUGGUGAAGCCUACUCGGGUGGAACCAGCUGCUGCAGAGGUCAGAAGGACUGAACCUCCUGCCAGAGUGACUCGAUCAUCAGCACAUACAAGUAAGCCUGCACUUACCUCUGAUGAUGAUUUGAAUUUAUUUGAUGCACUCCCAAUUUCUGCCUUACUCCAACACUCUUCAAAUCCCCUCACUCCUAUUCCUGAAUCCCAGCCAGCCGCACAAACCACCACUCCACCACAUUCCCCAAGAUCUUCAUUCUUUCAACCUUCUCCUACUGAAGCACCACUCUGGAAUUUGCUUCAGAACCAACCCUCUAGGUCAGAAGAUCCAACCUCUCUCCUCACCAUUCCAUACGACCCAUUACCUUCUGAACCCAUCAUCCAAAACCAACCAGAACCCAAACCAACAGAACCACAACCCAGAACGUCUGAUCACUCUGCUCCCAGAGCAUCAGCACGUCCUGCUGUCAGAACCACGGAUACAGACUCUUCAUCAGCCUUCACACCUGUAUCCUUCCCCAUCAAUGUCAUUGACUCUCCUCCCUCCAAUACCUCUGAAUCAAUUAGAAAAUUCAUGGAGGUUAGGAAAGAGAAGGUAUCUGCCUUGGAAGAAUAUUACCUUACCUGUCCAAGCCCUAGGCAAUAUCCUGGCCCUAGACCUGAACGUCUAGUUGACCCAGAUGAACCUAUCUUGGCCCAUCCUAUCCAAGAGGCAGAUCCCCUAGUUCAACAAGCUCACCCUGUCCCUGCCCAACAAGAGCCAAUUCAACCAGACCCUGAACCCGAACAAUCAGUAUCUAACCAAUCCUCGGUUAGAUCACCUCACCCUCUGGUUGAAACUUCAGACCCUCACCGUGGAACCUCUGAACCCAAUGCUCCCAUAAUUAACAUUGGUUCUCCACAAGGUGCCUCUGAAGCUCAUAGCAGCAAUCACCCAGCCUCUCCUGCACCCAACCUCUCCAUCAUUCCCUAUACUCACCUUCAACCCACAUCUCUCUCUGAGUGCAUCAAUAUUUUCAAUCAUGAAGCCUCCUUGAGGCUCCGCAAUGUGCACGGUCAGACUGACCUCAGUGAGAAUGCUGAAAAUGUGGCUGAUGAGUGGAACGAUUUGAGCACUUGGCUAGUGGCUCAGUUUCCCGUUAUGCUGCAGCUCCUGCAUGCAGAAGGAAGUCAGAGCAUUGAGGCUGCAAAGCAAAGGUUUGCUAGGAGGGUGGCUCUUCACGAACUAGAACAGAGAAACAAGCUUCUUGAAGCCAUUGAAGAAGCCAAGAGACAGAAAGAACAAGAAGAAGAAGCUGCACGUCAAGCAGCAGCUCAGGCUGAACAAGCCAGACUUGAGGCAGAACGUCUUGAAGCUGAGGCUGAGGCAGAGCGACUUGCACCAGUUAUGUUUACUCCUGCUGCUUCUGCUUCCAUUCCAGAACCUCAAGCUGUUCAGAACGUUCCUUCCAGCUCUACUCCGACAAGCUCAUCCAGACUCGACAUCAUGGAACAACGUCUUGACACUCAUGAAUCCAUGCUGAUUGAGAUGAAGCACAUGAUGAUGGAACUUCUGCGCCGUACUGACAAACCUUAGUUUUUAGGAUCNNNNNNNNNNNNNNNNNNNNNNNNNNNNNNNNNNNNNNNNNNNNNNNNNNNNNNNNNNNNNNNNNNNNNNNNNNNNNNNNNNNNNNNNNNNNNNNNNNNNNNNNNNNNNNNNNNNNNNNNNNNNNNNNNNNNNNNNNNNNNNNNNNNNNNNNNNNNNNNNNNNNNNNNNNNNNNNNNNNNNNNNNNNNNNNNNNNNNNNNNNNNNNNNNNNNNNNNNNNNNNNNNNNNNNNNNNNNNNNNNNNNNNNNNNNNNNNNNNNNNNNNNNNNNNNNNNNNNNNNNNNNNNNNNNNNNNNNNNNNNNNNNNNNNNNNNNNNNNNNNNNNNNNNNNNNNNNNNNNNNNNNNNNNNNNNNNNNNNNNNNNNNNNNNNNNNNNNNNNNNNNNNNNNNNNNNNNNNNNNNNNNNNNNNNNNNNNNNNNNNNNNNNNNNNNNNNNNNNNNNNNNNNNNNNNNNNNNNNNNNNNNNNNNNNNNNNNNNNNNNNNNNNNNNNNNNNNNNNNNNNNNNNNNNNNNNNNNNNNNNNNNNNNNNNNNNNNNNNNNNNNNNNNNNNNNNNNNNNNNNNNNNNNNNNNNNNNNNNNNNNNNNNNNNNNNNNNNNNNNNNNNNNNNNNNNNNNNNNNNNNNNNNNNNNNNNNNNNNNNNNNNNNNNNNNNNNNNNNNNNNNNNNNNNNNNNNNNNNNNNNNNNNNNNNNNNNNNNNNNNNNNNNNNNNNNNNNNNNNNNNNNNNNNNNNNNNNNNNNNNNNNNNNNNNNNNNNNNNNNNNNNNNNNNNNNNNNNNNNNNNNNNNNNNNNNNNNNNNNNNNNNNNNNNNNNNNNNNNNNNNNNNNNNNNNNNNNNNNNNNNNNNNNNNNNNNNNNNNNNNNNNNNNNNNNNNNNNNNNNNNNNNNNNNNNNNNNNNNNNNNNNNNNNNNNNNNNNNNNNNNNNNNNNNNNNNNNNNNNNNNNNNNNNNNNNNNNNNNNNNNNNNNNNNNNNNNNNNNNNNNNNNNNNNNNNNNNNNNNNGGCCAUUAAUCUAUCCCUGUCUUGAGGAAAGAAAAUCAUUUGGAACGCUCAGAUCUACUCUGAAAGAUAGCCUCCAAAAGUCCUAUACCACAAUAAAUUCAUUCUAGAGAUACUUCCAAGCGUCUUUGAGAAAUCUACAGUCAAACCGUCACUAUCCAAGACUUCAAUCUGAAGUCAAUUCCCUCAAGACUGAGGUUAAAAGUCUCAAACAAAUCCAAAAUAGUCAGCAGCUUAUCUUGGAAAAACUGACUAGAAAUUAUGAGGAAGAUGAUUCUUCUGUACCUGAUUCCAAUCCUGCUCCUAACAACAAUUGCGAAGACUUUCUGGAAAAUAUUAACUAGGUCACCAUUCAGAAAUUCUUCAUCCAUGUCAAAAUCCUCAUAGGAGAUUUUAUUCUCGAAAUCCCUGCCCUCUUUGACACAGGGGCAGAUUCCAGUUGUAUCUCGGAGGGACUCAUUCCUACCAGAUAUUUUGAGAAAACUACUGAGAAGCUCAGCGCUGCUGAAGGAUCUAGAGUAAAGAUCAAGUAUAAAAUCCCCUCAGCUAUCAUAAAAAAUGGUAGUCUUGAAAUCGAAACUCCAUUUCUGUUAGUCAGAAAUUUGAGUCAAAAAAUCAUUAUAGGGACCCCUUUCAUUAAGAAGCUCUUCCCCUAUUAUACUGACGAAAACGGCAUCACUGUUCAGCAUCUUGGACAGCCUAUCUUGUUCAAAUUCUCUGAACCUCCCAUAGAUAAGACUUUGAACGUCAUAUCCUACAAGGAGAAGCAGAUCAACUUCCUCAAGGAAGAAAUCUCUUACAGAACCAUUGAGGAUCAAUUGCAACAACCUUCUGUUAAAUCAAGGAUUGAGAAUAUUUUGGAAGAUAUUCAAUCUAACAUCUGUUCUGAUCUACCCAACGCCUUUUGGCAAAGGAAGAGCCAUAUGGUGGAACUUCCUUAUGAAAAAGAUUUUUCAGACAAACAGAUUCCAACCAAGGCUAGGCCUAUUCAAAUGAAUGAAGAACUUCUUCAUUUCUGCCAAAAGGAAAUCAAUGAUCUCCUUGAAAAGAAACUUAUUCGCAGGAGUAAGAGCCCUUGGUCCUGUGCAGCCUUCUAUGUCAACAAACAAGCUGAGAUAGAACGGGGAACCCCUAGGCUGGUUAUUAACUACAAACCUCUCAAUCAAGCCCUUUGUUGGAUUAGAUAUCCUAUCCCCAACAAGAAAGAUCUCUUAGCCAGACUGCAUGAUGCUAAGGUCUUUUCAAAAUUCGACAUGAAAUCUGGAUUCUGGCAAAUCCAAUUGCAAGAGAAGGAUAGGUAUAAAACUGCUUUUACUGUUCCUUUUGGGCAGUAUGAGUGGAACGUUAUGCCUUUUGGGCUAAAGAACGCCCCAUCUGAAUUCCAAAGGAUUAUGAACGAAAUCUUCAAUCCUUAUUCAAAAUUCACUAUUGUCUACAUUGACGAUGUUCUAAUCUUUUCCCAAACUUUAGAUCAACAUUUCAAACAUCUCAAUACGUUCAUCUCUGUUAUCAAAAGGAAUGGCUUGGCUGUAUCCAAGACAAAGGUCAGUUUGUUCCAAACCAAAAUCAGAUUCCUUGGUCACAACAUCCACCAAGGAACCAUCAUUCCUAUCAAUAGAGCCAUCAAGUUCACGGAUAAAUUCCCUGAUCAAAUCAUUGACAAAACCCAACUACAAAGAUUCCUGGGUUGUCUCAAUUAUGUUGCGGACUUCUGUCCUCAACUCAGUACCAUAAUCAAACCCCUUCAUGAUAGACUCAAGAAGGAUCCUCCACCUUGGUCCGAUAUUCAUACCAAUGUGGUCAAACAAAUCAAACUUCGUGUCAAGAAUCUCCCUUGUCUUUAUCUCCCUAAUCCUCAAGCUUUCAAAAUUAUUGAAACUGAUGCCUCUGAUAUUGGCUUUGGUGGUAUUUUGAAACAAAAGGUUUUUGACAAGGAACAAAUUAUUUCUUUUACUUCAAAACAUUGGAAUCCUGCUCAGCAGAAUUAUUCUACUGUCAAAAAAGAAGUUUUAGCAAUCGUUUUAUCUAUUUCAAAAUUUCAAUCUGAUUUGAUUAAUCAAAAAUUCUUAGUCCGUGUGGACUGCAAAUCUGCGAAAGAAAUCUUACAAAAAGAUGUCAAAAACUUAGCUUCAAAACAUAUCUUUGCCAGAUGGCAAGCUAUUUUAAGUGUUUUUGACUUUGAUAUUGAAUAUAUAAAAGGAUCUACCAAUUCUCUCCCUGAUUUUCUUACUCGUGAAUAUUUGCAGGGAAGAACCUAACAUGGCCUCCAGAGGCCCCUCCUCCUCCUCCUCACGAGGAAGAGGCAAAAACAGAGAAAGGAAUAAAGGUAUUGUAAUCUCUGACCCUUUAAUCUUAUCUGAGCCCACUGCUCACCAAUCUGGACCCACUGUCCAAAAAAUUGAGCCCACUGCUCAGACCCAAUCUUCCCAACCAAAACAACCAAAACAAACUAAAGCAGAUUAUGCUUUAUCCAUCCCAACACUCCUUGCCUUCAAACAAGCAGGCUUAGAUGAAAUACCUCAAGGCCUCACCAAACUUCCAAAUAAAUCUUGGGCCAGCAUCGCCGACAAAGAUGAUGACCAAGAAAUUCAAUCCCUCCAAGCUUUUAUUGAUAGAACCAGAAGCUUAGCAACUUAUGAUGGGAAAAAACCUGUUGUUGUUGCCCAACCUAGCCCAGUUGCCCGACCUAGCCCAAAUCCAGGUUACUUGGCUAAAGCAGAUAUGAAAUUCCAAACCUUCAUCGAACCAGAAUGGUGGGACAAUUCUGGAGGAGUUAACCUGGCCAAUAAAAUUGGUACCAAGCUCUUCCCAAGUCAUCUUGAUCCCACUCACCCAAACAAAAACCAAAGAUUCUAUGAGUUUAUUUUGGUUGACACAAACAGUGUGGAAAUCAAACAUUUUAGGGAUAAAAAUGAUAAUUCCCUAAUUACCCAUUCUACACUACAAAUCCUCCGUGUCCUUCGUCCCAAUGACCAAAUCCAAACAGUUACAAAAAGUUCUCCCAGAAUUUCGACCCAGUUGGUUUUAAUUAUUGGGACUAUAUCAGGGCUUGGGAUAAUAUAAUCCUUGGUCUGCAAAACAAAAGUUUCAAACAUUCUUGGCUCAUUUAUUUUAAAUGGACCAACAAAUAUUCUUUUCCAAAUUGGUUUCAUUCAUGGUGGAGCUUCUUUGGACCUACAGCUGAAAUUUUCCCCUCUGAAGUUCUUGAGGGAUACAAUCACUUCAUUAAACACUGGAACAAAGAGUUGAACAAUUAUCCAGAUUGUUUAAACUUUUUUACAAUCUUUUCCCUCUCUUGGGUGUUCUCUUGGCGUUAUAGUCUUAAGACCAAAACCCAACCAAUCCUUUACAAACAGGCUCUCAUCAAAUGGUGGAAAAUCUUUGAUGCGACAAAAGCCCACAAAGAAAAUGUGAGCCAAUGGUUCAAAACCAAUCAGAAAUAUCUCAAGCAUGCAAGUCCACAGACAAGUCUCUUGCUAAACCAAAAGGCCCACAUCACAGCGGCCCUUGCAGGAGCUUCAACAGAAGAAGACUUGCUGAGAAACCUUCAAUCUGCUCUUCAAUUAUUGAAGGAGCCAAUUGAGCAGGCCUCAUCUUCAAAGGCCCCUCAACACAAAGUCUCCGAGCCAUCCUCUCUUGGGUCGUCAGAUUUUGUCCAAACCACAGAAUCAGAUGAUGAUGACUUCUGCUAAGUUUGUCGUCUUGUAAUCAUUUUAUUCUGUAAUAAUUCAAUUUUUGUACUGUAGCAACAGUAAAAUUGACUUUUUACUGUAGCAAAUAGUGCCAGUCAAAUAGUACCGUCUACCGGAACUAUUCAACCGGAACUAUUCAAACAGUGUCUUAUCUUUUCUUUAAAUAGGCUCAUUCUAAACCUUGUAAAGGAGAGUUUUGGAUAGAGCUUAGAUAGAGAGUUUAGAGAGAGAAACACUGAGAGAAUUCCUUCUGUAAGUUCUCCUUCAGUUUUCCUUUCUUUCAAUCUUUUCUAUUUUUAAGUUUCAGUUUUUCAGUUUUUAAGUUUCAGUUUUGUAAUCUAUGUUUAUGUAAUAUAUAUCUUGUUCAAGUUUUAUUUUUCUGUUUAUGGAAGGCUGAGCCUCCUGUUUUAAUUCUUGUUUUUAAUUUCUGCAAGUUUUAUUUUUCUGUUUAUGGAAGGCUGAGCCUCCUGCUUUAAUUCCUGUAUUUAAUUUUCUGCAAAAAGCCCCUCCGUGGUGGCGUCCUACUUCUCUUAAUCCUCUUCUCAUCCCCCUCCUUCUGCUUCCGACCCCCUCUUGGUAUCAGAGAAAUAUAUAUAUAUCAACAUAUAUCUAUACCCCAUAUCACAUGUUGAGUGUAUAUCUACGUAUUUCUGUGAGUUGACCCUAGCACCUUGGCUUUGGUUGCAUGUUUGUGUUUGGGCGGUCGGCCUGCUGCCAGAUGUCGAUGGCUGACUGGUUUUCGAUGGUCUCUCCCUCGGGGGGGAUCAGGUAUGAGCUUGUAGAUCGUGCUGCCCCCACCGCUUGGGUGAUAGAUGUCCCUGGUCACCGGGCGACGUACAGGGGAAGGGUCAUGGAGGACCGGACGGAUGAGCGAGGACGCCUGACGAGAGGUGUGCUACCGCGUAUGGAGCUGAGUUUUGACUUGCCGCCCUCAGUUCACUGUGGACCAGGCACUGGUCAUGGACCACCUGCACCACCUCCGACUUCACCUUCUGUUGAGGAGGACCCGGCGGAGACCGAGCCUGCUGUUGCUGCACCUGUUGCGCCACCUCUUGCUACUGCCAUCGAUCCUACCGACGUGGCGUCGUCCUCUAGGCGUGUGCGGCCGAAGAGGGAGUCCGUCGUCCCAUCUGCCUCACGUCUCUUUUCUUUCUCUUCACCGCACGGCUACCGUGUGGAGCCCUUGAUGAGGGUGGUGGAGGAGGAUGUUCUUACAGGAGAGGUGGAUGUGGAGACCGGCUCGACUAGGACGGUGCGCAGGACAGUUAGGAGGGAGGUCGUAGACUUGGACACCGAGAUGAUUACGGUGGAUUCCGAUUCUGACUCCGAGAGCAGUGGGGAGAGCUACUCGCCGAGCAGCGAUGAGGAGGAGGAGGAGCUAUGAGCUGAGCUGGGAGGGGAGGUUAGGUUAGCGUCAUUUUUUGUGUAGAGCUCUGAUCGUCAGUCUUUUUGGGACAGGGUAGGUUCCGAUGUGUGGCUUUUUGUGUGGUUCUUUUGAGGAGGAUCACAGAGAGUCUGUCGGAGUAUAGAGGUCUUUCUUUCAGGCCAUUUUUGGGUGCCGACUUUCUCUGGAUAACUGUAUAUUUGAUACUUUUACUUACAGUGCUGGUUUGUAUAUAUUUGCCUGCGGGCACACUACUUGGAGUCACUGCGAGUGCGCGUGAUGUGGAGUGCAGCUGAGGCUGUACGUGUGCAUAUAUUGUAUAUCGGUUAGUUUAGUUGUUGGGUUUUGUCUUUAUUUCCUUAUCGCUUUUAAUUAAAGGAAUCAAUCGAAAAAAAAUUACCUGUUUUCCGCGUAAAGUUUAUUUUUGGUUACUAAAGUGACACCUGGAAAUCGGGGUGUUACAGAUCUUCCAAGGCGUUGACGGCAUACCGUGGAAACUCCCAUAGUCAAAAGUCACAACAUCCUUCUCAAUUAAAAUAAUACAGGAAGUCCCGCCAACGUCAACAGACAUUGUAAAACAUUGCAGAAUCGGACGAUGCAUUUGAACUAAAAUUUUGUCGUACUCAGCCGAUGUCGCGACAACGUUGCUAUAUCAGAUGACAUAUAAGUCCCCAACUUUCAAACUUCAGGACCACUUCAUUCGCUCGCAAGGGGAUAAAACGAAAGUUGUACAACCCAAUGGCAUGGAUUUGAGCAUACACGCUUGAGCACAUCUGUGGACCCAAUCCUCAUCCAAAUCAGACGUUGUAAAUUGCAAUUGACAACCCUGAGCCUGUUGUGGAGCCUCCUGUAUCUGAACUGAUGUUUCUUUCUGCUUCAAAUUUGCCGCAUGGUUACGCACCUCAGGUUUAACUUUUGCUCGCCAAGCUUUUCCUUGAAUUUCAUACCGAUGUCGUUCCGGCGACGGCAACGGUACGUUCGACCUUCGGGCAGGUUAUUGAAAUUUAGCUUUUUGUACCACAAUAAAAUUCCCUUCCAGCCUCAAACCAUUGAACAUUCGAAUCGCGCGCCAUGCAUCCUCAUUACUAUGAAACCGUACAAAUCCAAAACGAAAGCGCCGACCAUAUUUCUUUUUCUGCUGAACAAACACAUCACGCAGCUGCCCUGCUUUACUAAAAAUAGACCGUAAUUUUUCCAAUGUCAUCCUCUCGCCUAGGCCAUCAAUGAAAACAGCAAAAGAUGUUGAAAGCUUAUCUGGAUGCAUAUUUCCAUUAGAUCUGGACAAAUGUUGUCGUUGAUAAGAGUUCCUCCCCCAAGCUUGUUAGGUGCGUGCUGGCUUGCUUUGUUGCCGCUGAUGCCAUGACGGCGGCCACCGUGGCGGAGGAGCUCUUCCAGAGCCUCUCUCUCUCUCUAACAUCUCUACAGUGAUAUAGUUUAAACUUAUCUAAUCAACAAUUUUGAAAUAUAUCAAAUAAAGUUUUUUUUUAUCAACAACCUAAUCAAUUAUGAUUAUGUUCAGAUUUCAACUAAUAUUAUCCAAUAAUAUCAUCUUUUUAUUUUUCAAUUUUCAAAAGAUUUACCUAAGAUAUGUGCUAGAUUACCUCCUAAAAUCAAAAUUAAGCAAACUAACACACUUUGUCUCUCUCCUAAAUACUAUCCACGAAAAUUCCAACUCACAAGUGGAUAUAUAAAUUAUUUUUCUCUUUAUGAUAUUUAAAUAAUUUAUUUAUUUAUUUUCAAGCCUAUUUCUACAACAAUUUUUAGUUUUAUUAAUAACCUAAGGCUUCAAAAAUUAUUUCUAUACAACAGUCACUUGUUUGACCAAUCCAACACUCCCACAAUUUAAAAUACACUCUUACUCAUGCACACAAUUAAUUUCACUUAUUUCUUCAUUCGUUUUGACUAGUCAGUUAUCAGUCAGCUAACAGAACAGUAAAAUAGAGAACAAUUUGACAUCAAUUUCAUCAUAGACAACAAAUCAACCAUUCAAUCAAAUAAUAAUAAUACUAUUAUAAUAAUAUAGAUAAUUAUUAUUUUUAUAAUAAUUCAAAAAUUGAGGGCCUUACAAUAGUGGUGGCAAAAGGUGUGUUGCAGUAACGUUGGUGGAGGUUGUCAUAUAGUAAGUUAGAAGCACAAACUCCAAGACACUAAUGACUAUGGUUAAGGGUAUUGAGUGGCAGUCGUGGGUAUCAUGCUGUUAUGUAGGAUGCAAAGUGAUGGUGGUAGUAGCUAGUGAUGGAGGAAGUCAUGUGGUGGAAGUAGACCUAGUUAACAUGUAGCGAUUAUAGUGGAGGUUUCUGUAUGAAGUUGAUUGAGGACAUAAUAGAUAUAAGAAAAUGAUGGGAAUGAAGCUAUUAUAUUUUUAUGAAACUAAAAAAACUUUUCUUGGACUUAAAAACAAUGCUAAAAUCAUUUUAGAAUUAAGCAAUUAACAAUUUCGGCUAUAUUUUAGCCAAACAAAUUUUAUUUAAAAAUCAAAAUUGAAAACUCAAAACCACCCAAAUGGCUUUGAGUAAUCUUUUAAUAAUAUGUGUUGGUAAUCAUUUGCUCUCUCUCUUUUUCUUGAAGUAGCUCCUUAGAGAAUUUAAGAAUAGAUUCUCAAAAGGAAAAAACUAAGUAAGUUUUCUUUUGGUUGUUGUCUUGGCUAGGGCUGUCCAUCGGGCGGUUUCGGUCGGUUUCAAUCUGAUAUCAUCGGUUGAAAUAUGCAAAACUACUAGACCCGCCACCGACCAUUCUCUAGUUGCGGGUUAGUCGGUUUCGGAUGUCGGUUUUACCGGGUGGGUUCACGAGGUUAGCUAAUCCCAAAACACAAAAAAAAAUGAAAAAGAAGAUGAAAGAAAUAGAUCCAGAUUCAAACAGAUUCAUAUUCCAUUAACCCAUUACAGAAAAAUCUUAAACAAAAUGAAGAAGAAAAAUGUGCAUGUGGUCUGAAAAAAACAAAAAUUUGUAAACAAAUUAGAAAAGCACUGAAAGACAACAGAGGUGGGAGGGGGAGAUCUAUUACUGUAGAUAUAUUACAAGGGAUUAAACCCAAAAGAAAAGUAUGAAGGAAAGUCAUAACAAAAUAUUAAUAAGCUCAUAAGCCACAGAGCUCGCCUCCAUCUCUUCUACCUCUUCAUCUUCCUUCUUCGUCGUCUUCCCACGUCUUCCUUCUCACCUCUAGGGUUGGGAUUUGAGACUUGCAUGCAAGAAGAUCUCCUCUACUGUAAUGAGAACGUUCCUCCGAUUUGCAACAGGGAGGAGAUGAAGCUGUAAGAUCAAGUUUUGAUCUAGUAGUACAACUCUAUGUUUUGAUGAUUACAAGUUAACCUUUUGAGUAUGAACAAUUAUGGUACUCUAACGUGUUUUUCUGAGUGUGCUAUUUACAGGCUCUGACCUUGAUUCAGUCUCACACAAAUCAGAAGCACUGUGCAUAAAGAGUGACCCAAGCAACGCUUUCGCAACAUCUAUGUUCACUCUGAACAGUAGAAACGCUUCAGAAGAUCUGAAGUUAUACAAGCUCUGAUAUGGACUCAGUCACUAGAAGUUCUGAAGAUCCAGAAGUUCUGACAACCAAGAAACUCUGAAGGUUCAGAUGUUCUGAUGGUGUAGAAGACUCUGAAGAUCCAGAAGCUGAAUAGUGGAAACUCUGAUGUCCAGAAGCAAGAAACUCUGAAGACCAUGUACUUCCCUCUGAGUUCAGAAUCAGAAGAUACAACGGUCAGAGGAUAUGUACUUUCCCUCUGACUCUGAUCAACCGGCUUCACAAGUUCCAACAUGAAGCAUUCUCCUGAUCAGAAGUCUCCUAGGUUUAAAGGUCAAGUCGCUAUCCAAGUACAAAAGCAUAUGUACUAUCCUGACGACCUACCUAACGUUCUCAGCCACAGCAGAAGCUGGAAUUUCUAGAACUGCCCUCCAACGGUAGCAUUUCCAUGCAUCGUUCAAACCCUAAUCCUUGGAGUAUAAAUAGAGGCUGAAGAUUGAAAGAUGCGGUUGGAAGAAUUACACACGCGCAAGCUAUAUUCAAAAACCUUCAAGCAUUCUUUCAUCUGAAUUCAUUGUUUACUAUUAGCUUUUCAGAAGCAAAUCUCUUGUAAACAUUCUUUGUUAAACAGUUUGUUUAGUUACCUUUAGGAGAUCAAGGUUGAUCGGAUCCUAGAGAAGACUAAGAGAGUGAAUCUUAGUGUGAGCUAAGUCAGUGUAAUUGUUAGUCACUUGUAGGUUUCAAGUGCAGUUGUAACACUUUACCUGAUUAGUGGAUUGCCUUCAUUCUAAGAAGGAAGAAAUCACCUUGACGGGUGGACUGGAUUAGCUUGAGGGAUUUAUCAAGUGAACCAGGAUAAAAAUCCUUGUGUGCUUUUCUAUCUCUUAUCUUUAGCACUUAAGUCUCGAAAGAUUUGUUGAAAUCUUUAAGGUGGAAGUUUUUAUUUGAAAACGUUAUUCAAACCCCCCCUUUCUACCGUUUUUCAUACCUUCAGAAGCUCCUAAGGGAGAGAAAAAGAGCGAUGGGCUGGUGGCGGAAGAGAACAGCGUUGAUGGUGAAGACGUUAAAGGCCAAGGAAGAGAACAGAUCUUCGUUUGCAAGUUGUUGUGGUAAAGGGAAGAAGAAACGUGGUGGUGGCGGCGGGCUGGUGGCGGCUGGAUAGAGAGAUUGAGAGAGUGUGGAAGGUUGGAGGCUAAGUUUGAAGAUGUUGAGAGAAAAUUAGAGAGGCAGUUAGGGUUAGGUUGAAGGCUGAUGGUUAGAAAAGUAUUUACAUGGGCUUGGGCUGAACCGGUUAGUGGGUGGAAUAAUGGACUGGCUAAACCUUUUUUAUUUACUAAUAUCUGGUUUGGUCAGUUUGGAGCCCGGAACGAAACCGACCGGUCAAACCCAUAUGAAUCCAUAAAAGUGAACCGGCCAAACCCGUAGCCGAACCGAACCGGCCCAUUCAAUAAAAAAGCGUCGGUUUGCUCGGGUCCGGUUCGGUUCAGAGUUUGUUGGACAAUAAGUGAUAGGAAAAGAUAAAAAAAUAAAUGGACUGAAAAUGAAAUAGAAUAGAAAGUGAGAUGUGGAUAAAACAUAAUUUACUGUGUUGCAGACUUUAGCAAACUAUCUUGUAGAGCAUGAAAUCAACCAAAUUGAAAUAAGUCAUUCUAUUUUAUUUAAACAUCUGAGAUAGAAUGAACACGUUCUGGAACAUAAACUAUAAAGGAUUAUAAUGUUGAUUGUAGAAUACAGACUAACUUUAUCAGUGUAUGAAUAUUGUAUUCAAUUUCAUUGAUAAAGAUCAGGAUUGGAUAGUCGUGGGGUGGGGAUGGCAACUAGAGGUGUUUCCUUUUUUAGAGUAAUACCAAACUUCUCUGAUAUAUCUAACUUUUCUCCUUCUGGUACUGUCCAAUCAAACAUGUGCACUAGUGUUGUUAGAAAGUACAAAACAGACCUCUCUGCCAUUGGUAUUCCUACACAAAUUCUUCUUCCAGAACCAAAGGGGAAAUAACUGAAGUCAUUCCCACUAAAAUCCCAUUUGGCAUCCAAGAACCUUUCAGGAUCAAAUUCUAGUGGUUUCUCCCAAAUGGAAGGGUCCCUAUGAAUAGCCCACACAUUCACAAACACCCGAGAACCCUUUGGGAUUGUGUAGCCUCCUGUAGAAGUGGCUUCACUGGGGCAGUGGGGGACUAAAAGUGGAACUGUAGGGUGCAGCCGAAGAGUUUCUUUCAUCACAGCAAGCAAGUAGGGAAGCUGAUGAAGAUGUGACUCUUCAACCAUGUUAUCUUUCCCAACUACACCUUCCAAUUCGUCUUGAACCCUCUUCAUUACCUCUGGCUUGUGCAUCAUUUCCGCCAUUGCAAACUCAACUGUGUUGGAGGACGUGUCACUUCCACCUACAAGCAUGUCCUGUUUGUGCUCAUCCAAAAAUUUCCAACAAUAUUAGUAAAUAAAUUGUGCAAUCUCUUUCUAUUUUUCCUUAAUCAAGUUUGGUUAGGCUUUGAAAUAAUUACGCAAAAGUUUCAGAAUUAACAAGAAUCUUAACACCAAACUAAAUUGGAAAGUAAAAUUAGGUUCCAGAAGUGUUUAUUAACAUAAGCAUUUAUGCAAAUAAAGCAAUGCUUGAUGGCUCAAAAAGAUAUUCCCACAAAUUCAACAAAAAAGUAAUUCAACAAAUGAAUAAUUAUGAGAUUAUCACCUAUGGUGAAAAUUGGAAUGCAUCAACCAAUCACAAUGGGAAAAGCUACUGAGACGAAAUUUAUCUCUGUCAUUCAACAUUUACAUGCAAGUAUUUGCCAAAGCUUAUAUAAAUAUUUUAUGCCUUUAGCUAUAACCUAUUUUGAACUCGUUUUCAUAAGUUAUUCACAUUAAUUUAUGAAUAAAAGUUUAUUUAUGCUCCAUAUUUUUUUAGCUCAUUUCAAUAAAUUUCUCGAAUAAAUUUAAAAAUAAGCGUUUAGUUAAAUUUUUAUCCAAAUCUUUAGCUCAUUUUAAAGAUACUUACCAUCAGAUUUCAUAAGAAAAGUAAUUAAUCUUUCACAUAAUAUGUUCCUAUGAGAUUAACAUAUAAGGGGAUCAAAUCCCCUAAUAAACCAGCGAGAGCGUAGAUUAACCAGCAGAGGGUUAUUAUAACUUAAGCAAAUAUCUCAAAUUCAAGACCUUGUAAAUAUAACAAUAUACUUGAUAGAGCAAGUUUUAUUAUCCAUGUGAUUUUACCCGUCUCAAAUUUGCCAAAGCAACUAAAAUAAAAUACACAAAAAAAAACACAGCCUAAUUAGUUACAAACGUACCAUGAGAAGUGCUUUAACGUGGGUUAUGGAAAGUGGCACCUUGGAAUCACCCUCUUCCUUCAAAUCCAACAAAAACUGCAGAAAAUCGUUGCUUUCAUUCUCCUUCCCCUUCGCUUCCAUCUUCACCCGUUCACCAAUCACCUUAUCGAAUAUUCUGUCGAAACGCAGAACCACCGCUUGCAUUUGUUUCUUCACGCCUUGCAAAUCAAACCUGGCCAAUCCUGGGAAGAAAUCUGACAGGUUCGGCUUCCCUAUAAGAGUCAUCAUAUCCGCCACCGCCUCCUUGAACUCCGCCCCCAUGGUUUCCCCCUCAGCCCCUUCCACCGACCUUCCCCACAUCAUGUUCAUAAGCACGUUCAUCUGCGUCAGAAACGCCUGCUCCCCCACGUUCACCGGAGACCCGACCCGAUUGUGCAGGCGCCUGACCAUUUUUCUGACCUCGUCGCCACGGAUGUGGUAAAGGGAAUCCAGAGUGGUGACGUUGAGCAUCUUGAGCACGCACACUUUCCUCAGCAUCCGCCACUCGGGUCCGUACGGGUUCCACACUAUGUCGGAGCCGCCGUAGAAGGCAGCUCUACCGGUGACGGUCACGUCACGGUUGGCGAAGACGGUGUCGUGGUCCUUGAGCACGUGACGGGCCAUGGAAGAUGAGGUGACCACGAUGGCAAGCUUGCUUCCGAGCCAGAGCUUGAAAAUCGGGCCAUGGGUUCGGGCCAACCUGGCGAAGUAAGUGUGAAGUUCCGGGUCGAGAGAUAGAAGGUUCCCGAAGAUGGGGAGGCCCGGUGGGCCUGGUGGCAGUGGUGGGCUCUGGGCUUUCGGUUUAAGGAAGCAGAGCCGUGCGUACCAAGUGGUGGCUGAAAUGACCAAGGUUGCUACGAUCAGGUUUGUGGUGUCACUACACCAAUCCUUCAAGUUCAGGUAUUGAAGCAAAGUUGAGAGCUGAAUCAUGGUGCAAUAACUAUUAGUGUUGAGAUUUCAGAAAGGAAAUAGUUGAAGGAUAAAUCAUAAGAUGUGGAGAUAAGGUAAUAUAGAGAAUAUGUCUUCUUUUUUUUUUUUUGAAACAAUAUAAUAUGUCAGUCCAAUGAAAUAUCAUAAUUUUUUUUUUCAUUUCAAAAAAAAAAUUAGGUUUUUAAAAUCUAUUUACCGGGUUCAUUUAUCAUACACAACUUUUAUCUUGUGCAAGGUUACACAACCCUAGAAUUACAUGCUAUAGCAGGUCAAGCAGGUCUUUUACUUUUAAAAAUAAAUAUUGAUGUAUUUUCAUUUAAAAAAAAUUACUGAUGCAUUUUCACACUUGGUUUUGGCCCACCCAUCCUCCUCUCAACUCUGCCGGUCAUCUGCCAUCGCCGUCGCCGCCACCGCCACCAGAUCUUCAGCUCCCUCACCCACCAAUCACCACCCAUCCCUUUCUCCUUCCCCUAGAACCCAAGAACACCGCCACUGAAAACCCCACACCCAACUACACCACCACCAGCCGUAAACUCAUCUACUCCCCUUCCUUUCCCCCAAUCCCUCCUCCUCUACUCCCUCUCACCAGAUCUAAACCCAAAGAACCCAACCUCAACCGUCGAACAAAAGAGGGAAGAUGGGAGAGGGGUGACCCUGUGGUGGAGACGCGAACGACGUCAGCCAUGGCCUCGAUGGUUUCGCGAAGACUGAAACAGUGGAGAUGCGGUGCUGCGUGACGACGCCUAGGGCAGAGAUUGUUCGAUUUCAGCGGAGUGGUGGCUUCCAGGAUCUCGACGGUGGAGGAAGCCAUUGGCGGUGAAGAGAAGCUCGGGGUCUAGUGAGAUGGUUCAUCCGUUAUUGGGUCGGUGAUGGUGAUUGUUGGUUCGAGGGAUUCAGGUUUGAUGGCUAUUCUCCUUCGUCUCCUUUCUCCUUGGUUGUGGUUUUGAUUCAGCUGUGGAGGCUGGGCUUGGGAUGGUGAUUGGCUCUGUUUUUGGUGGUGGAUAAGUGGCUGAGUUUAUGGGUGGUGGUGGUGCUUUUGGGUGGGUUAUUGUCGUGGUGUUGUUGUUGGAUUCCAGGGGAAGGAGGAAGAAGGGGGAGAGAAGGAAAAAAGGUGGAGGAAGGGAGGGCUGGUGAUUGGCGGGGGGGAGGAGAAGAAGAUCUGGCGGCGGCAGUGGUGGCGGCGUGGAGGUUGACGGGAGGACAAGUGGUGGGGAGGGGAGAGGAAAUAAACACAUAAAUGUUUAAAUUAAAAAUAGAUUUUAAAUUAAAAAUAAAAUUUUAAAUAGGUUACCUGUAAAGCAACCUAUAAUAACAGGUAAAACUAGGACUUGUGCAACCUUGCACAAGCAAAUUUUUGUGUACAGUAAAUGAACCCGGCAAAAAAAAUCAUAGGUGUUAAGGAUAAAAUCAUUUGUUAAGGAUAAAAGUGUUUCAUCAAUAAAAAAGAUCAAAAAAAUAUAAUUUUUAUCCACUUCAUGACAAUACGAUAAACCUCAUUCAUUUAAGUUCUUAGUCACCAUAAAUAACAAUAUUUACCAACCAGUGAAUGUAAAGGUGAGAGUUCGUUUAUAUUUUGUAGAAAAACUUAUUAGCUAGUGGCCUAUUAGCUAGCGACCAAUUAGUCAGUUGUCAACUGGCCCCUUCAAGAUGUUAUUCUAUGCUAAAUAGAUUUUUAAAAGAGUUAGUACUUAGUAGGUUAAAUCAAGCCGUUUAAAAAGUUAGGUUAGACCAUAAAAUUCAGUCUUCAAUCUCGAAUUUAAAUAAAAAUCAAGCUUAGACCACAUAAAGCCUUACUUAAUCUAUUUUCACCCUUGUAUAUACACAUGCAAGAGAUGAUACAAGGGCGCAUGCUCUUUGCAUCCUUAAAAUUGUAAGGGGAAUCAAAUUGAGUCCCUGAAAAUUUUUCGCAUUAAAUUGGAUCCCUAGAAUAUUCUUUUUAAUAAAUUCAAGUUAUUUUGCUCAAUUUUGACCGGUCAACGGUCUAGUGGCAAGCCUAGUCAGCUGAGGAUGACCACAUUGACUUUUUCACAUCAAUUUUAGUCUUUGACAAAUAUUUUAAUCAAUUUAAGUCCUUGUUCUUCCACCUUGAAAAAUAUUUGUUGUUGCCUUUGAUUUUCUAGGUUUGGAAGAACAAGGUGAAUAUGAACAUAUAGNNNNNNNNNNNNNNNNNNNNNNNNNNNNNNNNNNNNNNNNNNNNNNNNNNNNNNNNNNNNNNNNNNNNNNNNNNNNNNNNNNNNNNNNNNNNNNNNNNNNNNNNNNNNNNNNNNNNNNNNNNNNNNNNNNNNNNNNNNNNNNNNNNNNNNNNNNNNNNNNNNNNNNNNNNNNNNNNNNNNNNNNNNNNNNNNNNNNNNNNNNNNNNNNNNNNNNNNNNNNNNNNNNNNNNNNNNNNNNNNNNNNNNNNNNNNNNNNNNNNNNNNNNNNNNNNNNNNNNNNNNNNNNNNNNNNNNNNNNNNNNNNNNNNNNNNNNNNNNNNNNNNNNNNNNNNNNNNNNNNNNNNNNNNNNNNNNNNNNNNNNNNNNNNNNNNNNNNNNNNNNNNNNNNNNNNNNNNNNNNNNNNNNNNNNNNNNNNNNNNNNNNNNNNNNNNNNNNNNNNNNNNNNNNNNNNNNNNNNNNNNNNNNNNNNNNNNNNNNNNNNNNNNNNNNNNNNNNNNNNNNNNNNNNNNNNNNNNNNNNNNNNNNNNNNNNNNNNNNNNNNNNNNNNNNNNNNNNNNNNNNNNNNNNNNNNNNNNNNNNNNNNNNNNNNNNNNNNNNNNNNNNNNNNNNNNNNNNNNNNNNNNNNNNNNNNNNNNNNNNNNNNNNNNNNNNNNNNNNNNNNNNNNNNNNNNNNNNNNNNNNNNNNNNNNNNNNNNNNNNNNNNNNNNNNNNNNNNNNNNNNNNNNNNNNNNNNNNNNNNNNNNNNNNNNNNNNNNNNNNNNNNNNNNNNNNNNNNNNNNNNNNNNNNNNNNNNNNNNNNNNNNNNNNNNNNNNNNNNNNNNNNNNNNNNNNNNNNNNNNNNNNNNNNNNNNNNNNNNNNNNNNNNNNNNNNNNNNNNNNNNNNNNNNNNNNNNNNNNNNNNNNNNNNNNNNNNNNNNNNNNNNNNNNNNNNNNNNNNNNNNNNNNNNNNNNNNNNNNNNNNNNNNNNNNNNNNNNNNNNNNNNNNNNNNNNNNNNNNNNAAGCUUGAAAGGACGAAUGAGAUUCGGGCCAUGUUGUGGUGUUGUAUGGAUCGAGACAUUCUCUGGAGUCAUUUGGGGAUUAGGAGAUCCCGAGAACUUAUAGGAUUUGCGAUAAGACUAAAAAGGAUAUUAUUUUGAAAAGAAAACUCAUAAGACAUUAAACAACCUCUAAAUCUUUAAAUAAAGAUAAUAAACUCGAAAGGAAGCUUUGGAUGCAGAUCAUAGUUUUGGAAAACGAGAAUUGUCGUCGGAUCCCAGCAUUGAGAAAGUUGAGGGGCUUCGAGUAUGUAGAUGUUGUGGUGCUGUUGGAGCAGCGUUUGUUGUUGUGCUGUUGGAGCAGCUAUUGUGGUUGUGCUGUUGGAGCAGCUAUGUUGUUGGGCGUAUCUUCGACUUUGCGGCGCGAAUCCGUAUGUCCAAACCCGACGGUUUGGGCCGAUUCGGCAAUAAUUGUUGACACGCGCGAAUCCGUAUAUUCAAUCCGAUGGAUUGGAUCGAUUCGGCGGUAGUCACUCAGGCUCGCGUGAAUUCGUAUGUUCAAUCCGAGGGAUUGGAUCGAUUCAGCGACAACUUUUCGACACGCGCGAAUCCGUAUAUUCAAUCCGAUGGAUUGGAUCGAUUCGGCGGUAGUCACUCAGGCUCGCGUGAAUCCGUAUGUUCAAUCCGAGGGAUUGGAUCGAUUCAGCGACAACUUUUCGACACGCGCGAAUCCGUAUAUUCAAUCCGAUGGAUUGGAUCGAUUCGGCGGUAGUCACUCAGGCUCGCGUGAAUCCGUAUGUUCAAUCCGAGGGAUUGGAUCGAUUCAGCGACAACUUUUCGACACGCGCGAAUCCGUAUAUUCAAUCCGAUGGAUUGGAUCGAUUCGGCGGUAGUCACUCAGGCUCGCGUGAAUCCGUAUGUUCAAUCCGAGGGAUUGGAUCGAUUCAGCGACAACUUUUCGACACGCGCGAAUCCGUAUAUUCAAUCCGAUGGAUUGGAUCGAUUCGGCGGUAGUCACUCAGGCACGCGUGAAUCCGUAUGUUCAAUCCGAGGGAUUGGAUCGAUUCAGCGAUAACCUUUCGACUCGCGCGGAUCCGUAUGUUCAAUCCGAUGGAUUGGAUCGAUUCGGCGAUAGUCAUUGGACACGCGCAAUGUCCGUAUGUUCGACUCUUUUGAGUGAACCGACUUGGCGUUGUCAUUUGUUGCGUGUGCGAGUCCGUAUGUUCAACCCAGGGGGUUGGAUCGACUUGACAUGCCUAAUUGUUGGGCUAUCCUGGGGAUAAGUCCGGGAAACCGGGAGUUUCCGAGUAUGUGAUACUCUUUGCUUGUUGAGCAGUUGUGACCAUCGAAUUGAGAUGAGUCGGAUGAUCCGGAGAUCAUUAUGAGUUACUAUGUGGAUGUGAAGAAGUGUCUUUUGUCGCAGAAUCGACUUUACCUUAGGGUAAGCUUUUAGAGACUUUAAUUUACCUAGAACACGUGGCGACGUGACGAGUGAGAGUCGGAGACGUUGUUUGACUAAUCAUCCUGCAUUCAUGCAUACUGAUUUAGUUGUCGAGUGUGAUUGUUAAUUGUUAAUCCUAUUUGGAACAUGUUAAUUGUUAUUAUUGCUGUUAAGUUCAUUAUGGAAAAUGCAACCCUAGGAUGUUAUCCCUAGCUAUAAGCCUAAGUGGCUAUUCUCUUAUCUAUAUCUAUUGGUGCUAUUAUUUAUGUAAUUCUUUGGAGUUGACCCUCGCGUCUUCUGUGUGUGCUUUGGCGGACAAACGCCCUUUGUCAGAUGUCUUUGGCGGACUGGUUCACGACGGUUCACCCUUCGGGGGAAACUAGAGUUGGGAUGCUGGAACAGGAGCGCAUCGCGAUAGCGAGCGGAGGACGGAUGGUGUACAUAGACUAGGUCGUUCUGAAUUCAGGUUCGGGCGACGAUCAUGCUAGCAUGUAGGUUUUAGUGCUGGUGUGAGCUCCUCGAGAUGAGAUUAUUGUAGGAGUAGAGUCUUAGCUCUGGACGUCAUUUGUUUUCUUUAGGGACAGGGUAGUUUCCCACCUAUAGCUUUUUGUGUGGUUCUUUACGGGAAUCACAGAGAGUUGGUUGGACUUAGGAGGUCUUGCUUCAGGCCGAUGGGCCAGCCUAUUCUCAGUUUUGAGGGAUGGUGUUGCGGACACUUGACCUUUCUUUUGGAUUAUACCUUUUGCCUACGGGCGUUCUUUUCUACUACUUUCCGUCACUGGAGGUUACUCGUGACGAGGUUGGGUACUUACAGCGGGGGGGUUGUAAAUAUAUAUUGGAUAAUAGUUUUAUUGCUUUUUGCAUUUGGGUUUUAUUUAAUUCAGUCUUGUCUUAGUUAUUAUCAAAAAAAAAAUAUUUACGUUUUUCCGCAUUAAGUUUACUUUUGGUUACUAAAGUGACACCACCGAAAUCGGGGUGUUACAUUGUGGUAUCAGAGCACAGUCGAGUCUUUCGGGAGUUGUUGGGGAAUAGGUCUUCUGUGCUAGGUUGUGUGACUCUGCAAAGAGUGAAAAAUUGAUUGUCUGCAAGCGAUUUUUCGCUUAAAAAUUGAUUGAAGUUAUUGCUUAAUCAUAUUGUAUAGUUAUGGAAAUGCUAUCUUAUGAUGAGUACUAACUGUUUGUCUAACUAAACAGAGGACAUGGUGAACAUGAAUCAACUCGCUGGGGCAAUGACUGCUGUGGCCCAGGAAAUGACAAAUCAAACAGUGGAGAACGCUCAGUGGCGUGCUGACAAGGCUGAACGUGAGCGACAUAAGCGUGAGAGGGAGUUAGCCCUAGACCAGAACAGGGGACUGAAUGAUUUUAGAAGGCAGGAUCCACCCAAGUUCACGGGCGGGACUGACCCAGACAAUGCGGAUCUAUGGAUCCAAGAGAUUGAGAAGAUUUUCGAAGUACUGCAGACUGCUGAAGGGGCUAAGGUGGGCCUGGCAACUUAUCUACUGCUGGGCGAUGCUGAGUACUGGUGGAAGGGUACCAGAGGAAUUAUGGAAGCUAACGACGAGGAAGUGAAUUGGAUCUCCUUUCAAACUGCAUUCUUGGAAAAGUAUUUUCCAACUAGUGCUCGGGACGAGCGGGAGGCACAGUUUCUGACACUCCGACAAGGGAGCAUGUCUGUACCUGAAUUUGCUUCUAAAUUGGAGUCUUUGGCCAAACACUUCCAAUUUUUCACCGACCAUGUCGAUGAGCGCUACAUGUGUAAGCGUUUCGUCAAUGGACUGAGGCCAGAUAUCGAGGACUCUGUGAGGCCAUUGGGAAUUAUGCGUUUCCAAGCUUUGGUUGAGAAGGCAACAGAAGUUGAACUUAUGAAGAACAAGAGGAUGAAUAGAACAGGCACUGGGGGACCAAUGAGGUCGAACUUCCAAAAUAAUCAUGGGAUAGAGAGAUUCCGACAGAAGAAGCCGUAUCAACGUUCUGUGGCGGAAGGUUUUACCUCGGGGCAGUAUAAGCCCAUAAAUGCUGCCGGAGGAACAGGAAACAAGACUUCGGGUCAAGGAGUGACGUGUUACAGGUGCAAGAAGGUGGGGCACUACACUAACAAGUGUCCAAACGGAAGACCUCUAUGUUUCAACUGCAACCGUCUGGGGCAUCAAGCCAAGGAUUGCAAUGUAACCAAGGUUAAGCCAUCUGUGCAUACGGUGAGGGGAAGACGUUCUACUGCACGGGGAAGAGUCCAUGUCUUGUGCGGCGAGGGAGCUGAUGGAUUAGUCAGAGGAGAGCGCAAGAACGAUGGUAACUUUCUAUCUAUUCUUUCUCAUUUUAGUAUAAUAUACCCUUCGUCACCCCCGUAGCGUGUGCAACACGUCUGAACUUGCUUUUACCGCUUAUCGUUGACCUUAUAGUUAUUACGCCUAUGAAUACCUUAUUUGACCGUAGCUCGUAUUUUAGCUAUAGAAGUACACGAGGUUUAAGAUAACACGUUAAGCUUAGAAAGUAGUCUUGUACCGAUGCGUUUAAAAGGAAGCUAGAAGCUGAAGAAUGAAUCUCAUAGAGAUUUCUUAUGGAUAGUAUACGUAUGAUGUCGAGGGUGUGUAGUUCCGUAGCGACAUCAUUGAAGAAUUAAUAUCAAGAUUUUUGUGACUAUUGGAUGAUAGGAACACAUUGUCUGUUCCAGUGGGUUUUUCUAAAUUUCACCUUCAAUGUAUUAGGCUUGAUCAACUUAAUAUUGAGGGGGUGAUAUUCGGAAUCAGAGCUGGCUAUGGACUUUGAUAGAAGGAUGUGUAAGAUGAAUUUGAAUUGAUCGAGGAUUAGUCGGAUUUGGGAGGAAAGUUCGUGUUAAGUAAUUGAUUUUCUUUGGGAAGGAGUUAUCGUUGUAAGAGAUGAAUAUUCUUUUAGGAAAUGUUGGAGAGCUACAGAGCAUCAGAGAUCCAAACUUGGAAAAGGUUUAGGUUUUAAGUCUAUUAAUUCUUGUCAUAAGUGUAUAGGACUUGAAGUUUGUCAUAAUUUGAUUGGGAGAUUAAGAAGUUGAUUGACGAGAUGGUGAUCAAGUUACAGAAAAGGGAAGUGUUAGUAUUAAGAUGAACACUUGAGGUUGUCAUAUUUGGACAAGUUGCUUAAAGUCUAAGAGUGAAUGAAACUUGUUAUGGAUUUCGGUGAUACAAGCUAGAGAUUAGCGAGUGAAUUUUGCUAAGUGGAAUGAGAAUUUUAGGGUAAAGAUUGACUUCAGAAGCUGGAGAUCAUAUUCGAGUAAGAGUUUUAGUGGUGUUAUCAUUGAUGAUUGUAGUAAAACCUCGGCAAGUGAAAGAUGAUAUGUCUGUUGAGACGCCGUUGGUCAACCUUGGGACUAGAAGAGUGAAAAAAAAAAAAAAAAAAAAAAAAAAAUCGAAGGGAAAGCAGAGUGUUUUAGUGAAAAUUAUUUGGAAUAAAGACACGGACGGUGUUACGUGAGAGUUAGAGGAAAAGAUCAAGGAAUAAUAUCCAGAACUAUUACUGACCCUUAAGUUUCGAGGACGAAACUUUCUUUUUGGAGGGUAGUAAUGUAAGACCCAAGAUUUUAAGCUUAGAAUUAGUGGAAGAGAUUUCCAUUUACGAUUAGGAUUGAUGUAAUGUGAAGGGAAACCUGAACGAAAGUUUAUUAAAUGAAAUAUAUUUAUGAAGGAGAAAGUUCAGGAAAAGUUCAAGGAUUGCAUUAUGAUCGAUAAAAGUUAUAGCACGAACGUUUUACGCUUAAACCUAGGUCAGAACCCCUAGUAUAUCGCUAAUUUUCACUUUUAGGCACGACGGAAGUUAAUUCCAAAAAUCUUCAGAGAAAUGUUAGAACUUCUCUUUUUCCAUAUAUCACCAUCAUUUCGAGGCGAAACUCUAGGAUCUGCGAACGUCCGAUUCCAAUCAUCGGAAGUUUGCCGAAACCGAAUCCCUGGUAUUUCAAAACCCUAGAAUUUCUCGACAAUGAAGACUUUAUCUGUUCAGAGCUUCAAAUGAAUAUUCUACACGCGUACACCCAUUUCUCUUGAUGAUUUCAAUCUUUCUUCAGAAGGAAGUUUUCCAUUCCGACAUUCGAUGCAAAAAGCAACUUAUCGGGUAAAAUAGUUUUACACCGACUUUGCACCGACUUUGCAUUAGUUGCCAAAAAUACAAGGAGACAUCUUCUUAGCUUAGGAAUUCCUUUGCCAAAACCUAUCUUAGAAUUCAUGGAGAAUGAUGCCGGAAAAAUCAGAUUCGCGAAACUUUCAUUUUCCCGCGAAUUACCAUUUUCUAUAUAUAGCAAAGAAAGGAAGAAAAACUCAAAUUCUCCUCCAUUUCUCUCUUCAAACCCGCGAGCUUCAACAAGGAAGAAGGAAGAAGAGUUUUCUUCAUUACUUGCUUGAUCGUUGAUCCGUUAGUCGCUGCUUCAAGGUUUCGAGGUAUAGUCGCUAAUCCUUACCUCUGAUCGCUUUUUCCAUAGCUUUUCUGUAGAGUUUUCUGAGCGGAUAGUUUAUGGGUUUUUGCAAAACUAUCCUGAAUCUUUCAUUUCUGAUUCUAAACCUCUUCUAUAUGUGCCCAAGAUCACUUCUGCCGGAUUAGAUUUUCCGUUAUGUCGCCGGAAUUCCGCCGGAAUCAAUUCUAGCCUAAAAUACCCAUUUAUGUAGUUUUUGAGUAAAGUUCCAACCUUUAGGCUGUAAACUAUCGCCUUAGCUUAGUGUUAGUAGGAUUAGUUGUCAUAAACGUCGUUAGUAACGUCCCUGCAAAAUUUUAUUUUUGAGAUUUCAGUUUUGAAAAUCCUAAGUUAAAAAUCAUUACCAAAAUACCCCUGCGACAGUUUUUGAUCCGAUAAUUUUUCCGAGUUCAGAAUACCCUUAGUUACGGCUUAUGAAAGCAUAGGAACCAAGUUUGAUCGAAGAAAAAUCGAGCCCCAUAAUUAGCCAAAGUGGCCGAGCCCUAUUAAGGGGGAGGAAGAAAUUUCCUUUUUCCGAAAACUUGUCUUUCGCGCUAGAUUAUCGUACCUUAGAGUAUAGAUUACUUCGAGUAACCUUAGUACGUAUCGAUAACUUAGUUUUCGAUUGAUUCUGAUAGUAUUUCUGUGAUUUUGUUUUAAAGGAACUUUUGAGGAAUUUCCCGAGGAGCAACACUUUGAGUGCGAGGAAGCACUAGUGGAUCAUACUGGAGAACCUUCAGGUGAGGGCAUCUCACUGAAUCUCUAGUUAAUGCUUAGGGUCGAUGUUUCGACAUUGUUUAUGUAAGACCCAAGUUUUUAAGCUUAUGUUAAGUGAAUAAACUUUUUAUUCACGAUUAGGGUUGAUGUAAUGUGAAGGGAAACCUGAACGAAAGUUUAUUAAAUGAAAUAUAUUUAUGAAGGAGAAAGUUCAGGAAAAGUUCAAGGAUUUCAUUAUGAUCGAUAAAAGUUAUAGCACGAACGUUUUACGCUUAAACCUAGGUCAGAAACCCUAGUAUAUAGCUAAUUUUCACUUUUAGGCACGCUGGCAGUUAAUUCCAAAAAUCUUCAGAGAAAUGUUAGAAUUUCUCUUCUUCCAUAUAUAACAAUCGUUUCGAGGCGAAACUCUAGGAUCUACGAACGUCCGAUUCCAAUCAUCGGAAGUUUGCCGAAACCGAAUCCCUGGUAUUUCAAAACCCUAGAAUUUCCCGACUUUGAGGACUUUAUCUAUUCAGAGCUUCAAAUGAAUAUUCCACACGCGUACACCCAUUUCUCUUGAUGAUUUCAAUCUUUCUUCAGAAGGAAGUUUUCCAUUCCGACAUUCGAGGCAAAAAGCAACUUAUCGGGUAAAAUAGUUUUACACCGACUUUGCACCGACUUUGCAUUAGUUGCCAAAAAUACAAGGAGACAUCUUCUUAGCUUGGGAAUUCCUUUGCCAAAACCUAUCUUAGAAUUCAUGGUGAAUGACGCCGGAAAAAUCGGAUUCGCGGAACUUUCAUUUUCCCGCGAAUUUCCACCUUCUAUAUAUAGCAAACAAAGGAAGAAAAAACACAAUUUUCCUCCAUUUUCUCUCCUCUAAACCGCGGCCAAGAACAAGGAAGAAGGAAGAAGAGUUUUUCUUCAUCGUUUGCUUGAUCGUCGAUCAAUCAGUUGCUACUUCAAGGUUUCGAGGUAUAGUCGCUAAUCCUUACCUCCGAUCGCUUUUUCCAUAGCUUUUCUGUAGAGUUUUCUGAGCGGAUAGUUUAUGGGUUUUUGCAAAACUAUCCUGAAUCUUUCAUUUCUGAUUCUAAACCUCUUCUAUGUAUGCCCAAGAUCACUUCUGCCGGAUUAGAUUUUCCGUUAUGUCGCCGGAAUUCCGCCGGAAUCAAUUUGAACCUAAAAUACCCAUUUUAUGUAGUUUUUGAGUAAAGUUCCAACCUCUAGGCUGAAAACUAUCGCCUUAGUUUAGUGUUAGUAGGAUUAGUUGUCAUAAACGUCAUUAGUAACGUCCCUGCAAAAUUUUAUUUUUGGGAUUUCAGUUUUGAAAAUCCUAAGUUAAAAAUCAUGACCAAAAUACCCCUGCGACAGUUUUUGAUCCGAUAAUUUUUCCGAGUUCAGAAUACCCUUAGUUACGGCUUAUGAAAGCAUAGGAACCAAGUUUGAUCGAAGAAAAAUCGAACCCUACAAUUACCUAUAGUGGCCGAGAGCUAUAAGGGGGGAGGAGGAAAUUUCCUUUUCCGAAAACAUGUCUUUUCGCGCUAGAUUAUCGUACCUUAGAGUAUAGAUUACUUCGAGUAACCUUAGUAAGUAUCGAUAGCUUAGUUUCCGAUAGAUUCUGAUUGAUUUUUGUGGUUUUGUUCUAAAGGUGAUUUUGAGGAAUUUCCUGAGGAUCAACACCUUGCUUGUGAAGAAGAGUUUGAAGUUUUUGCUGGAGAACCUUCAGGUGAGGGCUUCUCACUGAAUCUCUAGUUAAUGCUUAGGGUCGAUAUUUCGACAUUGUUUACUGUUUAUGCACUGAGAUUGUGUGUGAUUGAAAAUGUUUUCUGAGGCUUCGGCUGACAAUGUAGAUGAUUCAUCUACUGAAUGUUUUUGAAGAUUGACUUACAUGCUAUGUGCUAUGUGGGUAAUCUAGGAUGUGUGGUGCAUGCUUUAUAUGCUAAGUGCUAAGUGUUUAUGAUGCGAUUUAUUGAUAUAUGACAUGUUGUUGAUUGUGAUGAUUUAAAUAUGCUUUACACUGAAAAUCUGAGAUUCUGAAUGGUGAGAAUAGCGGGCAGGUCAUGCCGAUUUUAUUUUGAGAGUUUUGAGAAAGUUUGAUAGGACGAACGAGGUUCGGGCCUUGUAUAGGGUUUAUGGAUCGAGACAUUCUCUGGAGUCAUUUGGGGAUUCGAAGAUCCCGAGAACUUAUAGGAAUUGCGAUAAGACUAAAAAUGAUAUUAUUUUGAAAAGAAAAUUCAUAAGACAUUAAACAACCUCUAAAUCUUUAAGUAAGGGUAAUAAUCUCGAAAGGAGGCUUUGGAUGAAAAUCAUAGUUUGGAAAACGAGAAGUGUCGUCGGAUCCAAGUGUUGAGUCUGUUGUUGUUGUGCUGUUGGAGCAGCGUUGGUUGUUGUGCUGUUGGAGCAGCGUUGGUUGUUGUGCUGUUGGAGCAGCGUUGGUUGUUGUGCUGUUGGAGCAGCGAUGUUGUUGGGCUAUCCUGGGGAUAAGUCCGGGGAACCGUUAGUUCCCGAGUAUGUGAUACUCUUGUGCUGUUGGAGCAGCGAUGUGUGUUGUGAAGUGUGUCUUUUGUCGCAGAAUCGACUUUACCUUAGGGUAAGCUUUUAGAGACUUUAACUUCCCUAGAACACGUGGCGACGUGUCGAGUGAGGACGGAGACGUUGUUUGACUAAUCAUUUUGCAUACAUGCAACAUUAAUGAGGUAUUAACACAGGACGUACUCUGGACCUCGUCGGUUUCCAAAAUGGUCAUAAGACCCGGAAUGCCGUGAAAGAGCGUUUGUAGACGUCUCUUGUAGCAGACCGAAAUGGCAGACCUACGGGUUACGGCUGAUCUGGCUACCUUGGUUUGGUGUAAGAGACACGCGGGCGGAAAUGGUCCCACCGUUGCUGGUGCUAGGAUUGAUCCGUUGAUGUCCAUCCCAGAGGCACGCGAGCGGAAAUGGUCCCACCGUUGCUGGUGCUAGGAUUGACUCGUUGUUGUCCAUACCUUUGCUUGGUGUAAGAGGCACGCGGGCAGAAAUGGUCCCACCGUUGCUGGUGCUAGGAUUGAUCCGUUUUGAUGCCCAUCCGUUUCCGGAUUGCAUAUUGGUUGACUGGGUUAACCUGCAUACAUAUCACGCAACAUGCAUACUGACUUAGUUGAUGAGUGUGGUUGCUAUUUGAUAAACUUACUUGGAACAUGCUAAAUGUUAUUAUUGUCAUUAUGAUUUGGUGGAACAUGCAACCCUAGGAAUGAUAUCUCUAGUUAUAAGCCUAAGUGGCUAUAUAUUAUUUGUACCUAUUGGGUUUAUUAUCUACAUAGUUCUUUAGAGUUGACCCUCGCGUCUUCUGUGUGUGUUUUGGCGGACAACGCCUUUUGUCAGAUGAGUAUUGCGGACUGGUUCACCAUGGUUUACCCUUCGGGGGAAACUAGGUUGGGAUGCUGGAACAGGAGCGCGUCGCGGUAGCGAGAGGAUGACGGAUGGUGUACAUAGACUAGGUCGUUCUGGAUUUCGAAUUCGGACGACGAUCAUGCUAGCAUGUAGGUUUUGGUGCUGGUGUGAGCUCCUCAAGAUGGGAUUAGUGUAGGAGUAGAGUCUUAGCUCUGAACAUCAUUUGUUUCUUUUGGGACAGGGUAGCUUCCCACCUAUAGCUUUUGUGUGGUUUCUUAACAGGAAUCACAGAGAGUUGGUUGGACUUAGGAGGUCUUGCUUCAGGCCGAUGGGCCAGCUGAUUUUCAGUUUUGAGGGAUGGUGUUGCGGACACUUCACCUUUAUUUUCAGUCUGUACAUAUUGCCUUCGGGCGCUACACUUUUCUUUCCGUCACUGGAGGUUUACUCGUGACGAGGUUAGUACUACAGCGGGGGCUGUUUAUGUAUCAUAUAUUAGUUCUGAUUUUGUUAUUGUUGGGUUUUAUUUAAUUCAGUCUCGUCUUAGUUAUUAUCAAAAAAAAAUAUUCACGUUUUUCCGCAUUAAGUUUACUUUUGGUUACUAAAGUGACGCCACCGAAAUCGGGGUGUUACAUUGUGGUAUCAGAGCACGGUCGAGUCUUUCGGGAGUUGUUGGGGAAUAGGUCUUCUGUGCUAGGUUGUGUGACUCUGCAAAGAGUGAAAAUUGAUUGUCUGCAAGCGAUUUUUCGCUUAAAAAUUGAUUGAAGUUAUUGCUUACUCAUAUUGUAUAGUUAUACUAGAUGCUAUCUUAUGAUGAGUACUAACUGUUUGUUUAACUUAACAGAACAUGGUGAAUACUAAUCAGCUAGCUGAGAUGAUGGCCACUAUGGCCCAAGCGGUAACAGCGCAAGCCCAAGCGGUAACAGCACAGGCAAACGAUAAUGCCAUGAGGCGUGCUACUGAAGAAGCACGUGAACAACAUCAGCGCCAGAGGGAAAUAACUCUGGACCAGAACAAAGGCCUCAAUGACUUCAGGAGGCAAAACCCACCAAAGUUCUCUGGUGGUACUGAUCCAGACGCAGCGGAUCUCUGGAUCCAGGAAAUCGAGAAGAUUUUCGGUGUUCUGCAGACUGUAGAGGGUGCCAAGGUGGGCAUGGCGACUUAUCUUCUGCUGGGAGAUGCUGAAUACUGGUGGAAGGGCACCAGGGGGAUCAUGGAAGCUAACCAUGAAGAAAUUAACUGGAACUCGUUCCGGACCGCAUUCUUGGAAAAGUAUUUUCCGACAAGUGCCCGGGAUGAGAGGGAGGCGCAGUUUUUGACACUCCGUCAGGGAGGUAUGUCUGUACCGGAAUUUGCUUCGAAGCUGGAGUCUUUGGCGAAGCAUUUUCAAUUCUUUAAUGAUCAUGUUGACGAGCGCUACAUGUGCAAGCGCUUCGUGAAUGGACUGAGGCCGGAUAUUGAGGACUCAGUGAGGCCACUAGGAAUCAUGCGAUUCCAAUCAUUGGUGGAGAAAGCCACGGAAGUGGAGCUGAUGAAGAACCGGAGGUUGAACCGGGCUGGAACUGGAGGGCCGAUGAGAUCAGGUUCUCAAAAUUUUCAAGACAAGGGGAAGUUUCAGAGCAGGAAACCAUAUCAGCGUCCUGCUGGAGGAGGGAUUACUUCAGGAUCUUACAGACCCAUGACGGGUACUGCUGGUGGUUCUGGAGAUCGGACUUUGAACAGGGAGGUGACCUGUUUCAGAUGUGAGAAGCCGGGGCACUAUGCUAAUGCUUGUCCCGACAAGAGGCCCAAAUGCUUUAAUUGUAACAGAAUGGGGCAUAAUGCCGAUCAGUGUAGAGCACCCAAGACGGAGCCAACCGUGAACACUGCUCGUGGAAAACGUUCUGCUGCUAAAGCAAGAGUUUACACCAUGGACGGUGAGAGAGCUGAAGGAUUUGUCAGAGGAGAGCGCAAGAACGAUGGUAACCUUCUAACCAAUCUUUCUUAUUUCAGUAUAAUAUUGUUCCAUUUCUCUCGUAACGUGUGCAAACACACCUAUCUUGCUUACAUCGUUUAAGCUUUGACCUUAUAGUUAGUACGCCUAUUAAUACCUUACUUGACCGUAGCUCGUAUUUUAACUAUAGAAGUACACGAGGUUUAGGAUAACAUGCUAAGCCUAGGAAGUAGUCUUCCACCGGUGCGUUUAAACGGAAGUAUAUUGCGGAUCUGACACAUGCUAUCGAGCUGGAUGACAGUAAGUUGAAGGAUGAGAUGACGAGAUGACUAGCUAAAUUCCUUGAAGUAUAGUUAUGAUUGGAUUCCUAGGGGAUAAAUCUCAUUUUAUGCGAAGUGUUAGGGAUUUCAGUAAGUCUGAGUUGGUUUGAGCGAGGAGGGUUUUGAGGACGAAGACGAUAAUAAUGAAUUGUAGAUAUUAAGAUGAAGGUUAGCUUAUAAGUUAUUGAUAAGUUAAUGUUAAAGGGGAUGAGUCUUGUGAUGCACAAGGUAUUAAGACUCAAGUUGAGCAUUCACUCCGGAGCAUAGAGAUGUACCGAGUUUCUAAUCAACAUUUUGGACGAACAAAAGCAAAGGAACGAGUGGUUAAUGUUGUGCAAUUGCAUGAAUGCCAACAAGUAUUACUUCAAACGGAGACUCAACGCAAGUGGUCGAACCGGACAACAUAGAGUUGGAAGAUGAUAUGUCUUUUGAGACGCCGUCGAAUCAACAUUGGGACUAGAAGAGUGAAACAAUCGAAGGGAAAGUAGAGUGCUUUAGUAAGAGUUAUUUGGAACAAAGACACGGACGGUGCUAUAUGGGUAUUAGAAGAAAAGAUCAAGGAAUAAUAUCCAGAACUUUUACGGACCCUUAAGUUUCGAGGACGAAACUUUCUUUUUGGAGGGUAGUAAUGUAAGACCCAAGUUUUUAAGCUUAUGUUAAGUGAAUAAACUUUUUAUUCACGAUUAGGGUUGAUGUAAUGUGAAGGGAAACCUGAACGAAAGUUUAUUAAAUGAAAUAUAUUUAUGAAGGAGAAAGUUCAGGAAAAGUUCAAGGAUUUCAUUAUGAUCGAUAAAAGUUAUAGCACGAACGUUUUACGCUUAAACCUAGGUCAGAAACCCUAGUAUAUAGCUAAUUUUCACUUUUAGGCACGCUGGCAGUUAAUUCCAAAAAUCUUCAGAGAAAUGUUAGAAAUUCUCUUCUUCCAUAUAUAACAAUCGUUUUGAGGCGAAACUCUAGGAUCUACGAACGUCCGAUUCCAAUCAUCGGAAGUUUGCCGAAACCGAAUCCCUGGUAUUUCAAAACCCUAGAAUUUCCCGACUUUGAGGACUUUAUCUAUUCAGAGCUUCAAAUGAAUAUUCCACACGCGUACACCCAUUUCUCUUGAUGAUUUCAAUCUUUCUUCAGAAGGAAGUUUUCCAUUCCGACAUUCGAGGCAAAAAGCAACUUAUCGGGUAAAAUAGUUUUACACCGACUUUGCACCGACUUUGCAUUAGUUGCCAAAAAUACAAGGAGACAUCUUCUUAGCUUGGGAAUUCCUUUGCCAAAACCUAUCUUAGAAUUCAUGGUGAAUGAUGCCGGAAAAAUCGGAUUCGCGGAACUUUCAUUUUCCCGCGAAUUUCCACCUUCUAUAUAUAGCAAACAAAGGAAGAAAAAACACAAUUUUCCUCCAUUUUCUCUCCUCUAAACCGCGGCCAAGAACAAGGAAGAAGGAAGAAGAGUUUUUCUUCAUCGUUUGCUUGAUCGUCGAUCAAUCAGUUGCUACUUCAAGGUUUCGAGGUAUAGUCGCUAAUCCUUACCUCCGAUCGCUUUUUCCAUAGCUUUUCUGUAGAGUUUUCUGAGCGGAUAGUUUAUGGGUUUUUGCAAAACUAUCCUGAAUCUUUCAUUUCUGAUUCUAAACCUCUUCUAUGUAUGCCCAAGAUCACUUCUGCCGGAUUAGAUUUUCCGUUAUGUCGCCGGAAUUCCGCCGGAAUCAAUUUGAACCUAAAAUACCCAUUUUAUGUAGUUUUUGAGUAAAGUUCCAACCUCUAGGCUGAAAACUAUCGCCUUAGCUUAGUGUUAGUAGGAUUAGUUGUCAUAAACGUCGUUAGUAACGUCCCUGCAAAAUUUUAUUUUUGGGAUUUCAGUUUUGAAAAUCCUAAGUUAAAAAUCAUGACCAAAAUACCCCUGCGACAGUUUUUGAUCCGAUAAUUUUUCCGAGUUCAGAAUACCCUUAGUUACGGCUUAUGAAAGCAUAGGAACCAAGUUUGAUCGAAGAAAAAUCGAACCCUACAAUUACCUAUAGUGGCCGAGAGCUAUAAGGGGGGAGGAGGAAAUUUCCUUUUCCGAAAACUUGUCUUUUCGCGCUAGAUUAUCGUACCUUAGAGUAUAGAUUACUUCGAGUAACCUUAGUAAGUAUCGAUAGCUUAGUUUCCGAUAGAUUCUGAUUGAUUUUUGUGGUUUUGUUCUAAAGGUGAUUUUGAGGAAUUUCCUGAGGAUCAACACCUUGCUUGUGAAGAAGAGUUUGAAGUUUUUGCUGGAGAACCUUCAGGUGAGGGCUUCUCACUGAAUCUCUAGUUAAUGCUUAGGGUCGAUAUUUCGACAUUGUUUACUGUUUAUGCACUGAGAUUGUGUGUGAUUGAAAAUGUUUUCUGAGGCUUCGGCUGACAAUGUAGAUGAUUCAUCUACUGAAUGUUUUUGAAGAUUGACUUACAUGCUAUGUGCUAUGUGGGUAAUCUAGGAUGUGUGGUGCAUGCUUUAUAUGCUAAGUGCUAAGUGUUUAUGAUGCGAUUUAUUGAUAUAUGACAUGUUGUUGAUUGUGAUGAUUUAAAUAUGCUUUACACUGAAAAUCUGAGAUUCUGAAUGGUGAGAAUAGCGGGCAGGUCAUGCCGAUUUUAUUUUGAGAGUUUUGAGAAAGUUUGAUAGGACGAACGAGGUUCGGGCCUUGUAUAGGGUUUAUGGAUCGAGACAUUCUCUGGAGUCACUUGGGGAUUCGAAGAUCCCGAGAACUUAUAGGAAUUGCGAUAAGACUAAAAAUGAUAUUAUUUUGAAAAGAAAAUUCAUAAGACAUUAAACAACCUCUAAAUCUUUAAGUAAGGGUAAUAAUCUCGAAAGGAGGCUUUGGAUGAAAAUCAUAGUUUGGAAAACGAGAAGUGUCGUCGGAUCCAAGUGUUGAGUCUGUUGUUGUUGUGCUGUUGGAGCAGCGUUGGUUGUUGUGCUGUUGGAGCAGCGUUGGUUGUUGUGCUGUUGGAGCAGCGUUGGUUGUUGUGCUGUUGGAGCAGCGAUGUUGUUGGGCUAUCCUGGGGAUAAGUCCGGGGAACCGUUAGUUCCCGAGUAUGUGAUACUCUUGUGCUGUUGGAGCAGCGAUGUGUGUUGUGAAGUGUGUCUUUUGUCGCAGAAUCGACUUUACCUUAGGGUAAGCUUUUAGAGACUUUAACUUCCCUAGAACACGUGGCGACGUGUCGAGUGAGGACGGAGACGUUGUUUGACUAAUCAUUUUGCAUACAUGCAACAUUAAUGAGGUAUUAACACAGGACGUACUCUGGACCUCGUCGGUUUCCAAAAUGGUCAUAAGACCCGGAAUGCCGUGAAAGAGCGUUUGUAGACGUCUCUUGUAGCAGACCGAAAUGGCAGACCUACGGGUUACGGCUGAUCUGGCUACCUUGGUUUGGUGUAAGAGACACGCGGGCGGAAAUGGUCCCACCGUUGCUGGUGCUAGGAUUGAUCCGUUGAUGUCCAUCCCAGAGGCACGCGAGCGGAAAUGGUCCCACCGUUGCUGGUGCUAGGAUUGACUCGUUGUUGUCCAUACCUUUGCUUGGUGUAAGAGGCACGCGGGCAGAAAUGGUCCCACCGUUGCUGGUGCUAGGAUUGAUCCGUUUUGAUGCCCAUCCGUUUCCGGAUUGCAUAUUGGUUGACUGGGUUAACCUGCAUACAUAUCACGCAACAUGCAUACUGACUUAGUUGAUGAGUGUGGUUGCUAUUUGAUAAACUUACUUGGAACAUGCUAAAUGUUAUUAUUGUCAUUAUGAUUUGGUGGAACAUGCAACCCUAGGAAUGAUAUCUCUAGUUAUAAGCCUAAGUGGCUAUAUAUUAUUUGUACCUAUUGGGUUUAUUAUCUACAUAGUUCUUUAGAGUUGACCCUCGCGUCUUCUGUGUGUGUUUUGGCGGACAACGCCUUUUGUCAGAUGAGUAUUGCGGACUGGUUCACCAUGGUUUACCCUUCGGGGGAAACUAGGUUGGGAUGCUGGAACAGGAGCGCGUCCCGGUAGCGAGAGGAUGACGGAUGGUGUACAUAGACUAGGUCGUUCUGGAUUUCGAAUUCGGACGACGAUCAUGCUAGCAUGUAGGUUUUGGUGCUGGUGUGAGCUCCUCAAGAUGGGAUUAGUGUAGGAGUAGAGUCUUAGCUCUGAACAUCAUUUGUUUCUUUUGGGACAGGGUAGUUUCCCACCUAUAGCUUUUGUGUGGUUUCUUAACAGGAAUCACAGAGAGUUGGUUGGACUUAGGAGGUCUUGCUUCAGGCCGAUGGGCCAGCUGAUUUUCAGUUUUGAGGGAUGGUGUUGCGGACACUUCACCUUUAUUUUCAGUCUGUACAUAUUGCCUUCGGGCGCUACACUUUUCUUUCCGUCACUGGAGGUUUACUCGUGACGAGGUUAGUACUACAGCGGGGGCUGUUUAUGUAUCAUAUAUUAGUUCUGAUUUUGUUAUUGUUGGGUUUUAUUUAAUUCAGUCUCGUCUUAGUUAUUAUCAAAAAAAAAUAUUCACGUUUUUCCGCAUUAAGUUUACUUUUGGUUACUAAAGUGACGCCACCGAAAUCGGGGUGUUACAGUUUACUGUUUAUGCACUGAGAUUGUGUGUGAUUGAAAAUGUUUUCUGAGGCUUCGGCUGACAAUGUAGAUGAUUCAUCUACUGAAUGUUUUUGAAGAUUGACUUACAUGCUAUGUGCUAUGUGGGUAAUCUAGGAUGUGUGGUGCAUGCUUUAUUGAGAAAGUUGAGGGGCUUCGAGUAUGUAGAUGUUGUGGUGCUGUUGGAGCAGCGUUUGUUGUUGUGCUGUUGGAGCAGCUAUUGUGGUUGUGCUGUUGGAGCAGCUAUGUUGUUGGGCGUAUCUUCGACUUUGCGGCGCGAAUCCGUAUGUCCAAACCCGACGGUUUGGGCCGAUUCGGCAAUAAUUGUUGACACGCGCGAAUCCGUAUAUUCAAUCCGAUGGAUUGGAUCGAUUCGGCGGUAGUCACUCAGGCUCGCGUGAAUUCGUAUGUUCAAUCCGAGGGAUUGGAUCGAUUCAGCGACAACUUUUCGACACGCGCGAAUCCGUAUAUUCAAUCCGAUGGAUUGGAUCGAUUCGGCGGUAGUCACUCAGGCUCGCGUGAAUCCGUAUGUUCAAUCCGAGGGAUUGGAUCGAUUCAGCGACAAUUUUUCGACACGCGCGAAUCCGUAUAUUCAAUCCGAUGGAUUGGAUCGAUUCGGCGGUAGUCACUCAGGCUCGCGUGAAUCCGUAUGUUCAAUCCGAGGGAUUGGAUCGAUUCAGCGACAACUUUUCGACACGCGCGAAUCCGUAUAUUCAAUCCGAUGGAUUGGAUCGAUUCGGCGGUAGUCACUCAGGCUCGCGUGAAUCCGUAUGUUCAAUCCGAGGGAUUGGAUCGAUUCAGCGACAACUUUUCGACACGCGCGAAUCCGUAUAUUCAAUCCGAUGGAUUGGAUCGAUUCGGCGGUAGUCACUCAGGCACGCGUGAAUCCGUAUGUUCAAUCCGAGGGAUUGGAUCGAUUCAGCGAUAACCUUUCGACUCGCGCGGAUCCGUAUGUUCAAUCCGAUGGAUUGGAUCGAUUCGGCGAUAGUCAUUGGACACGCGCAAUGUCCGUAUGUUCGACUCUUUUGAGUGAACCGACUUGGCGUUGUCAUUUGUUGCGUGUGCGAGUCCGUAUGUUCAACCCAGGGGGUUGGAUCGACUUGACAUGCCUAAUUGUUGGGCUAUCCUGGGGAUAAGUCCGGGAAACCGGGAGUUUCCGAGUAUGUGAUACUCUUUGCUUGUUGAGCAGUUGUGACCAUCGAAUUGAGAUGAGUCGGAUGAUCCGGAGAUCAUCAUGAGUUACUAUGUGGAUGUGAAGAAGUGUCUUUUGUCGCAGAAUCGACUUUACCUUAGGGUAAGCUUUUAGAGACUUUAAUUUACCUAGAACACGUGGCGACGUGACGAGUGAGAGUCGGAGACGUUGUUUGACUAAUCAUCCUGCAUUCAUGCAUACUGAUUUAGUUGUCGAGUGUGAUUGUUAAUUGUUAAUCCUAUUUGGAACAUGUUAAUUGUUAUUAUUGCUGUUAAGUUCAUUAUGGAAAAUGCAACCCUAGGAUGUUAUCCCUAGCUAUAAGCCUAAGUGGCUAUUCUCUUAUCUAUAUCUAUUGGUGCUAUUAUUUAUGUAAUUCUUUGGAGUUGACCCUCGCGUCUUCUGUGUGUGCUUUGGCGGACAAACGCCCUUUGUGAGAUGUCUUUGGCGGACUGGUUCACGACGGUUCACCCUUCGGGGGAAACUAGAGUUGGGAUGCUGGAACAGGAGCGCAUCGCGAUAGCGAGCGGAGGACGGAUGGUGUACAUAGACUAGGUCGUUCUGAAUUCAGGUUCGGGCGACGAUCAUGCUAGCAUGUAGGUUUUAGUGCUGGUGUGAGCUCCUCGAGAUGGGAUUAUUGUAGGAGUAGAGUCUUAGCUCUGGACGUCAUUUGUUUUCUUUGGGGACAGGGUAGUUUCCCACCUAUAGCUUUUUGUGUGGUUCUUUACGGGAAUCACAGAGAGUUGGUUGGACUUAGGAGGUCUUGCUUCAGGCCGAUGGGCCAGCCUAUUCUCAGUUUUGAGGGAUGGUGUUGCGGACACUUGACCUUUCUUUUGGAUUAUACCUUUUGCCUACGGGCGUUCUUUUCUACUACUUUCCGUCACUGGAGGUUACUCGUGACGAGGUUGGGUACUUACAGCGGGGGGGUUGUAAAUAUAUAUUGGAUAAUAGUUUUAUUGCUUAUCGCAUUUGGGUUUUAUUUAAUUCAGUCUUGUCUUAGUUAUUAUCAAAAAACAAAUAUUUAUGUUUUUCCGCAUUAAGUUUACUUUUGGUUACUAAAGUGACGCCACCGAAAUCGGGGUGUUACAGGUGGAUUCCAAAAUGGUCAUAAGACCCGGAUUUCCAUAAAAGAACACUACGGUGAUUCUUAGUAGCAGACGGAAAUGGCAGACCUUCGGGUUCACUAAUGAUCUGACUACACUUUGUGUGGUGUAAGAGACACGCGAGCGAAAAUGGUCCCACCGUUGCUGGUGUAAGACCCAAGUUUUUAAGCUUAGAAUAAGUGGAAGAGAUUUCCAUUUACGAUUAGGCUUGACGUAUCGUGAAGGAAAAACCUGAACAAGAGUUUAUCGAAUGAAAUAAAUUUAUGAAGGAGAAAGUUCAGGAAAAGUCUAAGGAUUGUAUCCGAAUCGGUAAAAGGUAUAGCACGAUCGAUUCACUUAAGCCUAGGACAAGAACCUUAGGAAAAGACUAAGUUCCACCCUUGGAACACUGUAGGAAUUUAUUCCAAAAAAAACUUCAGAGAAAUGUUAGAACUUCUGUUUUUCCAUAUAUCACAAUCGUUUCGAGGCGAAACUCUAGAAUCUACGAACGUCCGAUUCCAAUCAUCGGAAGUUUGCCGAAACCAAAACCGCUGAUUCAAGAUGGUUCGUCGUUCGGGGAGGAUCCUAAGCACAAUGACUGCUACUGAGCCUUCGACGUGGACCCGGACUUCAUGCAUGAUUGGAUGAGGGUCGAUGUUAGGAGUGUAUUAUAUGGGGGGAUUGUUUUCACAACUCUGAUUGUCAUUUCCCAUUUGGGGCUGACUUAUCUUCUUGAAAACUGUAUUCAUAAAACUCAUGGCUCUGACCAUGGGAUGAACUUAUUCGCCUGCGGGCACUAUCUCCAAUCACUUUAUGUUUAUUAUCUUUGGGUUGAGUCUUCAUUAUGUUAAGUCUUAUAUUUGAAAAGAAAACGAAAAAAAAAUAUUUACGCAUUUUCCGCACUAUUGAUUUAAAGUCACUAAAGUGGCACCACCGAAAUCGGGGUGUUACAUUGUGGUAUCAGAGCUUAUCGAGUCUUUCGGGAGUCUUUGGGGAAUUGGUCUUCUGUGCUAGGUUGUGUGACUCUGCAAAGAGUAAAAAAAAUUGAUUGUCUGCCAAGCGAUUUUUCGCUUAGAAUUGAUUGAAGUUAGUGCUUAAUCAUAUUGUAUAGCAUGUUAGACGCUAUCUUAUGAUGAGUACUAACUGUUUGAUUGACUUAACAGAACCUAGAUGUUAUCCUAGGGAUGGAUUGGUUGUCUCACUAUCAUUGUCUUUUGGACGAACAAAAGCAAAGGAGCAAGUGGUCGAACCGGACAACAUAGAGCUGGAAGAUGAAAGGUCUUUUGAGACGCCGUCGAACCAGCAUUGGGGCUAGAAGAGUGAAACAAUCGAAGAGAAAGCAGAGUGUUUUAGUGAAAGUUAUUUAGAACAAAGACACGGACGGUGCUAUAUGGGUAAUAGAGGAGAAGAUCAAGGAAUAAUAUCCAGAACUUUUUACUGAUCCUUAAGUUUCGAGGACGAAACUUUCUUUUUGGAGGGUAGUAAUGUAAGACCCAAGUUUUUAAGCUUAGAAUAAGUGGAAGAGAUUUCCAUUUACGAUUAGGCUUGACGUAUCGUGAAGGAAAAACCUGAACAAGAGUUUAUCGAAUGAAAUAAAUUUAUGAAGGAGAAAGUUCAGGAAAAGUCUAAGGAUUGUAUCCGAAUCGAUAAAAGGUAUAGCACGAUCGAUUCACUUAAGCCUAGGACAAGAACCUUAGGAAAAGACUAAGUUCCACCCUUGGAACACUGUAGGAAUUUAUUCCAAAAAAAACUUCAGAGAAAUGUUAGAACUUCUCUUUUUCCAUAUAUCACAAUCGUUUCGAGGCGAAACUCUAGAAUCUACGAACGUCCGAUUCCAAUCAUCGGAAGUUUGCCGAAACCAAAACCGCUGAUUCAAGAUGGUUCGUCGUUCGGGGAGGAUCCUGAGCACAAUGACUGCUACUGAGCCUUCGACGUGGACCCGGACUUCAUGCAUGAUCGGAUGAGGGUCGAUGUUAGGAGUGUAUUAUAUGGGGGGAUUGUUUUCACAACUCUGAUUGUCAUUUCCCAUUUGGGGCUGACUUAUCUUCUUGAAAACUGUAUUCAUAAAACUCAUGGCUCUGACCAUGGGAUGAACUUAUUCGCCUGCGGGCACUAUCUCCAAUCACUUUAUGUUUAUUAUCUUUGGGUUGAGUCUUCAUUAUGUUAAGUCUUAUAUUUGAAAAGAAAACGAAAAAAAAAUAUUUACGCAUUUUCCGCACUAUUGAUUUAAAGUCACUAAAGUGGCACCACCGAAAUCGGGGUGUUACAGCUGGUGCUAGGAUUGACUCGUUAGUGCCCAUCCGUUCCGGAAUGCAUUUGUUAACCAGCAUUGCAUUUCAUGCAACAUGCAUACUGACUUAGUUGCUGAGUGUGAUUGAUAAUUGUUAAUCUUAUCUGAUGCAUGUUAAUGGUUAUUACUGUCUUUUAUAUUCAUUGUGAAAUAUACAACCCUAGGAUGCUAUCUCUAACUUAUAAGCCUAAGUAGCUAUCUCUAUCUGUAUCUAUUGGAUUUAUUAUUUACGUAAUUCUUUGGAGUUGACCCUCGCGUCUUCUGUGUGUGCUUUGGCGGACUACGCCUUUUGUCAGAUGUCCAUGGCGGACUGAUUCACGAUGGUUCAUCCUUCGGGGGGAACUAGGUUUGAGGCCAGCACCGGAGCGGAUCGCGAUAGCGAGAGGAGAACGGAUGGUGUACAUAGACUAGGUCGUUCUGGAUUCAGAUUCGGACGACGAUCAAGCUAGCAUGUAGGUUUUAGUGCUGGUGUGAGCUCCUCGAGAUGAGAUUAGUGUAGGAGUAGAGUCUUAGCUCUGACCGUUAUGUUUUCUUUUGGGAACAGGGUAGUUUCCCGCCGAUAGCUUUUUGUGUGGUUUCUUUACGGGAAUCACAGAGAGUUGGUUGGACUUAGGAGGUCUUGUUUUAGGCCGAUGGGCCAGCUUAUUCUCAUUUUUGAGGGAUAGUGUUGCGAACACUUGACCUUUCUUUUGGUUUGUACUUCUUGCCUACGGGCGUUCCUUUCUACUACUUUCCGUCACUGGAGGUUACUCGUGACGAGGUUGGGUACUUACAGCGGGGGCUGUAAUUUAUAUUGUAUAUUAGUUCUAGUAUCUUUUGUCGUCUAGUUUUAUUUCUUUCAGUCUUUGGUUCCAUUAUCAAAAAAAAAAAUAUUCACGUUUUUCCGCAUUAAAUUUAUUUUUGUUACUAAAGUGACGCCACCGAAAUCGGGGUGUUACAUAUAACGUAUGUGUGUAUUAUAUAAUUUUUUAAUCUAUUAUAGUUUAGAAAAAAUAAUUUGAAGAAACAUAAUAGAUUAAAAUAAUUAUAACUAAAGUUGACUAAAUUUAAAUUUACUAAAUAAUAUUUUACGAUAUUAAAAUUAGAAAGACAUUAGCGGGUUAUACCAACAUUAACCAAAUUCAUCCAAUCCGUGUCAAACUAGAAUUUUAGUCAUUGUAGUGUUUCUUCAGUUUGUUAUAAGAAAAACAGUUUAAUGGAUAUGCACUGUGAGUUAGGCCUAGCCAGAACACCGACCGAACCCGGCGGUUCGGUUUGGUUUGGUUUGGUUCGCGGGUGGUUCGGGUGCAAAAAACCGGAUUUAGGUGGUUUGGUCUGGUCAGUUUCGGUUUGAACUCCAGACCAACCGAACCAGGUCUGAGAAAAAAACCAGCCCAGCCCAAUACUAACCUUAGUCUUUUUAGCCCAACCCACUAUAAAUACCCUCUCUUAACCCUCAACCUCUCAACUUCCAAACCCUAGUUGUCUCUCUCAACCUCUCAUGACUUUCAACCUCUAGUGUCUCUCUCAAUCUCUCAUCACUCUCAACCCUAAACCUAGCCGCCACACUCUCCCAACCUUCUUCUCUGAAUGCCUCCUGUAAGACCAAGAUUUGGUCAGGUUGUACAACUCUAUGUUUUAAUGAUAACAAGUUUAUUAUUAUGUAUGAACAAUUAUGAUACUCUAACGUUUGUCUCUUUAAGUUGUGACAAACAGGCUAUGACUCUGAUUCAAAGACGCUAUACUAAUCAGAAGUUGAAGACCAAGAGUAACCAGCACAACGCUUCUGCACAUAACUACGUUCUUCUGAAUGGUAGAAAACGCUUCAGAUCCUCUGAAAAUUAUAAGCUCUGAUGAGGACUUUGAACAUUCCAAGCUCUGAAGUUCUGAAGACCAGAUGUUCUGAGGAACGAUCCAGAAGCUGAAGACUCGGAAGCUCUAAAGUCCAAGAGUAAGCUGGCUCUCAAGACCAGAAGCACUUCAUGCUCUGAAGGCCAGAUGUUCUGAUGAACGGUCCAGAAGUAGAAGUUCUGAUGAUCUGAAGAUCCAAGCUUCGCUCUGACUCUGAUCACACGAGCUUCACAAGUUCCAACAUGAAGCGACGCCCAAGAUCAAGAGUCAACUAGGCUAAGGCAUUGUCACUGUCAUUCGUACAAAAGCUAAUGUACUAUUCUGACUGCCUCACCUACGACGAUCAGCCACAGCAGGCUCUGGAAAUUCUAGAACUGCCCUCCAACGGACAGAUUCAUCCAACGGAUACACAUUCUUUACCUUAGAGUAUUUAAAGGCUGAAGACUGAAGAAAUCAACUAAGAAACUUUGCACAUCCAAGUGAAAUACUCUCAGCGAAUAUCUUAGCAAUAUUUCUUCUUUGCUCUUAGUGUGUUUACUUCUGCUUAUUAAGAAGCAUUUCUUUGUAAACUGAACUCUUUCACAAACUUUGUUUGUAGAUUCCUUGAGAGACCAGUGAGGUCAGAAUUCUUGAGAAGACUAAGGCAAGGUUGUCUUAGUGCUGCUAGUUCAUUGUAUUGUUAGUCACUGAGCAGGUUGCUAGUGCAGUUGUAACAAUCAUUGAAUAGUGAAUUGCCUUCAUUCUAAGAAGGAAGAAAUCACCUUAACGGGUGGACUGGAUUAGCUUGAGGGAUUUAUCGAGUGAAUCAGGAUAAAAUCAUUGUGUGCUUUUCUCUUUCCCUUACCUCUUACAUCUUGUGAUCUUUAGUCCGAAAAGAUUAUCUUGAAAUCUUAGAGGGGAAAUUCAAAAAGCUCCAAACCCUAUUCAAACCCCCCCCCCCUUUCUAGUGUUUUUCAUACCUUCACCUCCGUCCAUCGCACCACCACCUCCUUCUCAUUCUCUUCGAUCCAGUGCCAUCACCACGAUCCAGCGAUGCAAAACCUUUUCCUUCUCUGAGGUCCAGAUCCGCCAACACCCUCGCACCACCAUCGUGCCAUCAAAUACCGCUGCACCAUCACCUUAGAUCUAGGUUCUUCCAUCUGUUUUCCUUUUUUGUUGUAAAAAUAUCUGCUAAAUGAUGAUUUAAGAUCAGAUCUGUUAAUUUUUUUUUCAAUCUUCAUCUCCUGUUUUGGAUUUUUCUCAAUCUUUUCAGCUUUGCAGGUGUUGUGAUUGUCUGCAUUUUAUCUAAGUGUGUUUUAUAACAACAUGUCGGACACGAUGUUGUAACAUCUUGACUAUGACAUUUGUCCCUCCGAAUCUGUUGUGAGUUGGCUAAGUAAUCUGUGAAGCUUUGUAUUGAUUACGUGGUAUUUAAGUUAGGGUUUUGAUGGAAGCUUAUGUGCGCCGUUCAAGGAAUAUAUCAAGGGUGAUCAAAUCAGUUUCAAGGGAUUUGAUCUGAGAUAUUUGUGGAAGUUUUUAUCUGCAACUAAAACGCAUCUUUGGAGAUUUUCUGCAGAUUUGUUUUAUUUACAACUUCCUGUUUUAGUGUGGACUAUUGUGCUCGCUCAAGCCCAUUGAAGACAAGCCUGGUCGACUACUACUGAUGGAGACAAAAACCUAGUUGCUAGGUGUGCUUCGUGUUGAGUGAAUUAGGUUUACUCUUGUUAGUUCACACUUGUGAUUUUUCUCUCAGCAGCUUUAUGUUAUUGUUCUAAACUGAGAGUUGUUUUGUGAGUUGUUUGAUCUUGAGAUCGUCUUCACUCUUGUUAAAAGAGUUCAAUCAUCAUGGCAGUGAUUGUGUGUGAGAAAGUGAAAGGGGCUCUCAUACUUAGGGGGGACUAAGUAAUAAGCCACGGGUAGAGAUAGGUAGAAAAGGCACUGAACUGGGGCAGUUCAAUUAAGACCUUUUGUGUACAAUUUCUCUAUUUUAUGAGAACAAAUAUAUUAUAUUAAUAACAAAGAUAGAUCAUGAGAACAAUCCUCUCAUGUAGAUUGAAUGACAAAGUUAUACCAAUAAAAACAUUCACCCCAAGCCCAAGCUUAAAUAACAAUGAGCCUAACCACCCCUUGAACUAUUUUGGUGUAGAAGACAGCUAUGCACAGCCUCAUUAAAACCCCAUUGGGAAAAACCCAGUGGGAAAAACCCAUUGGGAAAAAGCCAACACCAAAAAUAGACACUAAUAAUGAACUUUGAAUUCACAUCAGAUCUUGAUACACAGUAGCAAAAGAAGCUAGAACAGAAACCAUAUAGGAAUUAAUCCAAGCUGUUGCAUAUAUUCAUUCCUUUGACAGAACUUCCUCUUCAUGCCUUCUUUAAUAUACCCACCAAGGACCAUGACACGAAGCCAAAAAUAUUCCAUGAACCUCAGACAUAAACCAUUGUACAGACCGCAACUCUUUCAUAUUUCCAUAGAAAACCAGAGUUUUCCCCAGCCAAAAAACAGAUGAGCAACGACUCUUUUAGCCAAUUUAUCUGCAAUAGAAACUAAAAGCACACCAAAGCUCAACCAAGACCUUCAUUCUUUUUUACCCUUGGCGAACAAUAAGCUCAAUCCCUCACCAAUUGGUCCAUAACCUCCUGGAGCUCUCUCACAAGGCUGGUGACUCUAUCAGAUAUAGCAAUAGCACUCCUCCCCUUCCAACGCUAAAUUUUCUUAUACAAUGAUUUCAGUUUCUCAUGGAACGUGCCUCCUGCCCCACCUACCACCAAGAAGAAAGCCAUCAGGAUUUACCAAGGAGUUAAAAUCAUCAUCCAACAUCCAGCAGUGGUAAAACCUGAAAGGAUUUGGACCAAAGUCCACUGAACCCAUGGCCAGAGAUACAGCUCUGUGUUCAGAUAACCCCCAACUCUCCGCAUAUUGAUUCACCUCGUCAAGUUCACGAAGUAUCUCUUCACAGAUCAACCAUCGGCCUAACCGGCUCCAAAUGACAUCUUGUCUCGAUUUAAACCAUGUGAACUCAAUAUUUUCUAAAGGAAAGUCUAUUAGGUUCAACCCCAAAGUAAAAUCACACAAAUUGUGAUCAACAACCCCCAUCCAAGCCCCAACCUCUGAUCCUAAAUUACAUUUGUUACAGUAAUAUAAACAAGGUCCCAGCAAGAUAGUGAGCCCCCUGCAUAACCUUCCACCAAAACCUCAACGAAACUGAGAUUGAAAGAUUUAUCAAAAAGAUCCCCAAUUCCUCCUUUGUUAACUCCAAGCUUAGUCUCUUGAGUCAAGAUUACCUCAACUUUCCCUUCCAUAAUGCGACUUCCACAGCUUUACGUUUCUCAGCACUACCCAACCCCCUAGCAUUCCAAGAAACCCUCCUCCGUGGACGACCCAUUCAAUCAUCCAGUACAGGUUGGUCCUCUUCCAGUUAUUUUGCUAACCCUUUAAUAGCUUCUUCGCCGCUGCCGGGAAAAACUAGCCCAACGGAUUUUCCCAGGAUCCAAGCCUUUGUGGCUCUAGUAAAAUAUUUGUCAGAGCCACUCCUUGUAGCUGUUGCUUGCAAUUCUGCAAAGCCAAGGUCAAUUCCCCCAAACCCCUCCGAGAUUUCCCUAAGGAUGGAGGGACCAACUUUAGAUUUUGGUUUUCUACCCAUUUUCUUCUUGACCUGUCCCGGUUUAGCACAAUCCAGCUCCAAACACUCCAGAGAUUUGAGUUUCGAGGUCUGGCUAACACCUUGCUUUGCCCUUUUCAACCCUUCCUCGUCAUCGAGCACACUCGAUUAAUAGUGGAUUAUCUUUCUCGGGUGAAAACCCUCCAGACGUAGGUGACAUUGCACCGAACUGGGUUAACAAUCUUCUGUGUCUUGUUUGUUAUUUUUGUUCUUAAACUUGCUUAUCUGAACAUUAUAUUUUGUGUUAUGAUAUACAAGAUGUCAUGGACAUCUGGUAGAACAUCUAUCCGCGUGUGUCAGAAUUUCAAUUGGCAUCAGAGCAGGCACCCUGUUCUGGUUGGGUGAGCUCCAGGGAAAUACUAUUAUGGUAAGAUGGACAACGAAAAAGAUGUGGGAUCGAUUCAUAGGCCACCUAUACUUUAUGGGACUAAUUAUGACUAUUGGAAGGCACGCAUGGUUGCUUUUCUCAUAUCAAUUGAUGGCAAGACCUACAAGUCAUUUCUCAAAGGAUGGAAGCACCCUGUCAAGACUACUCAAGAAGGAACCUUAACCACUGAACUGAAACCAGAAGAAGACUGGAAUAAGGAGGAAGAUGAAGAAGUUGUUGCUAAUUCAAAGGUUGUCAAUGCUAUCUUUAAUGGCGUUGAUAAGAAUAUGUUCAGACUAAUUCACGCUUGUAUUGUUGCCAAAGAUGCUUGGGAAAUCCUCAAGGUUGCUCAUGAGGGUACUGCUAGAGUUCGCAUGUCAAUACUUCAACUAUUAACUACUCAUUUGAGAACCUCAGGAUGAAGGAGGAUGAAACUAUCUCUGAGUUUCACAUGUGUGUACGUGACAUGGAAAAUGCAUCCUUUGCCUUAGGAGAACAUAUGUCAGAGGAAAAACUCAGCCUAAGAAAUUUGACAUGAAAGUCACAGCUAUUGAGGAGGCACAGGACAUCAGUAGCAUCAAGGUGGAUGAACUUAUUCGCUCGCUACAAACAUUUGAAAUGUCUUUCAAUGAUAGAACAGAGAAGAAGAGCAAGAGUAUAACAUUUGUGUCCAACACUGAUGAGAAUUAUCAAAGUGAGAAAGACACUGAGGAGAAUUUGACAGAGGCUUUAGCACUGCUUGGGAGAAAAUUCAACAAAGUCAUGAGGAGGUUUGAUAGAAGACCUAGGCCAAAUGGUUUAGACAAGCGGUCAGACAUUGCCAAGAACUCUGGAUAGGCUCACAAGAAUAAGGAGGAAGACAAAUCUAACAAAAGCAAAGGAUUUCAAUGCCAUGAAUGUGAAGGUUAUGGUCAUAUCAAAGCUGAAUGUGAAACUUAUCUGAAGAAGCAAAGGAAAGGAAUGUUGGCAACUUGGUCAGAUGAUGAUGAUUCUGAAGAUGAAGACGAGAGUCAAGUACUGGGUUUGACAGUAAAAUGCCAUUCUAACAGUGAGUCUAGUGAUGAAGAAAUUUCAGAGGAAGAACUUGCUGAAACCUACAAGUUACUUUUCAAGAAAUGGCAAGAAGCUUGUGACUAUGCAAAGAAGCUGGAAGGAACUGCCAAGGGACUUCAGAAGGAAAAACAAAGUUUCAAGACAUCAAUGACAACCUUCAAGAGGAAUUAUCAGUGAUGAAAUCCAGACUUGAAGGGAUGGUAAAAUCAGUACGUAUGCUGAACAAGGGCACUGAUACGUUUGACCAGAUUCUGAAAUCAGGAAAAACAGCCAAAGAUAUGAAGGGUCUGGGAUAUGAGAGUGACACCACACCAGAAGAAACCAAAAAGGCUACUCCUAAGUUUGUUGCUGCUGAAAAGAAAAGUGAAUUCAAGAUGUCGGACAACAUGUGUACCCACAAAUACCCUAUGUGUAUCCACAGGUUCAGAAGGCAAAAAGCACUAGCUGGAAAUGUCAUCAUUGUGGUAGAUAUAUAUGGACACAUAAGACCUUAUUGCUACAGGUUGUCUGGAUUUCCAAAAGGAAAAUCUUCUCAGUUAAUAACUCAUGAAGCAAGAAAGAAAGAGUGGAAGGUUAAAAGCAACAUGUCUACUUUAUUUGCUUACACCUCUCUAAGAGUAUCCUCUAAAGAGGAUUGAUAUUUUGACAGUGGUUGUUUAAGACACAUGACUGGAGUGAAGAGCUAUCUUGGUGACAUGAAGCCUCACUCUACCAGUUAUGUUACCUUUGGUGAUGAUGCUAAAGGAAAAAUAAAGGGAUCUGGAAAACUUGUCAGUAGUGGAUCUCCUGAGUUGAAUGAUGUGUUCCUAGUUAAAGGUUUAGCAGCCAACCUGAUCAGUAUAAGUCAGCUAUGUGAUUUAGAUCUCGAUGUUACCUUUUGUAAAACUGGUUGCAAAGUAUCUGAUGAGAAUGGUGAAGUGAUAAUGAGAGGAGCUAGAUCAAAGGAUAAUUGUUAUAUGUGGAUCUCUCAGUAUAAAUCCAUGUCUUCAAGAUGCUUGGUAACCAAGGAAGAGGAAGUUAAAAUGUGGCACCAAAAACUUGGGCAUCUGAAUCUCAAGAUCAUGAAGAAGUUCAUCUCCAACGAAGCUAUCAGAGGACUACCCAAACUAAAAAUAGAAGAAGGGAGAAUAUGUGGAGAAUGUCAGGUUGGAAAGCAAACCAAGGUUUCACAUAAGAAGUUACAACUUGUGGCUACAAACAGGAUUUUGGAACUUCUUCACAUGGAUCUCAUGGGACCAAUGCAGGUAGAAAGCAUUGGAGGAAAAAGGUAUGCUUUUGUUUGUGUAGAUGAUUUCUCUAGAUAUACCUGGGGAAAGUUUAUUGCAGAAAAAUCAGACACAUUUGAUGUGUUCAAGGAACUAAGUCAACAACUUCAGAGGGAGAAGGGAUCUAGAAUUGUGAGAAUUCGUAGUGAUCAUGGCAAAGAGUUUAAAAACAGCAGGUUUUCAGAUUAUUGCACUGAGAAUUCGUAGUGAUCAUGGCAAAGAGUUUAAAAACAGCAAAUCGUGUUACCAUCAAAUUUGGAACUACAUCAAAUCAGUAUGAGUUGUGGAAAGGAAGAAAGCCAACUGUGAAUUACUUCCAUGUCUUUGGUAGUAAAUGUUACAUUCUAGUUGAUCGUGAGCAGAGAAGGAAAAUGGAUCCAAAGAGUGAUGAAGAUAUUUUUCUGGGGUAUUCUACAAACAACAAAGCUUAUAGAGUAUACAACUCUCGUACCAAGAUAUUGAUGGAAUCUAUAAAUGUUGUAGUUGAAGACAACCUAGAAGACAUGAAAAUUGCAGAGGAGAUUGUUGAUGAUCCUUUACCUCAGUCAGAUGUUGACAGACCAAAUGUCUCAGACAUCUGGUCAGACAAUGAAUCUGAAGAAGAAAAUGAAAGCUUGACUCCUCAGAAUAAAGGACCCUCUAUUCGAAUACAGAAGAUUCAUCCUAGGGAAAACAUCAUAGGGGAUCUGAAUGAAGGUGUCAUUACUAGAUCCAGAGAAGUCAUCUCCAAUGGGUGUUGCAUUUCGAAAAUUGAUCCCAAGAACAUCAAGGAGGCUUUGACAGAUGAUUAGUGGAUAAAUGCUAUGCAAGAGGAAUUAGCUCAAUACAAGAGGAAUGAGGUUUGGAACUUAAUUCCUAGGCCUGAUGGGGUAAAUGUCAUAGGUACCAAGUGGAUUUUCAAGAACAAAUCUGAUGAGAAUGAUACUAUUACCAGAAAUAAGGCCAGAUUGGUAGCUCAGGGAUACACUCAGAUUGAAGGAGUGGACUUUGAUGAAACUUUUGCUCCAGUGGCUAGACUGGAAUCAAUCAGACUUUUGUUGGGAGUAGCAUGCCUAUUGAAGUUCAGACUGUUUCAAAUGGAUGUUAAAAGGGAUUUCUUGAAUGGGUAUCUGAAUGAAGAAGUGUACGUUGAACAACCAAAAGGUUACAUUGAUUCAACCUAUCCAGAACAUGUGUACAAGUUGAAGAAGGCUCUCUAUGGAUUGAAGCAAGCACCAAGGGCAUGGUAUGAAAGACUCACUGAAUUCUUGACAAAUAAUGGGUACAACAAAGGUGGAAUUGAUAAGACUUUAUUUGUGAAGAAUGUCAAAUGAAAGCUGAUGAUUGCUCAAAUAUAUGUUAAUGACAUUGUUUUUUGAGGGAUGUCAUACCACAUCGUAGAAAAUUUUGUCAAUCAAAUGAAGUUUGAGUUUGAGAUGAGCAUGGUUGGUGAACUGAACUACUUCUUAAGGCUACAAGUGAAGCCGAUGGAGGACUCAAUUUUUAUCUCUCAGAGCAAGUAUGCAAAAAAGUUAGUAAAAAAGUUUAGUCUUGAAAGCGCAGCACACAAAAGAACUCCUGCAUCAACUCAUAUCAAACUGACUAAAGAUGAGAGUGGAGCUGAUGUUGAUGAAAGCAUAUACAGAAGUAUGAUUGGCAGUCUGCUAUAUCUCACUACUAGUAGACCAGACAUUGCUUUUUCAGUUGGUGUGUGUGCUAGGUAUCAAGCUGCACCUAAGGAGAGUCAUCUCACUCAAGUAAAGAGGAUUAUAAAGUAUAUCAGUGGAACUAUUGACUACGGUAUCUUUUAUGCUCACAACACUAAUUCAAGUUUAAUAAGAUAUUGUGAUGCAGAUUGGGCAGGAAAUGCAGAUGAUAGAAAAAUCACUUCAAGAGGAUGUUUCUUUCUUGGGAAUAAUCUCAUAUAUUGGUUCAGCAAAAAGAAAAAUUUUGUUUCAUUAUCCACUGUUGAAGCUGAAUAUAUAGCUGCUGGAAGUGGAUGUACUCAACUAUUAUGGAUGAAGCAUAUGUUGAAAGAAUACAAUGUCGAACAAGAUGUCAUGACAUUGUACUGUGACAACAUGAGUGCUAUCAACAUUUCAAAAAAUCCAAUCCAACAUAGCAGAACCAAGCAUAUUGACAUUUGUCAUCACUUUAUUAGAGAUUUAGUUGAAGAGAAAAUAAUCAUUUUUGAGCAUGUGGAACCUGAGUUGUAGUUAGCAAAUAUUUUCAACAAGACAUUGGAUGUGGCUAAAUUUGAGAAUUUAAGAGGAAAAUUAGGGAUUUGCGUAAUAACUGACUUAUAGCAGUUAUUGACACAUGUCAAGGGCAACGACUAUAUUUCCUUCUAUUUAAUCUCCCUUGAUCGCUUGUUGGAAGUUAUCUAUUCUCAUUUCCUUGAUCGUGCAAAUUGAGAUUACUCUCUCUCGCUCAAAUCUCUAACCUCAAACGGUUAUCUUCAAACUUCUUUUAAUUUCUCCUACAUCAUGUCUCAAGAAUCAGGAAAGAAGAAUGUUGCUGGUCCCAAACCUGUCACAAAUGUUCAUGGUGUCAAGUUUCUUGGAAUGAAGUCUUCAUCGUCCACACCUUCUAGGGUGACUCGCUCCUCUGCUACAAUUGCAUCUCCAGAAUCUUCUGGACCUGCCAAGAGGGCAAGAAGUAUGAGAAUCAAGCAUGUUGCAACUAAGAAAGGAACUGGUAAAGCUUCUAAUGCUCAGAACAUUUCUGAUGACUCCGUGCCUGACAACAAUGUUGAUGUUGGUCAAGAAGACGAUGUUCCAAAUGUUGAAGUAAACAAAGUGACAAUGAUGUUCUGGAGACCCUUGCUGAUGCUGCAAUAGCACCAGAUGUUACACCACAUGUCGAGUCUCAAGAAAAACACGGUUCUGCCACUGGUUCUGAAGAGAGAUCUCGUCCUCUGUGGAGGUCACUCCAAAGAAGAAUCCUGAACCUUCUUCUAGAAAGGGAAAGGAAAAACAAACUGUUGUUCUAAUGAUGAGGAAUCUCAUGAGGUACUAAUCACAAAGGUUGUUGUUCCUGCUAGUGUUGUGAAGAAGGUUGCUGUCUCUGCAAGCAAGAAGAUUGCAGAUGGAAAGAAGAAAAAGAAGGAAGGGUCAUCUCUCAAGACCCCCAAGACGUCUAGAAGUUCUCAGGUCUAAGAGUGUGAGAAGAAGAAAAAGAAAGAAAAGAAGAAAGAGAAGGCUAAAGCCACUGCUGGAAGAAAAAGAAAGCAUGUCUCUGAAUCUGACUCUGACUCUGAGUCAGAUGUCGUGCCAGAUGUCCCAUACAUCUCAACCACUGCAAGGAAGAGAGUGAAAGGGAGGAGAAUUCCUACCAAUGUUCCUGAUGCUCUAGUGGAUAAUGUGUCGCUCCACUCUGCAAAUUUUGCACAGAGGUGGAAGUUUGUGGUUCAUAGGAGGCUGGCUGUUGAAAGAGAACUUCAUGAAGAUGCCUUGGAACUCAAGGAGAUUGUGGAUCUGUUGACUGAAGUUGGCUUGAUGAAGAUUGUCAAGGAUAUUGGCAGGUGUUUUGACCAAUUGGUCAGGGAGUUCAUUCUGAAUAUCCACACUGACUGUGAUGAUGAGGACAAUGCUGAGUACAAGAAGGACCACCCUUCUCAAGUAGGAAAAGCAACGUUACACAAAAUCAAAUUGCUACCAAAGUAGGAGACUCUCUAUUGCACUCUAUUUUAGCUAGAUAAUCUGAUAAUAAAUUUUCUUCUCUAUAGAUAUGAACUACUCCAACACAAUCAAGCCAUCCCACCCAACCUACAGCUAGCAAAAGAAUCACUUUUGACCAUAAUAUGUUUAUGAGAAAACUGUUUCCAAAAGAGUAGUGCUUUCAAGAUGACCUUCACUUCCACUUCGUAAGCCCAAAGGGCUCUCAAUAAAAGACAUUAAAGGCCAAGAAUUUUCCAAUCGUGAUUCCUCAGCCCUACUCACUCGCAUGGCCCAGCCUAUAUAAGGCCAAGAAUAGCCUUAUAACGGGCCAUGCGAGUGAGAGAGAGUGGUCGAAUGAUCAUCUAGGACUUGAUCUUGCACCGCUCAAAAUGCAUGCAAUAUGACAUAAAGCUUGGUUCUCUCUUCCAUGAAGCAUGAGAAAAUCGUAAACAUGUUAGUGAAUAGAGAAAUGAUGAGAACAUAGUUAUAUUGAAGGUAUGGUGAAGAGAAAUAGUAAAUAAUAUAGUGGGUUAAGGGUUUUGCUGGUGAAUAGUGAGAGCAGUGAUGGUGGUUGGUGAUUUAAAGAAAGAUUAGAUUUCUAACUCAAUUAAAUUUGAGAUAUCAAUUAACAAGAAUAUUUUUCAUUAAUUUCCUAUUUUUUAGAAAUUUACUUAUAUAAAAUAAUAAAAUGGAACUAUAAUGAAGUGUAAAUAAAUCAAUACUCAAUUUACAUUUUUUUUUUUUACAAAUACUCAAUUUGCUCACAAGUACAUUUAUGUUUUUUAUUUUUAGAAAAUAUGUUAAUAGCAAUGGUAAGUUUUGACCUUGAGCUAGACGUCGUUAUUGUUUUAUAAUUUAGGCAAUCGAACUAACUAUUAAGUUUCCUAUAUUUUUCUUUAAUUUCGAGAAAUUCAUCAGGACAAUCAUUAUUCUAAAUGUAAUUAUUGCAGUUGCAAAAAGAGGAUUUUCUCAUGUCUAUUAUUUUCUCAUAUAUGGUUUUUUUUUGUUACAAAUGGAACUACCUCAUAUAUGUUACUUCAACAUUAAAUAAUGCAAGUUCAAAAUAAAAACAUUAAAUAGUGCUAAAUUGUUUUAUAAAAAAUUGAAUUAAAUAAUGCUAAACAAAGACAAAAACACAAAUAAAUAAAAUAAUUGCACUUCUAUAAAAAAAAAAAAAAGCUUAUCAAAUUCAUGUGAUAAAAUAAAACGAAAAACCCAUAUGAAUUGCACAAGUCACAAUACUAGUGAGCAAUAAAGUAUAAAAGUAAAAAAAGGUAAAUUAUAAAUAAAAAAAACAUAAAAUAUAAAUUGAAUUUUUUUCUAUCAAAAACAUUCAUUUCCAUCUGCUGAAAUCUUCCAUGCCUUUUUUUUUGAAUUAAUAAUAAAAACAGAUAAACAUAUAUGGUGUUCAAGAGUAGCAAAGAAAAUAAAGAAACCUCAAAAUUAAAGGUAUAUCCAAAAACAUAUAGCGCAUAUCCAUCAACGAAGCCUAUCCGACAUAUUCGACAGUUCACUCAGCUUAUAUUCCGAAAGACUCAGUCUCAGGCACCAUUCUAUCAAUAAGCUUAGCAUACUUAUUUUCUUUCUUUCUAAAUUUCUUUAGAUACUUCUCAUGAUAUUUAGUUGCUACUUUGAUAGUUUCUUCAUUCCUCCUCAAGUCAGACUUCAAUUCUUCAAUCUGGGUCCAGAUUGCUCUAGUUUCUGGAGGUAGAUUCUUCUGGUUCACACAAGGGAAACAUAUAAAUGGAUCCCUAAAAAUUAAAUGAUUAGUGAGUUUUGAAUGAAAGAAAAAAUCAGUGACAAAAAUCACACAUAGGUAAAUAUGAAGGUUAAAAGAAACAAAACAAUCACAGAAAUUCUAAUAUGUCAUACAUGGCAGUUUUUAUAACAUUAUUUACAAUAUAUAUUUCAAAUAACUGAUGAAGUUAAUAAAAUUCCGACCAAUAACAGGGAGAAUCUUGUCAUAUGUCCGAGGGAGGGUAUAAUGAGAUAUACAAGACUUUCAUCUUAUAAUAAAACGUAUUGAAAAUAGGGUGUUGUAAUCGAGAGGGUUUUAAGAACACCGUUGUUACUUUUUAUUCUUCCAAUAUGUUUCAUCAUAUAUCUCUUCUUUUUCAUCACUGACGUUUAUAUGGAGUAAAUCAAGAGUAACAACAAUGACCGGUAAACUUAGAGAAAAAUAAUGAACAGAAGACAUUAUUUCUCUCAAAAGAGGAAUUUCAAAGAUGACCAUUUUUCCCUUCCAAAUUUUAAUUUGGUUUAAGAAUUUGGGUGUGGGUAUUAGACUUAGGGAGGCCGAACUCAACCCAAAAGUCCGAGGGAGGGUAUAAUGAGAUAUACAAGACUUUCAUCUUAUAAUAAAACGUAUUGAAAAUAGGGUGUUGUAAUCGAGAGGGUUUUAAGAACACCGUUGUUACUUUUUAUUCUUCCAAUAUGUUUCAUCAUAUAUCUCUUCUUUUUCAUCACUGACGUUUAUAUGGAGUAAAUCAAGAGUAACAACAAUGACCGGUAAACUUAGAGAAAAAUAAUGAACAGAAGACAUUAUUUCUCUCAAAAGAGGAAUUUCAAAGAUGACCAUUUUUCCCUUCCAAAUUUUAAUUUGGUUUAAGAAUUUGGGUGUGGGUAUUAGACUUAGGGAGGCCGAACUCAACCCAAAAGUUAGCUCAAGAGUUGAGGUUGUUCUACCCUUUAUAAGCACUUAUUUGGCCACAUCUCUAGCCAAUGUGGGACUUCUAACACACCCCCUCACGCCUAGGGCUGAAUAUCUGAAGCUUGGAAUUAACAUAAACGGGUGGCCCAAAUAUGGGAGGUCUCCACAACAAAUGGAUCUAGGAUAGGCUCUGAUACCAUAUUAGAAUUAAUGAAUCUAGUAUGGUAUAAUAUGUGGAGAAAAUGAGGUUAUCUUCUAUUUCAUUCACGGCAGCGGCGCAAGGACACAUGUUUUCCCUGGCGCACCGCAUAGAGAUCGCACCCUAAAGGGUUUCAACGAGUAUGAGCUCACCUACUACUCUCUCACUCACAACAACACUCUUUCUCUCAAUGGUCUGUCUUCUUUUCUCCAUUUCUAUAUGGCAAUGACAAUGUCUUCUUUUCUUUUUUCUAAAGGGAAGUUAAUUUACGCUUGAGUGUUAGAAUAUGCAAAAGAUAUCUCAUAAUAUCUCUAUCAUAUCAUUAGAGUAGCUUAUAAUAUCUUGGUCUUAGCUUAGAGUAAUUAAGGCAGUUUAGAUUAUUUCGUAGAUUGAUGGGCUUUUACUUAUUUAAUUAGGAUUAAGAGUAUUAAUAAGUUUCCUAAUUUAACAAAAAUCAAAAGUCUACUCAUUACUAUAAAUAUGGGUAAGUAGUUUAUCUUUUAAUAAAGCAGUUGUUCAUAAUGUAAACCCUAGCGGACUUUCACUUCCACUUCCCUUCUCUCUUCUUUUCUCCCUCAUUCCUUUGCAUUGUUUCUCUGAACAUGGUAUCAGAGCAUCUAUGAUCAAGUGGUCUAGAGUGCGACCUUUGCCUUUUUCAGCACAUGCUAUGUGGGCAUAUGCAUUGUCCACGCUUCACGCCCAAGUGGGCUCUUACGUGAAGAGAUGUGUUUGAAAUAUAAUAAAAAAUUAUGCAAAGUUAUUCACCCAAUAGCUUAAACUUUUUGGAUAAUUGGUUCCUAACAAUACCAAAAAGUAGUAAAAAAGAGUUGUCUAAAAGACCCUAAACAAAUUUGGUAACAAUCACCCUAAGUUCUAGGUGGACCAAUGAUAUUUAAGAUAUGUGGACCACCUAGGAUUACCAAUGGUCAUUUGACAAGCCCUAAUAAAAAGAAAACAGAGCCGAGUGAAUAUUGAAGAUGAAACAGAGCGAGAAAGAGAGAAUAUAAAUACCCAAAACCAAGUGAGUGAAUUCCAUUUUCCCUUAUAAUACCACCAUCUAACGAAACAGCACCAUCCUCUAUAGAAGCACGGGCAGCUUCCAUGCUCUUUUUUGUAUUGUAAACUUGAAGCUUCUUGAAAAGGCUAAACAGCACUGUCUCCCGAAGCCCAUGACCUGAAGCUGUCCUCGUCUGCAAGUGAUUGAUGUCGAGGUCAACCAUAUUAACUGCAUAGCCCAUGAAGCCUGGUGGAGUACUCCCAUUUGGUAACCUAGGAUUAGGCAACGCUAGCUUUCUCUGAGAGUCAUUUUCUUGCAAAUACCGCGUGUAAGGCCUGUCAAACCAAUGCAUGCACAUCUCAAGGAACUAAAAAGCAGCAAGCCACAAGGCCUUAUCAUAAAUAUUUGAUAAAAAUAUAUGAAAACUUAAUCAUAUAACAAUUAAAAUUACUGUCAUGGCUCAUUAAGCACCCUAUUACCUUAAUUCUUCAAAGCAUAUAACAAGGAAACGCUUGCUUAUAGCUCUUCCAAGAUCAGCUGCUUGAGCAUGCAAAGCUUGCUCAGAAUCGAUUUCGCCAUUUUGAAUAUGGUUCUGAAGAGAAGUUGCAGUGUCAAAAGAUCUACAGAUAACACCUAGCAUUCUAUCUUCACCAAGAUACUCUGCCAACAUUCUGCACAUAAAAGAUAUAAAUUCAGAAGUAAAAUAGAGCCGAAAUGCAAGAAAUUUCUGUUUCAUCUUUUAUCUUUUCUUUGGGAAGUAAAAGGGGGGUGGGGAUUAUACAAACCUACUAAGCUGAGGUCUCUGAACGGUACCCAGGAGGGCAACGACCCCAAUAAUAUCUUCCAUAAAAGGUUGCUUUUCUUGGGUAGAAAGAUCACAAAACACAGAAGAUGCCCAGUUUUCCACGCGUUUAAUUCUGGUCACAACUUCAUCUUUCGUAAACAAAGAGUCCAUAUUGCCCACUUGGUAAUGUUGAACCAUCUCUGUGAAAAAUUAAAACAGACAUAAAUCAAAUCAUUUCUGUCAAACAACCACAUAUCCCAAAAGGGGUAAGGGCCACAUCAAUGGUUUUAUAUUAUAUUCUAAUACGCCCCCUCACGCAAGAGCCAUUUGGGCUUGAAGCGUGGACGAAUGCACAGGCCCACCUACCAUGUGCUUAAAUUCCACUUUUUAAUUAGAACGUGAGGGGAGCAAAGAUCGAGCUCUAGACCGUUAAGUUAUAGAGGUUCUGAUACCAUGUCAAAUAACCACUUAUCCCAAAAGCUUAAGUUGUUGGGUAAGGUCCACAUCGAUGGUUUUAUAUUAAAUUCUAACAAUUUAUUUAUUUUGAUCAAUUUUUAGUUUAAGGCGUUAACAGGAAAAAACUAGCAUUCAUAAAUGCACAGUGGCAUCAACAGAUAUAACUCAAGACAUCAAGUGCCAAAAUUUCAUCCAAUAAACAUUAUAUUAAAUACUCUAUGCCCUAUCUAGCUUUAAUAACAACAGCUAAAAAUAGAGAGAGAAAAGAACCCAGUAGUUUGAACAUCUCUUGCUCAGCUUCGGCCUUUCCUUCAUUAUAAAGAUUAAGACGCUUUUCAAGUUUAGCAAUUUUCUCACCCAAUCUGAUGAGUUCACCAAGUUUCUGCAAACAACAUGCACAUGAAGACAGACGUUUUGAAGAAAAGAAUUUAUUGAAAGAGACUAAAAAGCGUAAACAAAUAGUUUUCUGUAACCAAACAAUGACUAUGUAAGAUGUAUAAAAACAACCGCAAAACUUUCAUACUUCACCUAAACAUAAACCCAAUCUCACACUAUCACCUAAACAUUUCAGGAGAUAGUCCAUGACUGACACUAUUCAACAAGUUCAGUGUAUCAUGAAUUACUACAAUUCAUGAUAAAAAAACACAAAGGACAUUCUUUAUUCACAGAUUAAACACUCAUAUCAAAGAACAAAGCAGAAUUCAACUUUGAUACCUUGUCAUCAUUAUCAUUAUUUACAACGGAAAGCAUUAAGUUACAUUCUUGGUUAAGUACUGGAUCAUCUUGCAGGAAUAUGAUACUCUUAUUGGGGGUUGGAGGUAGAUCGAACUUCUUGUUUGGUGUUUUAAAAACAGGAACCUGCACACAAAUCUUAACAAUUAUUAUUCGAAGCGAGGCCAAAAAUAGGUAAAGACAUAAAUGAUAUAACCUGAACAAUUAGACAGAGCUCUGAAUAUUGCGAAUGAGCAGCUUCAAAGCAAAAAAUCCCAUCGUUCACUGGAAUACGGAUUAAAGGGACAGUACAGCGUCCAUGCAUAAAAGUGUAGCGAACAGAUUCCUCUGCAUUUAACAAGUCCGACUUAAUUGUAAGCAUAUGAAACUGGCCAUCUUUAUCGCUGUGAUGAAUCUUUCUAUCUACUUCUCCAUCAGGAUUGACAAUUUCAAAAUCAAUGUUUUCCAAGUGACCACCAGCAGCACAAAAAUCAGGCACCUGAAUUCAUGUAAUAACCAUUGAAACAAACGGGAAAAAAAGCUAUUUACACUUUUACAAAGGUGAUGAAAAACCAACCCCUGAUGCAAUUCUCAAAAUCCUUCUCACAGUUGAAAAAUCCUGCUUGACCAUUGUUUUAUUUUCAAACGUAAUACAUAUGGACACUGCACCAUGAAGCAAACAAAUUAGACCAUGAGGUGGAAAUAAGAAAAAUCGAAAACAUUAAAACAACAUAGUGAAUCUGCAUAAAAUAGUUGUCAAGACAUGUCUUCACAGCUUUCAAAAAAGAAAACAACUUACAACAAUGUAGAAGAUUUAAAAGUUAGAGGGAAUAAUGAAAGUUACUAAGGGCAGCCAAUUAAGACCAGUAGCUUAGCUGAUAUCAAAACUAAAUACUACGUACCAUUUUCUCCAUAACCUGCUGUCAAUUUCAGUAGACCACUAAGAUUAAUUCUUCCUUCUUCAUCCACCUGUAUAUAAGAAUUUUGAUAGACCAAUUAUAUCUCAUAAGAUUAAAUCUAAGGGUUCCCAAGUCCCAACUAAGCUCGGUUACCAAAACAGUUAACAUAGUUCUGACAGAGUCCUAACAGUGUAAAAUAAUUAAAUAAAAAGAAGGAAAAAGGAUAAUCAGCGUCAUUAUAUUGAUACGAUGAUAUAAACAUAUAUACAUGUUUAUCACAGUACACCAUAGUUGGUACAAAAGCAUUACCUGGUGCACUGUACCUAAAUGAUUCAGUAGGAUGAAUCCAGUCAGAGUAAUAGUAACCUCCAAUCCUUUAGGAACAUGGUUUCCAUAACUAUCAAACAUCUGAAUGAUACACAUCAAUAUGUCAGCUAGAAAUUACCAUUAAUGCAAUUCCGAAUAAUACAUAAAAAUUACAAUAACUAAAAGCUUCUGAUUAACUCUUCAAGGAGAUUAAAAAUAAAUAAACAACCAAUUUUAUACAAAAAAAAACGUAUGAACUCAAGGUCCACUUGAUUGUUUGCAUGGUAUGAACUCAAGAUCCCCUUGAACAAGCGCUUAUUCCAUAAGCUAUGAGUCCAACUUUAAUAGUAAGCCAUCAAAACCAUUUGUUGGGUUGCCUUAUUGACUUUUUACAGUAGAAUAAUCACUAUUAAUGGCUGUGAUGACUUACUGGACCAUCUAAAGUAAACUAUCUUACUUUAGAGGAGCUAAAUCCAAACAUGUUAAAUAUAUAGAAAUUCAGAUACCAAUCAAAAAGAUACACUAUGAAACUCUUAACACAAGAUUUCAAUAUUGUUGUCUAUAGAUUGCUGUCACAUAGAUUCCAGAGGGUUUAGUUUUUAGUAGCUGUCACGGCAGCUAUAGAAAAAGAAAAUGUAGCGGUGUGGCAUCUGAUGGGACUUGUGAAAACUAAGAAAUUCCCCUCAACUGAUAAUGUUAGGCUUUUUUUACUUUAGAAUUAAUCCAAAAAAGGCCCUGUUUGAGAAAACCCUCACUCCUUUGUGCUUUUCAUCCUUUCGCCAUCCAAGUAGACCGACCAAUCGGGCGACCAAACUGUUGACCUGCUAAGGCUUUCAUCAGCUCAUACUCCAACAUGAAAGUGCUGAAUGUCUGCCUGCUGUCUUAGCUCUUGAUCUUGAAACAAAUGUUUACAAGUUGCAACUUAAGAAUCACCCUAUCUCCAGCCACUAGAUCAAGUGGUUUUUGCUGCAUAUUGCUUGUUUGCUUCAUCUACUCACCAUGAAAAGCAAUACUGUUUCGUAGAACCAAACAUAUGAUGAGCCCAAAAGAUCUUUUGUGAUAGAAAUAGUGGUCUCAGCACUGAAAAUCAACACUAUUUCAUGAGACCCAAGUUUUAAAGGAUACAUCGAAUGAUGCCUCAAGAUCUGUUCUUGCCUCAUUGUACAGGUCCAAGUCUUGGCGGGGCUUCGUGACAUUUUACCUUGGUUAUACUUUGUUUGUUUGAGGUGAUUUUAGAUGGAGAGAGGUUUCUAACAUUGUUAGGUAGAAGAGAGUGAUAGCGGGAAGAGAGAAAUAAUAUGUGGGACCCACCAACUUUUUGGGGUCUCUCUAAUUUGAAAAGUGCAGAAGAGAGUAAGUUUUUUUACACACUUUCCCAUUUUAUCCCUCCAUUAAUAUCAUAUUUAUUUAUAAAUGUUUAUUUAUUCAAGGUAAAAAUAUCAUUUCUUAAAAAAGUAUAAUCUCUUCUUCCAUUCUCUACCCAACCAAACAAAAAAAACGAAGACACGCCUCAUUCUUUCUCUUGUCUUUCAAUCAUACCAAACAACUACAAAAUCCUAUUUAAUGCACCUUGACAGUUGAGCGAAGCACCCAUCCAAGAAUAAGUAAAACCGGAGAAAUUAGAUAAUGCCAAAAUAUAUAACAUUCAACAUUAUAACAUUCAACAUUUAUACACAUUCUAAAAUACCUCCAACAUAAACUCUUCAAAAAUGUAACCUGGUACUAGUUGAUCUUCAGUUAUUUUUGGCUUCAGUUCAACAAGUUUAAGAACACCUGGAUAAACUGAAUAUGAAACAUAAAACAAAGAUGAGCAAACCAGAAAACAAACUCAUUUCCUGAUGAAGAAGAAGUCAACAUCAAUAAUGAGCACCUCGACAUGGAACUGAAAGCACAAAUGGGAUACUUUUUGAUUCAAUAAACAAAGAAGUUCUGUAGCUUGGCCGUAUCUUGUCAAGUUCAUUACUUAUGACCAUUGCAUCCUAUGACAUGUACCAAAACAAUUCAAUAGGCGUUUUCUUUCAAGCUAUAAGAAAAAAGAAUUACAUAACUAGCAUACCUCAAUUUUUAAAGUCAGUUUGUCAGAAGUAAUCGUAUUUUUCAUUCCACAAACAUCAAAGUGCAAGUUAUUAGCUGUCUUAAUUUUGAUUGUUACAUCCGAAAUUGAUUGAAAAGGUACUCGUUUAUCUUGGCUGUCAUAACCUGCAAUGGCUAAGGUUGGAAAAGGAGAACCAACCCUGUCCAGAAAUUAUAAUCAAUUCAACAAGGGCAUAUUAAUGUAAACAUAUGAUAGAUCAGAAGUUUAACAGUACAUGUGCAGGAAUGUAAAAUUACAGAAUAUAUUAGAAUAAGGAAAACAGCUAUGUCUGAACUAGUACAUCACUGGAAAAAACUAUAAAAGUUUUGCUGUGAAAAGACGUUAUCUAAAGUGAUCGUACCUCACAUCUAUUCGGUCACCAGUUUGAAGGCUAAACUUCACAGCAGCAAGAGAAGGCUUCACAAUCACGUUUCUCUCAUAACUUUGACAAUUUGAAUCAAUCUAGUAGACAAAUUACCAAGAAAACUUAAUGCAUGACGCUUCCAAAAAAAAAAGAGCAGAAGAGAAAAUCAGUUUGUGCUGCUAGACAACAGAACAUAGGAAUAAAUGAAAAUCAGCCCUGCAAAACAUAUUAGGCAAUUUGCAUGUAUAGAUAGAAAGAAAAGUCAACCACUAAAGGUAUGUUUGGGGGUAUUCGUUCAUUCAUCCCAGAGCAAACGGAUAAUAGCACACAUUUCAUGGUAAAUGUUUUUAUUGAUUUACCUAGUGACCAGAAUUUUUUAUUGAUUAAGAUAAAAGUAUAUUAGGGUAACGUGGAGAAGCUUGUGGAAAUCGGUUAAGGUGGUAUGGACAUAUACAAAGAAGACCUUUGGAGGCACCGGUGAGAAGGGUUGAUAACAUGGUAUUUAGUCCUGUGAAGAGAGGUAGAGGGAGGCCAAAAAGAACUUUGGGAAAUAUUGUUAAAAAUAAACUACUCCCUCCGUUCCUAAUUAUAAGCCCUAAUACAAAAAAUUGCGCUUAUUAAGAAAGCAUUAAAUGUGUCAUUUUCUCUCACUAAUUAAUGCUAGGUGAUAAUUAAAAGUUAAAACUUUGGAAUUGAAAACACACAAUUAAUGUGAGGGUUAUAAAUGGAAGAGUAGAAUACUUUUUGCUAGAUUAUUGUAGAAGGUCUUAUAUUUUGGAACAUGAAAAAUCUAAAACUAGGUCUUAUAAUUAGGAACGGAGGGAGUAACUAUCAAUAAUAUCUCUUAUACACUGGUUUUUAUGGAGUUCAAUGGUGUAGUGUGAUUCAUAUAGCCGACCUUAUUAAGUGGGACAAGGUUUUUUGUUGUGGUUAAAUAAGAUGAAAGUUUGUUAAUGUUGCACUCAACUGGUAUCCAAACAUACUAAACAAUUAACAUUUUUAUGAUAAUACCAAAUUUCAUUUAAUUUUUUGUACAUAUAGAAAUACCAAAUUUGAAAUAACAUCUCAGCCUACUUUUAACAAAAAUUUUGUAGCCACUUUAGCAUGUAAAUGGUUUUGCAGUAGGAAGUCUGAUGAACAUUGACCUCCAAUUAGGAAGGUUUAUGAGAGGAGAAAUAGGAGAAAGGCUAUAGCCUAGUUAAAUAGGGAUAACUAAAAUUGUAGGCAGUUAUUGCCAGCUGGAUCAGUUAGUUAGUUCAGUUACUGUUAAGUCAGUUGGGGAAGGGUAUAAAUAAAGGGAAAGGAGAAGUUAGAGUCAGUUAGAUAUUCAGUUGGAAAUAGGAGAGACUGGACUCUCGAAUAUUCCAGAGGGAAACUAGGGUUCUUCAUUCACCAUUAUUGUACUCUGAGCUUUGAUUCUCAGUUUCUGUGAAUCACAGUUCCAAUUCCAUCAAUAAAAUCUCAGUUCUUGUUCUUGAGUUCAUCAAAGUCUCAUAAACACUACAGGAUCAAUGCAAAAAGAGUAGCUUGAGAGUUUAAAAUUCUAGCAAUUUUAGAAGGUCAAUUUAGCUUCCAUAUAAAAAAGUCACUUCUCAAGGAAUGUGUUAACAUUCUGAAGGAAGGACCUAAAGAAAAAAAUGUAUUAGAGGAUGAGCAAAAAAGGUAUGUUGCUAGCUAUAUUCUUAGCUGGUAUAAUGCAAGCAAAGAGACAUUUCUACGACAGAAUUGCAGUUGCGGUUAGUGAUUUCUUUUGCAUACAGCAUACCCAACAUAACCCUUCACAAUGUUAUGGUAACAUAAACAUGUCCUUUAUAGAAAGAUGUUAAGUUUCUCAAAAUAUCCAUCUGAAAAUUGUUUAAUUUUUCUUAAAUUUUCCCUUUGUUGAGUCCAGAUUAUAUUCAAGUUAGUUGUGAAAAAUUUAUAUAAUGAAGUCAAUAUCAGCAGUGGCAUAAAUGUUAAAUAAAAAAUGUGCCUGCAUUACAGCUAAAACCAACACAGAUUCAGCGAUUUCUUGUUUUUACAGCAAGAUUAAAGACCUACCGUCAGCGGACAUAUAAACAGGAUCACAUAAAAAUAUAUAGUUUAACAGCUUAACUAAAGGAAUAUAGGCCAGAUCAGUUAUGAGCUCAAGAAACCUCUUUGACAAAAAGAAACAUGAAAAGCUAUAUAUGUGCAAUACAGGUGUUGAUUAAGAAGAACAUUUGUAAUCGAAUUUUUCGUAAACCAGUACAGUUCAAGAAUUGUAAUCAGUAUUUUUUUUGUAAAUUUGGCGAAUAAAUUAAAAACUAUGCAAAUGCCAAAACAAUUUACAGGAGAGAAGAAUGGAAAAAAAUAAUACUAAGCCCAAAAACUACAGAAUCUUUGUAAUGGUUUGAACACAGCAAAUCAAUCAAAGCAGGAGAUUUCUGCUGUUUCUUAUUAACUUGAUUAUCCCAUUUAGUACUUUUGACAGCUACGACUUGAUUAGAAAUCAUAUAUCUUUCCAACUGCAUAAUAUAAAAUUUAGGAUAUACAGCCAUUUUCUGAAAGCUUAAAUAAAUGAUUAGAAGAUUGUAAUUUUGAAGAAUAUAGUGAAAGAAACUUUCUAUCAGCAGAAUGGGAAGAAAUAAAUAUACCAACCCCAUCAACCUCCGAAUCUUGGUAAUGGUCUGAACCCAGCAAAUCAAUCGAAGCAGGAGAUUUCUGUUGUUUCCUAUUAACUCGAUUAUCCCAUUUAGUACUUUCGACAGCUACGAGCUGCUUAGAAAUCAUACGUCCUACCAACUGCAUAGUAAAAAAUUUAGGAUAUACAGUUAUUAUCUUAGAGUUUAAAUAAAUGAUUUGAAGAUUGUGCAAAAAAACGAUUGUUUGAAGAAUAUAGUGAAAGAUAAAUUCUAUCAGCAGAAUGGGACAAAAUAAUAAUACUAACCCCAUCAACCUCUGAAUCGUGGUAAUGGUCUGAACCCAGCAAGUCAAUCAAAGCAGGAGAUUUCUGUUGUUUCUUCUUAAGACGAUUUUCCCAUUCAAUACUUGCAACAGCUACGAGCUGUAACACGUUAAAAUGCUUAGAUAGCACAUAUCCUUCCAACUCCAUAAAACAAACUUCAGUAAAAAAAAAUUGUAGAUUGUGCAAUAAAGCAAUUAACAUUUUGAAGAAUUUAUAUAAAGGGAAAUAUAAUUUCUAUUCAAAUGAAAUUAUAAAAAAAAUUGAGAAACCAGAGAGAAAACUGAGAAGAAUUUUAUUGAUUCUCUCUGAAUCUGAAGAAGAAACAGAGGAAACUCACAAGCUCACAGAACAAGUCACUGGUUAUUUGAGACCGGUCUCUCCACAACUCUCAACAACCCAAAACUGACUCUAACUACCCUGCUAAUCAACCUUUAUAGUAGGUGGUUAACAGUUACAAUUUGCAAACAGAAUAUUACGCCUCCCUGGAGUUAGUUACAGAGUUAUUAUUCCCUGCUACUCCUCUCUCCCUCCUAACAUAGACCUUCCUACAAAGUAGUUUGGGUCCAAAAUGACUUGAAACUCUUGAUGAGACGAAGCAUAGUCUCUGCUGCUCCUCCUCUCUCCUCCGCUGCUUUCCUCACCGGUGCGGCUUGAAGAGGCGAAGCAUAGUUGCCGGCUCGCCGCUGCUCCUCCUCUCUCCCAUGUUGGAUGUUGGUUCUUCUUGUUUUCUUUGGUGGUGACUGCAAACAAGGCUGUGUUGUUCAAUUUUAGUCACCAUCCCCUCCAAAAGUCUAUCCUUUCCUUCUUCUUCCCUUGUUCACUUGUUACCCGUGAAAACCGACCAGUCCAACCCGUCCACCAACCCAACCCGCACCCGAGUUCCGAUUCUUGAUUCGGUCGAAAAUGGGUUAAGAUAUCCUUGAUUUAAAACCGUCCAAACCCGACAAGUCUGACCCGAACCCGCCCGAUGCUCAGCCCUAGUCCUUAUGAUGAAAUGGCUGCCAAAAAGAUCACGUCACCACCUCUGAAUAGCCCUUACCACAGCCAUCAAUUCCCUUUCAUAAACAGAUUUCCUCUGCCCUUGAUCAGAUAUGAUGGAACUCCAAAAUGCCAAGGGCCUUCACACCUGUAAAAGGACGACCCCAGUCUCUCAAUAACAAAAGUUAUUGAAAAUCAGGGACUGCCAAAGCUGGCAGGUCAAUCAUGGCAUGCUUGAGCUGGUCAAAAGCUAGUCGUGCCUCCUUACUCCACACAAAACUAUUCUUUUUCAGUAGCAAAGUCAGGGGUCUAGCAAUCUUCCCAUAUCCUUUCACAAACCUUCUAUAGUAGCCUGUGAGCCCCAAAAAUCCCCUUAACCCCUUGACAUCCUCAUGGGGCAGUUGCUGCCCCAUGAGAAAUAAUCCAAAUACUCUAAUUUCAAUUGGCCAAACAAACACUAAUAUUAUGGCCCAAAUACUCUAAUUUCAAUUUCAACCCAUUCUGAAACAGUAGUUCAAAGAUCUACCUCAAUUGAAUAAUGUGGUCUUCCAGAUACAAACUAUACACCAAAAUGUCAUAAAAAAAAAGACCAAAACAAAUUUCCUCAGUUGGGGCUUCAAAACCUCAUUCAUCAAAGCUUGAAAAGUGGAUGGGGCAAUAGUGAGCCCAAAAGGCAUCACUAAAAAUUCAGUGGCCUUCAUGGGUCCUAAAAGCUGUUUUUUCUAUGUCACAAGCGGUUUUUAGCCUCCCCCAAUUUAUAAAGCAACUCAUCAAUUAUAAGGAUGGGGAAUUUAUUGGGUAUGGUAAUCUUGUGAAAAGCCCGGUAGUCAAUGCAAAAUCUCCAGCUACCAUCCUUCUUUUUAACUAAGAUAACUAGACUAGAAAAUUGGCUAAUGCUAGGUCUGAAUAUUCCAACAUCUAACAUUUCCUUGACUAACUUCUCUAUUUCAGAUUUUUGGUAGUGGGGACACCGGUAUGGCCUGAUAUUUGGAAUUGCAGCUCCCUCUUGCAAGUGAAUGGCAUGAUCCUGCACUCUACUGGGAGGUAAAUCCCAUAUGGUAGAGAAUAACUCAGAGUAAUCCCCCAUCAACCCUUGCAACUGCUCAGGUACAGCUACCAACUCUUCUUGUACCUCAGCCAGAUGCUGAAAUUCCACCCAAAACCCCUCAGCCUGUUGCUGCAGAGCCUUAACCAAGGAAGAUAAAGAAGCAUUCUUCCUAAUGAGACCAAGUUCACCUCUCAGCAACACCUUCUCCCCCACAUGAAAUCUCAGACUCAGCUCCUCAAAAUUUGCUCUAAUGUGCCCCAAACUUGCAAACCAUUACAAACCUAGAACCACAUCUAGUCCCCCCAAAUUAAACAGAAAAAACUCUUGUUCAAUUGGGAUGUGUUGAAUACUUAAUUGAACAUCCCUGCACUUCCCUUGACAUUCCACCUUAUGUCCAUCUUCAAGCUCUACCAUAUAAGGAGUUUCCACCACUGGAAAAUGCGCAGAAGACAUUAAUUCUUGAGAAAUGAAAUUGUGUGAAACACCACAAUCCACCAGAACAAUCACUCUCAGUUGUCCCAAUUCCCCCCAAACUUUCAAGGACCUUCUAGAGGUAAACUCGGCUAUGCUCUUGAGAGACAAUUGGAACAUUUGGGCUUCUUAUUUGUCGACUUGGAAAAUACGCUUUUUCCAACUCCUCAACCUCCUCUUCUGCCCGCCGCAAUGGCGCGCUAUUGACAACCCUGCUCCAAACUCUUCUUGACCAUAGAAAUUCGAUACCACAUCUCCUGCAUGGAGCUCUGAUACCAAUUGAUAAACCAGAGAGAAAACUGAGAAGAAUUUUAUUGAUUCUCUCGGAACCUGAAGAAGAAACAGAGGAAACUGACAAGCUUACAGAACAAGCCACUGGUUAUUCGAGAGACCAGUCUCUCCACAACUCUCAACAACCCAAAACUGACGCUAUCUACCCUACUAAUCAACCUUUAUAGUAGGUAGUUAACAGUUACAAUUUGCUAACAGAAUAUUAACCCUCUCUAGAGAGUUAUUAUUCCCUGCUACUCCCUCUCCCUCCUAACACAGACCUUCCUACUAAGUAGAUUGGGUCCACGAUGACUUGAAACUCCUGCUUCUCCUUCAGGUCCACAAUGACUUGAAACUCCCUAAGCCUCAGGUCCACGAUGACUUGAAACUCCUGCUACUCCUCUCUUCCUCCUAACAUAGACCUUCCUAAUUAAAGGUCUACUUAUCAAAAGUGCAUUCAAUUUUAAAAAUCAAUUAUAAUAUUUUUAAUGUGUUAAUUUUAAUUUGAGAUGCACAAAAUAAGAAUAUAUAUAUAUAUAUAUAUAUUUCUGACUAUUUUCAAAAGGUAAUUUAAGUAACUUCGUGAAAUAAACUGCAAUUAUCCUUUAAAAUCAAAAGAUAAUUUAUAUAAAAUCUCUAAACAAAAUCAACUUUUUCUCACAACUUUAGAAUCACUUUUCAUUUAAAUUUUCACAUACAACUAAAAAAAUUCUAUUGUUCCCUGAAUCUAAUCAAAAUAGUUUCCCAAUUUCUUUUUUCAUAUUCAGACUUACUUAUAAUCUUAAACAGAUUAAAAAAGAUUAAAAAAACAUUUUUUUUCAAAAUAAAAGUAUCUUUUGUUGAUAAAAAACACGAAACAAUCAGACUCAUAGUUACGACCUUUCCAGAGUCGAUCACGCCGAUAGGUAUAGACAUAGAACCACGAAUUUCCAAACUUGCAUUUUCAUCAGUGACUGAGAGGAGACAUCCAUUUUUGUCUGGAAUAUCCAUUGACCUUUAAAAUCAAACAAGAAGCAGUGAUAAUUCUGGAGGUGCAACAAUUUUAGAGAAAACACUGGCUUAGAGAAGGUUUUGCAAAAAUGUGUACAACUAACCUGCAUAUGAUUCGGGAGUCUCCUAUUAACAAAACGAAAAUAAAAGUGGUCAGCUUUAAUCAUGUUAUCAUAACAUAAUUUCAAAUGUGAAGUUAAUAUCUUGGUUACAGCAUAUUAUUUUUUAUUUAUAUAGUUAAUAUAGUUCAGUUGAAAGGGAAUAAAGUGUUUAGCUUUUUGUUGCUUCUUCUUUAAUUUUAGUACAAUAGGACCAGUCCGCAGUUUAAAAUUAAACCACAGUAAUUGGAUGUAAUUAUAUUUCAAAGUAUGAACUAAACGACAUAAUUUCAGUUUCGCUACUUUUAGGUUUUAGAAUUUAAUAGUUAUAUAAACAAAUUUUAGACAAACUUCCAAUCAAAUUCCAUAACUUUACAUUCUUGGGUUAUUUUUAAUUUUAAUAUAAUUAUAAAAUGUAAAGAGGGUGAAAGAAGAAUGGACGUCCAUGUAAAACUUGUGCAGUUAUUAAAUUCUUUUUUUUAAUAGACAUAUAAACAUUACAGUUAAACAUUAAAAAUUAAAAUCAACCGACAAUUACAAAGACAGACAACUGAUGGGGAACUCGCCGCUGUCUGUUCGGAUAAAUCUCUAUCAAGAGUAAAAUUACAUGAGUUUGAAUUUCUGUUAGUUUUCAUGUACUUUCAACAAAGGUUUUAGGAGAUUGUAACGGAAAUUCAAACACAAAGUAAAAGUAACACAAUUAUUUGUAUGCAUAUAAAAUCAAUUCUAAUGUAGAUGGAAUUGGGUUUCAAAAACAAAAUGUAGAUGGAAUUGACUCUACAACUAAUAGUUGAAACUUUUACAUUUUCCGUUGACAAAAACAAUUUUAGAUAAGCAACCCACAAGAAAUAUCUACCUCAACACCUUAAAAGAGACUACAGUUGUUUAAACUUUAAAAUAUCAUAACAAAAGACAUCAAUUUUAUUAAACUUACUUGAUUUGAAAUUAAUUCUUUCGACAUCAAUUCUUUCAAAAUCAAUUCUACGAAAACCAUAGGCAAACAGACCCUAGGUAGGUUUCAGUGUUUCGUUGUUCAAAAUGAAAAGGGAGAUAAUAAAUUAGCAUAUCUUUCUUAUUUGACUACAAACCUACAAUAUUUAAAAUUUAUUCCAUGUUGAACAUUAAAGAUCAACAGAAGAUGAUGAGUUUGAUUAUUAUGUAAAAAUACUUUUUUACAUGACUCCUGAAAUAUAGGAUUUAAAUUUUAUUCCGUGCUUAUUGUUGAAGAUAAAUUCAAACGAUGAAAUAAACAAAUCUCACAUAAAAAAUGCAUUACAGUAUUCCACCAAUAAGACACUGUUUAAUCCCAUGACUUUUGCCAACCAUGUUUUUUUAAUGCCACAAUCAUGUUAACUUUCAGUGUAAUAUGGUACAUCGACUAAGAUUCUGACCCGUAAUUGUUCCUUUAGCAUAUGAAAUAAGAAGACUUAUCAUUAUCACCAAGCAGGACUGAAUUGCUUAUUAAAAAUAAAAGAAUUUAGUUCACAACACAGAAGAAAGGGUGAUAAGUCAAAAAUUAAUGCUUUACUUAUGUACUACAAUCGUCCCCGAAGGAUAGCUCAAGUGGUAAGAGCUAGGGACAUAAGGGUUAGGUGGGGUGAGGAUGAAGGGUCCCGGGUUCGAACCCGGAGGAGGGACUAAUUUACUAACAUUUGCCUAUCAAAAAAAAAACUUAUGUACUACAAUCAGAAAGCUUACCACCAGCGUCUCCUUCAAAUCCUUCGAGCAAAAAGUACUCUAUGGUUGCAAAAACAGUGUUCUUGUGACACCCAGCACAUGCGCCCUUUUGCACCUUAAUUCUUUCUCCGUGCUUCCAUAAUUUUUCCUUUCUCUUCAGAACCUUAUGAACUCUGAUAACUGCAUAUAAUAAGAAAGAUAAUCAGAUAAAAGACUAAAUUUUUUCAGUAGUAGCAUAUAUAAAACAUACACUGGUAUUUUCACUACCCUAGACUACAAUAGAAUGGUUUGUGUUCAUAUCACAAAAUUACUGUUUCAGGAAGAAUUGUUUUUUAUUUCAUGAGUUGGAAACUAUUUUUUUAACUAUGGUUUGAACACAUACCAUCUGAAGAGAUCCGAAGUUCCUUUUUGUUUGCAGGAUUAACAAUAAUAACUGCCUGAUCCUCACCAGAAUCAGCCUCUUCAUCAUACUGACCAUGCAUUUGCAAUAACCACUCCACAUACUCUUUUUCUAGCUGUAAAGGAGUUAACACUUUUCGAUCCUUAAAAAUUUCAAUAGCAACAUCUGCUGAUUUUAAAUAACUAGUUAGUUGGGUAUCUAAAAACCUUGACAAUAAAGUUGUAACAGUGUAAUAGGAAUUAAUAAGAAUACCCUUCUGAUUGUCUGAAAUUUUAUUGCCUAUGUUCUUCAGAGCAGUGGUCAAAGGACUGUGGUGAGCUAGAUCAGUCUGAAAAGGCAAUAACUUCUUGAUGAUCAUUAAAUCAGGAAGAAAAUAAAAUACAAGACGGGUUCAUUUUUGUAUAUAUUUGUAGUCAGACAUUAAAAACAAUGGAGCAAACCCAUUGCUUCUGUAUCCAAUGGUAAAUGCCUUUAUAUUGAUUUCCAAUUUACUCUACCAAGGUUUCAUCUCAUCGGCGUACAUGCAUAAGCAAAUAUAAAAAAAAUCCAUUACAAUUCAAGUUACGUAGCUAUGCUCUACUAUUUAUAAUGAAUUAUUUAGUCAUAUCUCUAGUCAAUCUAGGACCUCAACACACCCGCUCAUGUUAGCUCAGGGAUAAGGAUUGUUCUCCCCUUUAUAAGAAAUUAUUUAGCUAGCGUAUAUGAUACAAAGAAAGAUUCAAUUCAAGCAUGACAUAAUAGUUUAAAUAGCUCCAGUUAAUCAUUAAUUGGCAAUAAACUUCAAAAAAUUAGUUAGUCCUGGUACUAGCAAGGAUAUUACAACGAUGUUAUGUCUGGUAUAGAUCAUUACAUAGUCAGAAAAACUUAUAACUUACUUCAAAAGUAGUUCAAAAAAAGUGAAAUUACAUAACAGUUAGAGACAAAACAAGAACACAGGUCAGGUUAGUAAAGGACACAAAAUAGUAUAUUCAGUAAUAUUAUGCAAGUAUUGCAGGUCUAACCUUGGUCUGUGUUGGCUUAAAACCAGCAUCAGUUUCUGCAAAUUAAAAAGUUUGUCUUAGAUGGACAAGCAAAGAAACAAAAAGUAAAUACAAAGUAUUGGUGACGGAUCACUAAUACGAUAUACCAAUGAAGCAUUUCACCCUCAGCGAACAUCUUUUCAAUAUGUUAGCUCUAUUUCCCUUUUUGUUCCUAAUGUCCAUAAAAGGAAGUAAAGUCUGUAGACAAAAAUGAAAAUGCAAGUCAAUAGCACUCUAGGAAUUAAGAUUCAGUAUGAAUAAAAUGAAAACACGAGAGUCUACUAAAUGGAAAAACAUGUAAUCUAUAUGAACAAAAAGCAACAUUAGAAUUGUCAAAUUUCUUAUUUAUUUGAGUCCCGUUAUGAUUUAGCAUACUCCUAUUGAAGCCUGCUGGCAGUCAGUGUUGUGCUUGUUGCCCAAUUCUGAGAUGAAGUGGCUCAGAUAUGGUACAAAGGAAGAUUCUUCAAAAGCUCAAGCUCAAACCAACAAGUAGGUCUGAUUGUAUAAUGUCUAGUCAAUACUUCUCCUCAUGACAGCAGCAUGAUAAACCCAACAUACAAAAAUGGUUUGAAACAAGGCAUGAUUUCAACUUAGCGGCAACUACUUAAAAAGAAAAUUUGCUAAAACCAAACAAAAAAUGAGCCAAUGGAAAAAAAUUGAUGCAUAAUAUAUAAAAUAAACAAUAAAAAUGAAUCAACAUAGAAACACAUUUUAAAGUAUGCACGUGCUAAGGAAGGAUGGAAAAGAGAAAAGACAUUGCAGAAUAAAAUUAAUUGAAAUAAUGAGUUAGGAAUAGUACAAGUCCAGUCAUACGUAUAGUUGUGUUACAUAGGCAAAAAUUGAAAGGACAAGACGAAUAAGAAGUCUUGUUUGCACGACAAAGUAAAUCAUAUGGCUUUAAUAAGAAAACAGCUGCUGGAACCAAAGUACAGGGUAAAUUUUCACUGCAAGUUCAAAGCCAAGGUUGGAAGUUUACCCAGCGAGCAUCAGGAAGUAGACGGCCAAGCCGCCUCACAGAUACACGACUAAAGUUUAGGAAGUUUUCUCUGAUUACACAACCAUCAUCCGCUAAUUUUUCCAAAAUCCUCUCGAUAUUCUCCUUUCCCUGUAAUAUAGAAAUACUCAUUGAAUUGGUUAUGAAUUUCAGAUCUAAAUAGACAAAUACUAUAUGUUAUCUGUAUUACCUUUGUGAAGGGGAAAUACACAACCCUCAGCCGUGCAUUUGCUACUUGGAUUUCCCUUGAACCUGAAACACAGUUAUUCAAAUGGAACUUGAUAUCCAUAUUUCUUUACAGAUUUACAGAUAACUAAAUAAAAUGAUUAAACUGUACAAAUAUUAGGGAUACAGCUAAAGAAAUACAACAAUGAUUUUCUCAAAUCCUCUUUCUCUAUCACCACUUUUAUCGUUCAUAUUUUCUCUCUCGAAAAGAAUAAAUUAGCUGGAAGAGGUAGAAACUCUAAUUAAUUACUCAGCAGUGUUCUUGGAAUUUUUCUCCUUGGUUUAUGAGUUUUGUAGAGGGCUGGAAAUUGGGAAUUCAUCAAUACAGAAUUAAGUUUUUUAGCUUUCUAUUAAUGGUUCUUACUUCCUACUGGUAUCAGAGCUCCACCCUGGAACUGUAGUGUAACUAACUAACUAGUGAUAGCAAGAAAAUGAAGGAAAGGCAAGCGAUUGAGAAAAAGUUGGAGGCAUACAGAGGGAAGAAGAGGCGGGGAAGAAGGAGCAGGAGGCAUGGAAGAGAAAGAGAGGCAUGAUUCAAGAAGUUGGUAAGGAUGUUGGCGGAAGAGAGCUAAAGAAGUGGUGAGAAAAACUGAGGCGAGAAGGAGAAAACGACUAACUGUACGAGUAUCGAGAGGGCAUUGCGCGUAUCAAGGGUCUAUUAGAGUAUACUAUAUAGUCUGGUAUAGUUACUGUUAGUAGUGUUCUAAUUACAGUGUGUUACUGUUAAGUAGUUAGUUACCCUAGCAGUUAAGCCUAGCUGUCAAGUUAGUUAUCUUAGCUGUCAAGCUUAGCUGUCAUAACAGAAUUAGUUAGCUUCUUACGCAAGCUUUGUAAACUCUCUAUAAAUACAGAGAUCAACUCUUGUACUCUUUAGUUUUACAAUCAAUGAAAUUCGGUUAAACAUUUCAGCAUUUCUAACAGGGUCGACGAUGGAGGACGAAGGGUGACGAAGAACAAUGAGUGAGUCACGCAUCUCACGCGAGUCAGCAGGGCAGGAACUACAAGGAGUUGUUCAAGUCGUACUCGGCUCCAGACUCCACAGGCAGAGUUUGGAGGCGUGGAAAAGUGGAUGGAUGAUAACGAGUAUGUCAUCCCAUUCCACCAACCAUGGCGACCGUAACAACCCAAACCUGAGUCAUGUAUAAACCCGAGUCGUUCGACAACUCCUGAGCAUAGCAUGACUAAAAAGGCAACCAAGACACAUGUAAUGAGUUUCAAUGAAUUGGUUUAAAAGCUUUGAUCUUCAUAUUGUAGGUUCAGAUUUAUAUGGGACCAAUAAUUCUAACCCACGAGAUGAGUGCUGCUUUCACAAAUUGAUAGAAGCUCAUAUUAUUGAGUUCGAGAAAGUUCGAACAGAGCUGUCAACACACAAGAUAUGAGAGGCAUAGGAGCAUUGUCUGAACUUUUGGUACACUGAGUUGUCUCAACUAUGCAAACCUGAACAAACAGUUCGACCUUGCCCUCUUCUCCCCAUGUCAAUGAAGGUCACUCUGAUGAAGAUGAGGAUGAAGGGAAAGUGACCCAUUGUUGUCAGACUGCAGAGGAAGGAUUUGAUGGAGCCCUUUUGUAGAUAAGUGGAGAAAAGAGACAAUUUCUGAGAACAAAACAGUGCAUUCAUUUGGGUUUGAAAUUAUUGGUCAGAAUUUGAGGUGGAAGGAAAUUUCUGAGAAGAAACCAGUGGAUAGUUCUUAGAGUUGAAAUGGGAGUUUAAAUGAUCUCGGCCAAGAGAUUGGCUUGGAUUGUUAUUGACCGGAUAGUCCUAUGGAUAAUAGUUAUCAAUUUCUGAAGAUGAUAUAUGGUUUGAAAGAGUGGAUUUUGGUUUUUAAUGUUGUUUAUGGUUGGAGAUAAAGAUGAUGAGAUGAAGAAGCUGAAGAAGGAAAAUUUUAAAAAAUUAUAUUUGUGCAAAAAUAAGUAAAGAAUAUAUAAGCUUGGGCAUCCAAUGUCUUCAGAAUUUUAGUGAAAGGUGUGGUGUCCUUCACUAAUCUAGUUCAAUCUUUGUCUAAUGUGGUAUGCAGAAAUACAUCUAUGCCUCCCUCAUGACACAACUCGUUUUCAGAAGAAGACAGUCUUGGAAUAUUGUGUCUUCAGCUAUAAUGGUAUCUCUUAGUUCCCAGCAAUGAGACCCAGACAGGAGAUAGAAGCUGCUAUACUAGGUUCAGCAAACAGGUGGUAACAUAAGGUUGGCCUAGUACUUCCAAUGAACUUAGAUUUCCAAGCUUAAGAUUCCAAGUGUCAAGAGUUCAAUAUUCAAAAGUAGAGGCAUGAAGAGCCAUUUUCGGCUGCUAAGUUCAUAAGGAUCUUUUUUAUGUAGCAUUACUGCAGUGGUGAAUCCCACAUGUUGCUUGUCAAGUCACCAAGACAUCUCAGAAAGGGAACUCCGAAUCAAUUGUGCUUCUAUUGAGGGACAAUACAGUUGGAAAUGUGAAGCUGAAAAUUAUAGUUGCAGUCAUUUUAGACCUCAAAUGAUGGGAUCCAGGAAAAAGUCUUGUGGCUACCCAGUUGUGGACAUUUGGGAAGAAUCAAUAGGUAGCAACUCUGCCUUGAGUGAACAGCCAUCAGAGUGCAUUUGGUUGUAUAGUUCCUUGAAACAUAGUGGGACUAGAGUUCAUCAUGAACAGUGCAAACCCCUACAAUGACAGGGGAUUUCCAAGCCACUACAAAAGAUAAUGAAGGAGUAUUUCCAAGCUUCAGCUGAAAAUAUGAAGUCAACUGCUAUUGGAGUCUUUGAAGAAGACUAAUGGAACCAUGAAGGACACUACUAUUUCCUAUUUGUACCCUGGUUCACUUGUUUCAAACAGUUGGACCAAGGUAGAACAUUGUUUCAGGUAACGGUUCUGGUAAGCUCAAAUGGCCACUUAGCCAACCAUCAUCAUGGUUGGCCCAAAUAACUACAAGGAUGGUCAAGCUGGUUAGCCAGGACGACCAAAUUUGGAGCACCUAUUUGUUAACCAAUUGGCCCAACAUAACGUUAAGGUGAUAAAGCUGAUCGAGUGAUUCAACUUAGCAAGGUUAAAAAUCCUCGACACCGUUCACUCCAGCCUCUAUAUAUACAGGUUUGUCAUUUCAAAAAAAAAAAUUGAUCAAAUUGUAAGAUUUAAGCAUAGCUCAAAAUUGUUUUCUCAUUGCUCUUCUAGACUCUAUGUGAGUUCUCUCUCUGGUCCAUCGUUGACUUAAACGUCAAAGUGUCUUUUGCAAUUACCUCCGCCGUGGCCCAUCCUUUACCACCAUGCCCUCAGCCGCACUUUUCACCGUGCACUGCCAUACAUGAUCAGAGGACCAUCUCACCAAAUUUUCUCGAAGAAUACAGGUCCUCCUGUAUGAUGGGAAGAACCACAAAUUCGAGGACAACAAGCAGAGGUGUGGCAGAUCUUGAGAACAGGAUGAUCACUUUUGGUAUUGAAAGGAAUAAACCUCCAAUAAGGAAUGUCUAUUAGAAGGCGAGAGGAUGACAAGCAGGGAGAGAAUCAAAACCGUUUGAGGGUUAGUUGGUUAUAGAGAUUGGGAAGGGUGAGUUAAUGGUUACGACAUAGGAGGUUAGGAAAGACAUUGAGCGGGGGACACAGUGUAAUCGAGUCUCGGAUUAUUCAGCAAUGUUCUUCUAUUCUUUUCAUCAUCCGUCUCUCGCUCUCUUACGUACACCAGUCUCACACUUGUAGAUGUGAUGUGAAUUCAAGGAAAUAUUACAUAUCUCACACACAAAAAAUUGCUAGAGAUCAAGAAAUUCACACUUGUUGAUGUGAUGUGAAUUCAAGGAAAUAUUACAUAUCUCACACACAAAAAAUUGCUAGAGAUCAAGAAAUCAUAGAGAUAGAAAUGGUUACUUGCAGUUUUGAUGCCAUCACUGUCAGGUGAAAAGGAAAGACGAAGCUGAAACUGAAAUUCAGGACCAUUGCAAGAAUGCAAAUUGGUGAUUGCAACCUCCCCACCUUGAAUCUCAGUCAAAUCAACACUAUUGACCUGUAAAAUUACCAAAUUUGAUGUGCUUGUCCAUAGCUACUAGUAACCAUUCAAUGGGGGAAAAAUUCAAAUAUCAAAACUAAAACUUGUAAAAUUGACUAUAGCGUAAACAUUUUUUUCAUCUAUUGAAACUGAUAAGAAUAAACCUCCUUUGAUCCAUGUUUAUCGCCGGAAAAAGAAGAAUUUCAGGUCUGGAACCACCAUGGGAGGUGGCGCAGCCACUACUGUGGCCAUGGAGACUGCUGAGCAGCCAAAACAGCAAGGAGAAAGGGGAAAUUCAAAUUUGGCAGAUGGUUUAGAAGCAGUUACCAGUCAGUAGUUAUUAGGAGUUAGCAGUUAUUAAGUGUGUAAGUUGGUUAUUAUGUGUGUAUGUCAGUUUGUAUUCAAAAUAAAAACUGCACUAUGCAGUUGUAUAAAUAAUAGGCGCAGCCUAUUAGAUGGUUGUCCAGAAAAUUAAAAGUGUGGUAGUAGGGAGAGAUCAGGCUCUCGAAUUCCUGCUGUAUUGUACUAUUUCCGGUAGAGAUUCUUCAUCUCUGCAGUAUCAAUAAUAAUUAUCCAUUACUCUAUUUCCUUAUCUUAUCAGAAACAGUGAAAAUAUGCUCUAACGUGAAAACUGCUAAGCUCAUAGUCUCAUAUAAAAGAAAAAUAUAUUUAGAAGAGAGAAAUAAAAAAUAAAGAGUUCAAUAUCUGCAUUAUGAUCUUGUCAUCUUUCUUCUCAUUAAGAUUUGACAUGGGCUUGACAAGACUGCCACCAAAAGAAUAACAGAAUCCUUGUACAGAUUUAGAAAAUUAGGUUUUCAAUAUAUUUGGAAAAAAUUUCUUGGAUAGUCGAGAGUAUAAACAUGACUCCAGAUUAAUCAUAACAGUAUAAGUAAGCAGCUCACGAAAAUGAUGGUAGAACAAGAACCUGAAACUUGAUUGGGGUAAUAGUCUUCCCUCUUUCAGAUAAUUCAUCGCACUGAAUGAAUACAACAAUUAGAAACAUACACCUCAAGUUAGUGAAGAACAAUAUGUUUCCCACAAAAUUCUAAGAAAAAAUAUUCUGAGCACUUGAACAUUAAAAGCAAAUUUCUCUAACAUUAAUGUAAAAUUUAACCCCUUAGAAACAUGAAAAACUAAUUAAAAUAUUUGGAAAAUCCAAUUCUACACAGUUGCAAUAUAAUAUAAGGAAUAAACAGACACAUUGAAUGUAUUCAAACAUAUACUUAGUGUGUAUUUUAGAUACCAGUUGAAUGCAAUGUGAAUGGACUUUCAUGUCUGUCCAUUCAAAAUUGUUUUUUUUUAGUUGGUGCUAACAUCUUUCGUUUGAAGUAUUUAUUUUCCUUUAAAACUGAUGAAUUCUGAAACCAUUUUUACUGACAGGCAUUACUCUCAUUUCAAAAAGUUUCCCCAACGAGCUCUACUAAGUAUAAGCAUCCCUAUGACAAUAUCGGAAUGAACAGAAACAUGAAUUCAUAAAAUCUGAUAAGAAAAUAUAUCAUCUCAUCUGAAUCAUGAAUUUUAUUCACUAGCGGGUUAAUCAAACCUGAAUGUAGGGAAAAUAAAUAUCUUUCAGGUGGCACUGAAGUCUGUUUAUGUCAAAAUCUUUUACUUUAGGGUCGAAAAUUUCAACCUGCAACAGGACCAUAUAAUGUUUAUAUGACUAAAAAAUGACAAGAUAACCAUUUGCGCACGUAAGUAUAACAUAAAGAAGAAACUAGAAAGUGAGAGAAUUUUGCUGGUUGUGCUUGUACACCUCAAUAUAGAAUUCCAUUAACAAGACAAACACAAACUUAUCCAAUAGCAUCAAUGAAUUAAGAGAAUACAAAACAAGUGGAGCUAGCAAAAUGGCAUCUCAAAAAUAAUGAAUUGUCCUAACAAUUUAGAAUAUUCAUGAACAUCUCUUUACAAAUGACAUUAUCUCUUUGUGAAAAAAUAAAAAUGUUAAUAGUUGUGGUUAACUACAUAAUGCACUUUAAAUUAUAUAACAGGUGAAUACAACUUUACUUGCUCAUUUUAGAGGAGCGUAGAGUACUAUAAACAAGUGAUCAUCUUUAAAUCUGCCUUGCAUCAUGGCUACGGAAAAUUUUCGACUUACAGAAGCAAAGAAAGUUUGAGGAUUCUCAUAAAACUCAAGAAUAAAUAAAUGAUAGCCAAAAGAAAAAAAAAAGAUAAGAGAUACUUUGCCAGGAAGAAACAUCAGGGGAAAUGGAAGGAAAGGAAGCUUACCGUAAAUACAUGAUUAAGUAAUAUCAUAUAUGAUUAAGAGGUUAAUUAACAACUAAGGUCAUAUCCACAAUGCCUAAAAUGGAUAAAAGGACGACAAUAUGCAAAUGAUAGAUAUAAUGAUAUACCAUUGUAAAGCUUCCAUGACAGUCCUUGAUUUCGUCCUUUGAGGGAUCUCUGAUGCCACCAUCAGUCUGAAUGAGAAAACAAAAAUCUAUCACUACACAGAAUAUUUGAUUUCUCAUUCUCAUUUAUUAUGAAGUCAUGUUAUCAUUUCAAUUCUCAAUUAUUCUUAUAAAAUCAUGCAAUCAUUUUCAAUUCUCAGAGAACUAAAAAGUUAAAUAAAUUGAACAUAAAAUCUAGACAUUUGAAAUUAAGUUUUUGAAUAAGAUCAUACAAUUUUAAAUACAAAAGAUACAUAAAAAGAUUUUCUUAAUUUAAAUUUAAAAUUCCUGUUGAGAUAGUAAACAAAGGAAUUUGUUUUUGUUUAAAGAAAUGACAGAUGAUGAGUGAUUUUUAGGGGAAAAUAACAAUACCAAGAGAAAGUAUGUUAAAAUGGAUUGGACGAGAAACUGGGUGUGAAUCUAUCAAAACCCAUAAAUAAAUAAAUUAAUAAGAGAGAAGAAAAAAUACAUGCAUUGAUAGGGAAACAUGAAUACCUUCCAUUUGACUUCAGAGCAUGUAUUUAACAAAGCUUCCCUCUCAAGAUGUAACAUGUAGACUUUCUUCACAUGUUUUGUUUUGGAGGAAACUGAAGCACGCCUGUUAUGUGAUAAAACAUGAGAAGGAGCUAUGAAGAGAUAAAUAUAAUUUUGGGGAAGUGCUUGAACAGAAGUAGGAAAACUGUGUUAUUACCUCCCCAAAUGCAUAGAUGCUAUAGGUCCACCGUAUCCAAACAUUCCAAAGUAAGGCUGCACAAUCACUAAAAUAAAUCAUUUUAAAUAACAGAGCUGAAAUUAACCUGCCCCCCUCUGAUUAACAUAUUGCAUAAAGAAAAUAAUUCCAGUUACCAGUACAUGUCUUAUAUAUGUACGCUCUUGAAGCUUAAAAAUACUUGUACUUGUUUAAGCACGUUACAACAAACAGACACAACAAAUAUUGAAAUGCAAAAGUGAACAAAAAAUUAAGAGCACCAUCAAGUAUGGAGGUUUUCCUCCAAUAGCCUGCAAUUUUGAAUUUCUGUGAAGUGAAGCACCCAGCUUUCCCCUGUCAAAGAGAAAAAAAAGUAUAUAUAAUCAAGAGAAGACAGUGCAGCUGACAGAUGUCCUGACUGAAGUAUUCUAUAAUUUGAUUGAAAGUGGUUGCAACUGAAUCUUUCCAAACCAUCAAGUGUAUCAUGUAUUCAUGUAUGAUGAAAGUAUAAACAAAGAUAAACAUGCAAUUACUCUUGUACUAUGAUUGAAAACGAGGUGUCAUUUAGAAAACAACUAAUGUGUGAGCACUGAGCACUAGCAGAAUUGAGACUUCAGAGCUGUUUCCUUCGAGUUUUGGGUAAACGCUUCUGUCUACAUUUCAUGUUUCGUUAAGAAUAGUAAAAAGUCUACUUUGUUUCCUGUUUUAAAGAAAUUGUAAUAAGAUGUGGUGAAAACAAAAAAUAGACAAAAAUUAAAGUGAUAUUUUUGAAAAUUACAACAAAAAGCUGAAAAGGAAAUAUUUUUUCCAAACAUUUACUCAAACAACUUAAUAUGAUCAUGUAAUUUGGAACUUUCAGAAAAUUCAAGAAAAAAUAUAUACAAUCAGAUAGCUACCACUUCACUAGGGAAUUAUCAUCAGUGUCAUCCAUGCCAGGGCCAUUGUCGAAAAUUGAAAUCUUAUCUGGACCAACAUUUACUCUGCCAAUCAAAAAAUACACAUAAGCAGGUGAUGAUUAGACCGGGGUGUGAGAAACCAGCCAAGCAAACAGGAGAAAACCAGAUAAUUAAUAUACCUAUGUACUUUUAAUACUAAAAGGAAAGUUGAGAUCCUAAACGAACUGAACUGAACGGUCAUACCUAAUUAGCUUUCUACUAUUUCCCCCAUUAGACCACACAGCUUGCAAGGAAUUAUCCUGUAAAUGAUCAGCAGUUUUAGUGUCUGAAUGAGAAAAAUAUUUAUAAUUAUGAGAUUAUAGUCUCUGUUCUGUUUUGUUAAUGUUCUCACAAUCAAGUCUGCAAGGGCUGUUUGGAAAGAAUAUUCCUCAGGAAGCUCCAGAAGCAGAUCAAUAUCUGGCGUCAAAUCCCACAUAUUCUGCAUUGCAUUUCAAACAGAAUCAAAAUAUCCCUAAAAAACAAAAGAAUAGUAGGCUAGUAGCAAGGACAAAGAAACUACGAUAGGAAAUCCUAACCUCAAAAGAUUUGGCAAUUUCAGUUCUCCCAUCCUGAUUCAGAAGAAACAAGAGUAUAAAAAACUGAGCAGAGGAAAAAAACCUAACUCAAAAUUAAAGAAAUAACUAACAUGAAGCUGUAAAAUGUGACAUUUGUGAGGCUUAUAGUUGUGGAAAUCAAUAACGUUCUUAAUCUUAGCGUCAGUGGAAUCGUGCAGAAACAGAGGAGCACCAAUCCAGUUAAUGUCCUUUUUCCUUUUCAUUGAUUGAUUGUGCUCUCGAGCUCCAUUGUAAGCAUCUUCCACCAAUUGUAAAAAAUCCGGCAACGGCAUUUGAGGUUGAGGAUCCCGCAAUGUGAGUUCCACACUAGUCCCGUUAGGUAACAAGAUUUUGAACCUAUAUGCCUUUCCAGUAUCAUCAUCGUCCUUCCUCAGCACCAGUUUCCUCUUUGCAUUGCCAUCCAUGUCUGUUUCCAAUACAUAUGGCGGAGGUGAAACGAGGGUUUGUGAGGGAGAAUUUGCUAAAAUUGGGAAGAGAGAAGAAAGAGUGAGUGAGAGAGAAAGAAAGAAAGAAGGGAAAAUAAAACGACGAUGGAGGGAGGAGUUAAAGAGCCUGCGGUGAAGUACUGUUGGCCAAUAAAAGGUUGACACGUAGCAUCAUGGUUAGAGAGUGCUGGACUGCGUGCUAUAGUACUACUAUUUAUUAUUUAUUAUGCGCUCGUCGUUUGGACUCAUUGAGAAAAACAACGAUUAUAAAAAAUAAAAAUAAUAAAAAAUAAAGAGUAAGAGGAAGACCAGUAGUCGUGAUUUCGGUGACUUGCGAAGGAAGUCAAAGUGGAGCCUUCUAUAUCUAUCUACUGCAUAUAAUUAGCAUGUUGAAGUUAAUUGUAUUGUUAUUCGGAGUGAAUGCUAAUACUUAGGUAGCGUUUGGCCCAGUUUUUUUAGAGCUUAAAAGUUACUUAUAAGUCAAAGUUAAAAAUAAGAGCUUUAAAAUUAAAGCUUUAGUUGUUUGGUAGUUUACAUAUUUUUACAUUGUAAUUGUAACUUUUAAGCUAAAAAUUGUUUGAUAAAUCAUCUAUAUUUUCUCAUAUACUGGUCUUAACAUUUUAUCAAAUGGUUGGUAUGCACUACAUUUUCCAUCUGAGUGGCCUUCUUUAUACACCAAACCAUCAAGCUUACAUAAGAAACAAAAAGCAAACCCAGAUUAUCAGAGACCCUGAACGGUUAUCUUAAUACACCCCUAAGGAUUCCCUAAAUCAUUAAAAUUGACAACCCAACUCACUAAAAACAUACUUCUAAUUGUUACUGUCUGCAUCUUUCCAAGCAUAAACAAUAAUUGGUUCCCAAUUGCUACCGUUUGGGAUUACCUCGCACACUCUCCCAAUAGAAAAAGGCUCGUGUCCAAUUUGGAUCUAAUUUGCCAUCAGCAAAUACAGUGAUGAUUGGAUCUAAUUUGAUACCGUCUGCAUCUUUCCAAGCGGACGAAUUGGAUCUAAUUUGCGAUCAGCAAAUACAGGAUUUAUUAUUCUGCAGAGCAAUGGCACGCCAAGGAUCGACCAAACAGGGAAGGGAACAAGAACGAGAUGGAAAUUUUUAGAGGAAAGUUUGUGAGUUACUUUUAAGUAAAAACUCCUCUCAUUAACUUAUUCUAAUAAUAACUUUUCUUUAUUUUACACUAUAAAAAAUAAGCUCCUUAAAAUUUAAGACCUUUUUUAAAAUUGUGUUUGGCCCAACUUUAACUUAUGAGUUACUUAAAAGUAAAAAAAAAAGCUGGGUCAAACACUACCUUAAUUAGAAAUAUGAGAGAGAAAGUUAGAGAGAGAGAGAGAGUGGGAGUGGGAGAGGAAUCGUUGAGGGGAAAGGAGGCAAUGCAAUCCGCGACAGAGAAGGAGAAGGCUGGACUAAGGUACAUGGCAGAAAGAAUGGGCGUGAAACCCUGGUCACCGGCGAUAGCCCCGACCAGUAGGGUAACCUGGGUGCGGUGUUCAGGCAUCCCGUUACAUAUGUGGUCACUAGAUUGUUUCAAGUAUAUAGUGCUACAACUUGGUGAUGUGGUUAAGGUUGAUGAUAAGACGAGUACUCUCUCCAUCCUGGAGUUUGCGAGACUGCAGAUUAGAACUACGGCACUUGAUUUCAUCACCCUGUCAAGGAAGAUUAUGCUAAAUGGCACCAGUUACACGGUCAGGAUUAUGGAGGAAGUGGGCAUAUCUGACCAUCAAGGUUGUUGUAGCAUCGAUGAAUCAGAGGAUGAGGAGGAUGAUGACUACUCAUAAUGGUCCCUGAACGGCGGUGCAAUUUCACCAGAAGGCUCGGAGGUUGGCGGUGGUAACGGCGAGAAAAACCUAGAGGAGGACGACGGUCAGCGCAAACCACAAGAGAAUCCUAAUCAUUCCCUUGGGGACAGAAACAAUCAUAGUCCCAAGGGAGGUGCAAUCACUCCUACCACAGUUGUCGAGAAAGCCAAUUAUGAGGGAAUUAUCAGUGGAGGAAAAUGUGGAAACUAGGAAUGAAGCGGUGGGACCGACAAGAGGGGGAAAAGAGAAUGAAGAACUGUUUCAAACUGAAUUACAGGAGGAGGGUAAUAUGGGUAAUGCACAGGGGGAGAGGUAAUUCUCAUUCCUACCCUGAAUAAAAAUGGAGUGGGCCCGAGUCAGUCAAAUAUUUGGGCCCCGGGUGUGGAGGUGGGUUAGGAGAACCCGAUCCAAAAAGGAACAACCCAAGUGCUAGAGGGUGUGGAGGAUAACGCACGUGAAACAACUACAGAUAAGGCCAUAGCUAUUGUUGGUGCUCGCAAGAAAAAUAGAGCAAAGCCAAUGUUGAAUCUGAAUCACUCCUUCUAGGGAUCCUCGAUGGACUCGGUUAGAAAUCCUCAAGCAUCUCAUCUUCCGUUCACUCUGCUUCGACAGACAUCGACGAACUCAGGGAGACGGAGCGAUGAUCUUCAAAUUGUUGCAACAGUGUCGGGAAUUCAGAGGAACGAUGGUGGAUUCAGAAGUUCACUGUUGUCCGUUAGUAAUUCUAAUUCAGGAACUGACUUUCAUAAUUGUAAUAAGGAUGUAUGGUUGAGAGGAGUGGAGGAGGAAGCUAAGAGGAUCUGGGAACUUGGGAAAGAAUUUGGGGUUACUGCAACAGGUGAUGAAGGGGUAGUAGUCUCAAAAUUAGUAGAUAUGGAGCAUAGAGAUGCCAAGGAAGUAGGCGACUUGGUGAAUGUGGAGCCAAGGAGGGGUGAAGAUGGUGAACAAUGAAGAUUAUGUCAUACAAUGUUAGAGGGCUGAGGAGCACUGCUAAAAGGCGAAUAAUCAGGGAACUAGUGGCAAAAGAAGGAAUUGAUAUGUUGCUCAUCUAGGAGACCAAACUUGAGGAUGUGGACUUACAAACAUGUUCUCAGGUUUGGGGGGACGCGGAUUAUGAAUGGCAGGCUACAUCGGCAGUGAAUAGGGGAGGCGGGCUAUUGUGUAUUUGGAAGCGGGGUGUAUCUCUCCUUCAGAAUUGCGUGAGAGGACAAGGCUUUCUUGGACUGAUUGGCACUUGGGGAGAUAUGUCAGAUGUGUCUGUGAUUGUGAAUGUUUACUCUUCUUGCAGGCUUGAGGAAAAGAGGAACUUAUGGCGUCAACUAGUUGAUUGGAGGAACAACAGCGACGAGGUCACGUGGUGCUUAGGAGGAGAUUUUAAUGCAGUAAGAUCAUAAGGGGAACGCAAGGGAGUUGCAACAAAGGUGGGUUCACAGAGACGUGAGAUAGCUGAAUUUAAUAAUUUUGUAGAGACAAUGGAGGUCUUGGAUUUACCAUUGGUAGGACGUAAAUUUACAUGGUAUAGGCCGAAUGGACAAGCCCAAAGCAGAAUUGAUCGGUUUCUGAUUUCUCAUGAAUGGCUAUUACAAUGGCCAGGAUGUCAACAAGUGGGUCUUUGUAGAGAUAUCUCUGAUCACUGCCCACUUGUAUUGAGAUCUGUUUUGCAGGACUGGGGACCGAAGCCAUUCAGGGUACUAAACUGUUGGUUGAAACGUCCUGGAAUUUCUGGGUGUGUGGAGAAAACAUGGGCGGAAACACAGGCAGUAGGAUGGGGAGCUUUCGUGCUCAAGGAGCGCUUAAAAGAGCUAAAAUUGAAAUUGAAGGAGUGGAAUAAGGAGGUUUUUGGGGACUUGACAACCAAGAGGAAUGACUUGGUGCAGAAAAUCAAUGAUCUGGACCGCAAGGAGGAAGAGGGUGGGCUGACUACGACAGAAGUGGAUGCAAGAAAGGUUCUGAUUGGUGAAUUCUGGUCAGCCAUUAAACACCAGGAAUCUCUUCUACAUCAAAAAUCCAGGUCCCAGUGGUUGAAAGAAGGAGACUAAAAUACAAGGUACUUUCAUUCUUUGAUUAAUUGGCAGCGAAGAUCUAACUCGAUAGUAGGACUUAUGAUUGAUGGCAAAUGGGAGGAGAAUCCGCAGAAUGUGAAGGAGGAGGUAAAAAAGUACUUUGAGAGGCGAUUUGUAGCUGAAAAGUGGGCGAGCCCGGUGUUGAAUGGAUUGUCUUUCCAAACACUGUCUCAGGCUGAUAAUGAGCUACUUACUAGUAGGUUUGGUGAGGAAGAAAUUAAGGAGGCUGUUUGGGACUGUGGUGGGGAUAAAAGCCCGGGACCGGAUGGAUUUAAUUUUAAAUUCAUUCAGCAAUUCUGGGAACUAAUGAAGACUGAUUUUCAGAAGGUAUUGGAUGAGUUUUGGAGUAGGGGGUGUGGUCGAAAGGUAGUAAUGCAUCUUUCAUUGCAUUGAUUCCUAAAGUGAGCUCUCCGCUUGGCUUAAAUGAUUUUCGACCCAUUUCCUUGAUUGGGUGUAUGUAUAAGGUGGUCUCAAAGGUGUUGGCAUUAAGACUGAGGAGAGUACUACCAAAGGUUAUUAGUAGUAAUCAAUUUGCUUUUCUUGGGGGCCGGAAUAUGCUUGACAAUGUGGUGAUGGUUAAUGAAGCUCUACAUGCAGCAAAGAAAUUAAAGAAAGCAACUUUGUUCUUCAAAGUGGACUACGAGAAGGCUUAUGACUCAGUGAGCUGGGAAUUCUUAGCAUACAUGAUGAGGAGAAUGCAGUUCAGUAAAAAGUGGAUUAAAUGGAUUAUGAAUUGCAUCAAAUCAGCCUCUGUCUUUGUAUUAGUUAAUGGGAGUCCAUGUCAGGAGUUCUCAAUGAACAAAGGCCUUCGUCAAGGUGAUCCACUAGCUCCUUUUUUAUUUUUGAUUGUGGCUGAGGGUCUUAAUAAAUUCUUUGCGAAGGCAGUGAGUAUGGGCAGAUUUCAGGAGUUCAACUUUGGAGGAGACGCAGGGAUUAGUAUCUCUAUGUUGCAGUUUGCAGAUGAUACUGUUUUUAUGGGUGAUGCAACAAUCCAAAAUGUGUAAGUUGUCAAAUGUAUAUUGCGGUGCUUUGAACUUAUUUUUGGUCUUAAAAGUUAAUUUUCAUAAGAGUAAAUUAGCAGGGGUGGCAGUGGAUCGGGACUUUUUAGGGAGGUUUGCAGCUAUUCUUCAUUGCAAAAUAAUGACUAUACUCUUUGUAUACCUGGGAAUUCCGGUAGGAGGUAGAUUAAAGAGCUUGGAAUUGUGGGAUCCGGUUAUAAAAAAGCUGCGGGGGAGACUCUCAUCAUGGAAACAAAAAUAUAUCUCUUUUGGAGGACGGGUAUGUCUUAUUCAGAGUGUAUUAUCUGCAUUACCAUUAUUCUUCCUCUCCUUUUUUAAAAUUCCAGUUGGUGUGCUUGAGAUUUGUACUGGAAUUAUGAGGAGAUUUCUUAGGGGGGGUGUCGCUGCGGAGAGCAAAAUUAACUGGGUUAAAUGGUCGGAGGUUUGCAAACCAAAGGACCAUGGUGGGCUUGGUAUCAAGGAUUGGAGGCUGUUCAAUAUGGCACUAUUAGGAAAGUGGCACUGGCGAUCUUUGACGGAGCCUUAUAGUUUAUGGUGUCGUGUAGUUAAGGCCAAUUGCAAUAGUUGUGGUGAAUCCUCAUGGUGGAAGGCAGUUCAAUCAAUCAGCCAAGAAGAUGGUUGGAAUUGGCUCCAAGACAGCUUACAAAAAACUGUUUUUGAAGGUAAUGAGACAAAAUUUUGGGAUGAAAAUUGGCUGGGCUUAGGAAGCUUGGGUCUCCGCUUCAAACGAUUAUAUAAUUUAUCCUGUCAGAAGCGUGAAUGUGUAAAGGACAUGGGACAGUGGGAGAAUUGGGUAUGGAUAUGGACAUUUCGGUGGAGGAGGAAAUUGCAAGGAAGGGAACUAGUUUGGCUAGCAGAGCUGAAGGAGGCGUUGUGUAGUGCACAACUAGUAGAGGACAAGAAGGAUCGCUGGGUAUGGAAGCUGGAGGAGGGUGGAAUUUAUUCAGUUAAUUCCUCUUAUGUUUUUUGCAGGAACGAUUUUUAGAGGAACCUGAUUCUGUUUUCCACUAGAUUUGGGCAGCACCAGUUCCGUCAAAUAUCAAGGCGUUUGCAUGGCGAGCUAUGCUGGGGAGGCUUCAAACUUGUGAUAAUUUACGCAAGAGACAAGCCAUUCAUGAUGCAGAGGAAGCCUUAUGCGCAUUUUGUAGAUUGGAGGAGGAAUCAUGCUCUCACCUACUCCUAUCUUGCUCUGAAUCUUUGACAAUCUGGUAUGAAUGUUGUGCUUGGUUGGGGGUGUCUACUGCCCAAGUUCCAGUUCCAAGGACUCACCUACUACAAUUCCCUGUGGUUGGGAGAAGUAAAGCUCAAAGGUUAUGCGAAACAACAAUUUGAUUGGCAACUGUAUGGUCGAUCUGGUGUGUGCGUAACAGGGUAAUAUUUAAUGGAGGUGGGCUGGAUAAAGGUCAAGUGUUGGAUCAGAUUCAAGUGAAGUCCUGGCAAUGGUUAAAGGCAUGGCUGGACAAUUUUUCUUAUUCCUGGUAUGAGUGGAAAUUAAACCCCCGUGUGUGCAUCUUGUCCUUAUAGCAAACAGGGGCGUGAAUGGAGGAUAUGUGGAUUGUGCUACUGGUAGAUGUGGUGUUUAGUCCAUUAUGCUAAUACAAAGGCGUUGACAGAAUGUAGCUGCUAAUGUUUCAUAUUUGAAGUGGCUGAAGUUGGUUAUGUUGUUGACUGAACCGAGAAGGAGUACCUUAUGAUCUCUUGGAUAAGGGUUGGGGAGAUGGAUCUCUUGUGGCUUCAUUAUUGACUUUAAAAACCUUGUACUCUUUUUCCUUACUAGGUUUUCCCAAGGGGGUUUUCCCUAGUAAGAUUUUAAUGAGGCAUUGUUUUAAAGUCUUGCUCACAAGAGAUUACUCUAGGCAAUGUUAGAGGGUUUUUUCUUUGUAAUUGUCUUUACUUUUCUUGCUUUUAUCUUUCCUCACUUUGUAUUGGGUUGAAGUACCCAUUGUACUUCAUUUCAAUAUAAUUUUUGCUUACCAAAAAAAAAAACUACUCUUAAUUUCUUUCCUCCUCUUACCUUAUUUGUAUUGGGUUGAGGUACCUGUUGUACUUCAUUUAAUAUAAUUCAUAUUGCUUAUAAAAAAAAAUUAGCAUGUUGAAGUAUUUACUGUGAAUCACUGUUAAUUUGAGUUUGCUUGCCAUUUGUUUUUUUUUUAAAACUUCCUCCCUUCUUUCCGGUUUGACAAAGAUUGUUAAAGAAAAACUAAAAAGAGAUUGAAUAACACAAGUUCCAGUUCAGUAGAUGAAACGUUGUGAAUAAAUAUAUCAUAUGAAUUUCAUGAAUCACACUUAUACCCCUCACGACACGGGUGUAUCCAGGAUUUUCUUGUUGGGGGGCGAAAUAUAAGAUUAAAAAAAUCAUUAGGGAAUUGUUAUUCAGACCCCCCUGAUAGCUAUUCAGACCCCUCAAAAUUGGCGAAUUGUCCAAAAUGCCCCUGUUUAAAAAAAAACUUCCCACUUUCCCCACUAAUUCCCCCCCCCCUCCCACUUCUCCCACUUCUUCAAACUUCUGAAACCCCCCUCCCCCAAACACAUUUCACUCAUUCAAAAUCUCUCUCCCUCUCUCACGCAUCUCCUCCACUGCCUCCGCCUGCCACCGCCAUCGCCAGCGACACCGCAACCGAGUGGAGUCGCUGCCACCCCCAUUGCCACCUUCUGCUGCAACAUUCUUCCCGAAACCCAGGUUUGUUACGCGACCCGACCCAUUCUGUUAUGGUUUUGAUCGCACCUUGUAGAUGCGUCUGUGUCGCAGCUUGAAGGUGCGUGUUCAGAAUGCACGCACCUUAAGGGUCCGCUUGAGACGCACCUUUAAGGGGCGACACAGACGCACCCUGAGAGUGCGUCAUAGACCCUUAUAUGUCAAAGCUUCAAUGCCUUUAUGUUUUUGUUCUGUUUUGAGUCUUAUGUUUCCAAUGUUGGUUCAGAUAUGGCAAGAACAAAGAAUUUGAAUGUGCCCCCGGCCAACGAAAGGAGAAUCCCCCCCCCACGGCAUCGGUACGUAAGGAGCGUGAAGCCGCCGCCCUACGAAAGAAAGAAGAAGCACGUAAAAGGCGUGACGAGGCAACCCGUAAAAGGUGUGCAGGUAGUGCAACGACUGCUGCCACUGUAUUGCAUAAACAACUUGGUGUUACACAAGCAGCUGCUGAAGAGGAGAUCCGGAAGUCCUUAGGACCUUAUGCUCGUUAUACAUGGUUGUUGAAGGUGGCUGAGGACAUGGCUAACGAAGGGAAGACCAAGAAAGUUGCUAGAGCCUUCUUGCUGCGUUUGGUGGGGAUGACGAUCUUCUGUGGGAAGACAAACAACAAGGUGGAUGUUGCAUAUUUGGGGAUGUUCAUGGACUUGGAAAAGGUUGGGGAGUAUGCAUGGGGCGCCAUGGCAUUGGCUUUCCUUUAUGACCAGCUGAAGGAUGCCACCAGGUCUGCACCACUAGCCUUGAAGGAUUGGGAAGCCUUUUUAUAGAGCUGCGGUGACCUAGGUUGUAACGACGCACUUAAUGACUUAUUUAAUGAGUUUUACCGGUUGUUGACUCAUGGUCAAUGGCUGGUGCGUUUUUAAUUCACUCUCAAAGUGCGUCAACAACGCACUCUUAGUGUGCGUUAGUGUCGCACUCGGAAAAUGAGGUUUGUAACACCCCGAUUUCGGUGGCGUCACUUUAGUAACCGAAAGUAAACUUAAUGCGGAAAAACAUGAAUAUUUUUUUUUUGAUAAUAACUAAUACAAGAUUGAAAUAGAUAAAACCCAAAAGCGAAAAGCAACAGAACUAAUGUACAUUAUAUAAUACAGCCCCCGCUGUAAGUAACAACCUCGUCACGAGUAACCUCCAGUGACGGAAAGAAAAGUGUAGCGCCCGAAGGCAAUAUGUACAGACUGAAAGUAAAGGUGAAGUGUCCGCAACACCAUCCCUCAAAACUGAGAAUAAGCUGGCCCAUCGGCCUGAAACGAGACCUCCUAAGUCCAACCAACUCUCUGUGAUUCCUGUAAAGAAACCACACAAAAAGCUAUAGGUGGGAAACUACCCUGUCCCCAAUGAAAACAAUUGAUGUUCAGAGCUAAGACUCUACUCCUACACUAAUCCCAUCUCGAGGAGCUCACACCAGCACUAAAACCUACAUGCUAGCAUGAUCGUCGUCCGAAUCUGAAUUCCAGAACGACCUAGUCUAUGUACACCAUCCGUCCUCCUCUCGCGAUCGCGAUGCGCUCCUAUUCCCGCAUCUCAACUCUAGUCCCCCCCGAAGGGUGAACCGUCGUGAACCAGCCCGCCAAAGACAUCUGACAAUGGGCGUUUGUCCGCCAAAGCACACACAGAAGACGCGAGGGUCAACUCCAAAGAAUUAUAUAAAUAAUACCACCAAUAGAUAACGAUAAAAAAAUAGCCACUUAGGCUUAUAGCUAGGGAUAACAUCCUAGGGUUGCAUAUUCCACAAAACAUAACAACAAUAAUAACACUUAACAUGUUCCAAGUAAGGUUAUCAAAUAGCAAUCACACUCAUCAACUAAGUCAGUAUGCAUGUUGCAUGAAAUGAUAUGCAGGUUAACCCAGUCAACCAAUAUGCAAUCCGGAACGGAUGGACAUCAACGGAUCAGCCCUAACACCAGCCACGGUGGAGCCAUUUCGGCCCGCGUGCCUCUUACUCCAACAACAGCGGUAGUCAGAUCAGCAGUAAACCCGUAGGUCUGCCAUUUCGGUCUGCUACAAGAGACGUCUACAAACGCUCUUACACGGCAUUCCGGGUCUUAUGACCAUUUUGGAAACCGACGAGGUCCAGAGUACGUCCUGUGUUAAUACCUCAUUAAUGUUGCAUGAAUGCAGGAUGAUUAGUCAAACAACGUCUCCGAUCUCACUCGACACGUCGCCACGUGUUCUAGCUACAUUAAAGUCUCUAAAAGCUUACCCUAAGGUAAAGUCGAUUCUGCGACAAAAGACACUUCUUCACAACAACACAUAACCCACGAUGAUCUCCAAAUCAUCCGACUCAUCUCAAUCCGAUGGUCACAACUGCUCAACGAGCACAGAGUAUCAACAUACUCGGGAACUAUCAAUUCCCCGGACUUAUCCCCAGGAUAGCCCAACAACAUAGCUGCUCCAACAGCACAACAACAAUAGCUGCUCCAACAGCACAACAACAAACGCUGCUCCAGCAGCACCACAACAUCUACAUACUCGAAGCCUCUCAACUUUCUCAACACUGGGAUCCGACGACACUUCUCGUUUUCCAAAACUAAGAUUUGACUUCCACGCCUUCCUUUCGAGUUUAUUAUCAUUAAUUAAAGAUUUAGAGGUUGUUUAAUGUCUUAUGAGUUUUCUUUACAAAAUACUAUCCUUUUAGUCUUAUCGCAAAUCCUAUAAGUUCUCGGGAUCUCCAAAUCCCCAAAUGACUCCAGAGAAUGUCUCGAUCCAUAAACAUCAUAACAAGGCCCGAAUCUCAUUCGUCCUAUCAAGCUUUCUCAAAACUCUCAAAAUAAAAUCGGCAUGACCUGCCCGCUAUUCUCACCAUUCAGAAACUCAGAUUCCAGUGCAAAGCAUAUUUAAAUCAUCACAAUCAACAACAUGUCAUAUAUCAAUAAAUCUCAUCAUAAACACUUAGCACUUAGCAUAUAAAGCAUGCACCACACAUCCUAGAUUACCCACAUAGCACAUAGCAUGUAAGUCAAUCUCAAAAAUAUUCAGUAGAUGAAUCAUCUACAUUGUCAGUCGAAGCCUCAGAAAACAUUUUCCAAUCACACACAAUCCAGUGCAUAAACAGUAAACAAUGUCGAAAGCAUCGACCCUAAGCAUUAACUAGAGAUUCAGUGAGAAGCCCUCACCUGUAGAUUCUCCAGGACGAUCUCCUAACACUUGUCACAAUCAAAGGCUUGCUCCUAUGGGAAUUCCUCAAAAUCACCUUUAGAGCAAAACCACAGAAAUACUAUCAGAAUCUAUCGGAAACUAAGCUAUCAAUACAUCACUAAGGUUACACGAAGUAGUACAUACUCCGAGGUACGAUAAUCUAGCGCGAAAGGACAAGUUUUCGAAAAAGGAAUUUUCCUCCUCCUCCCCUAUAGGGCUCGGCCACUUUUCACAAUUGUGGGAUUCGAUUUUUCUUCGAUCAAACUUGGUUCCUAUGCUUUCAUUAGCCGUAACUAAGGGUAUUCUGAACUCGGAAAAAUUAUCGGAUCGAAAACUGCCGCAGGGGUAUUUUGGUCAUGAUUUUUAACUUAGAAUUUUCAAAACUAAAAUCCCAAAAACCAAAUUUGACAGGGACGUCACCAACGACGUUUAUGACAACUAAUCCUACUAGCACUAAGCUAAGGCGAUAGUUUUCAGCCUAAAGGUUGAAGCUUUACUUCAAAAACUCCAAAAAUGGGUAUUUAAGGCUAAAAUUGAUUCCGGCAGAAUUCCGGCGACAUAACGGAAAAUCUAACCCGGCAGAAGUGAUCUUGGGCAUGUAAGGAAGAAGUUUAGAAUCAGAAAUGAAAUAUUCAGGAUAGUUUUGCAAAAACCUCAAAACUAUCAGCUCAGAAAAGUCUACAGAAAAGCUAUGGAAAAAGCGAUCAGAGGUAAGGAUUAGCGACUAUACCUCGGCACCUUGAAGUAGCAACUGUUGGAUCGACGAUCAAGCAAGAAAUGAAGAAAAUCUUCUCCUCCUCCUCUCCUCUCAAACUCGCGGCCUUGGUGGGGAAAAUGGGUAUGGUUUUGUGUUUUUUCUCAUUUCUUGGCUAUAUAUAGAGGUUGGCAAAACGCGGUAAAAUGAAAGUUUCGCGAAUCUGAUUUUUCCGGCGACAUUCUCCGUGAAUUCUAAGAUAAGUUUUGGCGAAAGAAUUCCAAAACUAAAAUGAGGUCUCCUUGUAUUUUUGGCAACUAAUGCAAAGUCGGUGUAAAACUAUUUUACCCGAUAAGUUGCUUUUUGCAUCGAAUGUCGGAAUAGAAAACUUCCUUCUGCAGAAAGAUUGAAAUCAUCAAGAGAAAUGGGUGUACGCGUGUAGAAUCUUCAUUUGAAGCUCUGAAUAGAAAAAUUCUUCAUUGUCGGAUGAUUCUAGGGUUUUGAAAUACCAGGGAUUCGGUUUCGGCAAACUUCCGAUGAUUGGAAUCGGACGUCCGUAGAUCCUAGAGUUUCCCCUCAAAACUAUUUUGAUAUAUGGAAAAAGAGAAGUUCUAACAUUUCUCUGAAGAUUUUUGGAAUUAACUUCCAUCGUGCCUAAAAGUGAAAACUAGCUAUAUACUAGGGUUUCUGACCUAAGUUUAAGCGUAUAACGAUCGUGCUAUAACUUUUAUCGAUCAUGAUGCAAUCCUUAAACUUUCUCCUUCAUAAAUUUAUUUCAUUUAGUAACUCUAGUUCAGGUUUUCCCUUCACGAUACAUCAACCCUAAUCGUGAAUAGGAUUCUAUUCACUUAGCAUAAGUUUAAAAAAACUUGGGCCUUACAAGGUUCAAACUGCGACCAUCACGCAAUUUAAAGGUGCGUUCGAAAUGGGUAAUUUCGGGUUUCAGAAAAUUCCGUCGGUCUGAAUAGCUGUGGGGGGGAGGGUCUUAAUAACAAUUCUCAAAUCAUUAUUGAAUAAUAUAUAAAUUUUAAAUAAUAAAAAAUUAUUUAAAUACAACUUUUUGUUCUUUCAUAGUGCUAAAUUUAUCUAUUAUUGUAUCAAUAGAGAUUUUUUCAGCAAUUUCUCUUUCGAUAGAUACAACUAAUAAAUUUCUGAGAAGAUCAUCUUCAAUUUUGUUGCGAAGCCGAGUCUUAAAAAUUUUCAUUGCAGAAAAAGAUCGCUCUGUAGAUGCUGUCGAAACAGGGAAUGUCAAAACAAGACGUAUCAAUAUAUUAACAAGUGGAAAUAUUGUUACUUUUUCAGUUUCAACUAACUUCUGGUAAAACUCGGAUAAACUAGAAAUUUUUCCUAAAUUAGGAUCUCGGGAAACAUUUGAAUGAUAAUGUCUCAAUUGGAACGGAAAAUUCCUUCUUUCUAGCUCGGAAAAAUACUUAUAGUCGGUGAACAUUUCAAAAUUCUUGGGAGGCGAUGGCCCCUGCCAGCCCUGCCCUAGAUAUGCCCCUGCCCUCACGUUGUAUAGUCUAAAGGAGCAACGCAUGAAGAUGACAAGAAGACGACAUCUCCAAAGAAGAAGACUGGCUAAAGCAUACAAGGCUAUACAAGAAGUUAACUCAAUCAUGAACGAGUAAGAGCAAAGCUACAAAGGCAGACGACACAGUUAAAAGAAGUCAAACAUGUCACAUCGUCUGAGCAUCAACAACGAAGAGAUUGACCAAAGCGUCAAGACAAGAUGAACAAUGAAAGGAAUGCUGAGUAUGCUAAAUGGAUCAACCAGAAGAAUCAAAGCAUCAAGGCAUCAUGAGCCAGCAAAGGAAUGCUACAUGUGCAAGCUAAUUAAGCAAAGAAAAGCGAUAUCUGUCAGAUCGUCCAUCCAUAGAAAGAAGAAGAAGAGAUCAAGAUACAGGAAAAGUCAAAUCAACAAGAUCGUCUUCAGAAGGAAAAGUCAAUGCAUCAAGGCUCAUCUACAUAAGAAGAAUCAAAGCUUCAAGGACACUACAUGCAAAAACAGUCCAAGCCAUAUGGUCGUCUAAAAAGACUGUACUUGAAAUUCUGGCAACCGUUGGACAGAUAUUAUACCAAGUUUCUAAGACAUUGCAUACGUCUUCUUGCACAUAAAACAUUUAAAUUAACAAGUAGAGAAACAAAACAGAAAAGGUAAACACAAGAAGUUGGCAACCUAGUUCAGUGCAACAUCACCUACGUCUGGAGCGUUUUCACCCGAGAAAGCAAAUCCAUUAUUAGUGUAUAGGUACAAUGAGUGUAUUAUUAUUAUUAUUAUUUUUUUUUUUGGAAACGGAAAUGAUAUUAUUAAUAAUAAAGCAACCAUGAGCCAAGAUCCUCAAGGCUGAGACAAAAUACAAGCACACUGCUACACAAAACAUGGAUAGCUAAACAAACGAAGCUAUUGAGCUCUCCCCUGGCAGCUUCCCCGCAAAACGGCUAAGAACAGAAACCUAAGCAUUAGCCUCAAUAAAAUCUUACUAGCAAACGAAGCUAUUAAACCAUCCUCUGGAAACUUCCCCACAAAACAGCUAAGAACAGAAUCCUAAGCAUGAGUCUCAUUAAAACUUUGCUAAGAAAAACCCAGUGGGAAAAAACCUAGCAAAGAAAAAGAGUACCACAUCCCUAGGAUAGCCAAUUUUGCCCCCCUUACAAAUAAACAGAACAUUAAGUCGCCAGUACCCUGAAAGCACUUGAAAAUACUCCUCACGACACCUAGAAAAAAAUGUUGAAACGCCACCAAUAGCAACAACUGCAAAUUUCACACAACUCCAGCCCCCAAACACCAGCCAUUUCGUGACAGUAAAUUUCCGGCAGCAAUAAACGUAAUUUUCGUAACAGCAACAGCAGCCCAAAUUAACAAUAAUUUCUGCCAACAGCAACAGCAAAUUCGUGACAACAGCAACAACAGCAAAAAAUGGCAGCAACAACAACAACACCAUAUCAGCAACAAUUAAACCAAACGCACCAUCAACAGUAAACCUACAGCACCAGCAAACAUAACAACAUCAUGUGUUUGAUAGCAACAUCCGCAGCAGCACCAACGUUAUCCCCACAUGCCUGCAUUAGAACCAAAAAACAAAACUACACAAACUUGAUAUUUUUUCCAAUGCAAGAUAGCCUUCUUUACUACCUCCCACCUUGUCAAACCUCCUAAACCACAUACGUUCCAAGUAAUUCACAGCACAGGCAUCUCAACGGAGAUGAGGAUGGUUUUGUCGUAUCUGAGCUUCUAAACUUCUAAGCAUCAAAGCUUCUGAACCUCUUGGCUUCAAACCCAGUUGUUUACCAAUCAACCACGUUCGCUGUGCACGUGUCGUGACGCCGUCUUCUCCCGGAACUGGUUCCAAGAAAUCAACUGGCAUCGGCUGAGUCUUGUUCUUACUACCUUUAGGGCGACCCCGUUGAGAGCUGCUUUUUCGUGAAGAAUUUGUAUCCCAGUCCAAUCCAAAAUAAAGCUCCCGAACUCAGCAAGUUCCUCGGGCGUCGUACUCAGUUGUGAAACCUCACCAAUUGCUCCAAAGUCUCUUUCCUCAGCUCAACUCGUUCCAAACCUUAAGCAAAGUAUCAUUGCUUAGUCGCUAAGAAACAAUACAACUAAUAACACUAUCAAAACCCGAAAAGAAGCUGCAACAUUUUGUUAUGGGUAGUACAAUCAAAUCAUAUAUGCCCUCCUCAACUGUAUAGUCCAUCCCUACACAGUCUCAGAAUACCUCUUGUUCGGGUGUGAGAUCGGUUCAGUCAUGUGCCCCUCCGCCUAGAAGCCUUCCAGGAGCCGCUACUUGUCCGUGCCUCACUGCACCGGCAAUCACUCCCCGCCCUCGUCGGCCUCGAGUGUCACAGGCCCACCAACUUCCGCUUGGUUCGUCCCUGAACCGCACCGUACUGGGAGAGGUCGGCUCAGAUACCACAAUUGUAACGCCCCGAAUUUCGGGUGUCACUUUAGUAACCUAUUAAAGUAAAUAUGCAAUAUUUUCCAAACGAAUGUAUAAAUAAACACGAGUAUAUUUUUUUUUCUUCUUUUCAAAUGUAUUUCCAAAACAUGUCAUGCAUACUCCCAACUACAAAACCUAACCAAUAGAAACAACUCAACAAAAACUAUUCUGCAAUGUCAUCAUGAAUCCGACAUACUCCCUACGAUCUCCACAUCGGGGAACCGCAGGAAAGCAAUGCAUCGAAACCUACCCGAAACCUCAAAUAUAAAUUCCUAAAACCUUUAUACAAGCUUAAACCAAUAACGGUAAGCUCUCUAACCUAAGGCUCUAGCCUUAAACCCGACUCUACUCGUCGAGUACUCCACUGUCCUGCAAGUCCUCAUCUCUACUUGCACCAAGGUUAAGCUCCUUCGAAGAUUCUCCAUCGCCUAAUAGCGUUAAACGCCCAAACAACAAGUAGCAAAUAGAAAGGGUUAACUCCAUACAACUACCACGUAUAAAAGAGAAAAACAUGUUAUUCAAAUUUAAGUGCAUAUCAUGGCACAUAAACUAGCAACUUAUUUCAAGAUAAAUGACAACAUAUAUCCAACAACAUGAGAUCAAAUCAUAUAUCAGCAAAAAUCAACGAUAUGAAUUUAACUCAGAUAUCAACAACUUAACAAUGUAACAUUUAUUCAGACAUCAACUUAACAGCAUAUAACAACAAAUCAGACAUCAAUAAUCCUCAACAAUAUAACAUCAAAUCAGAUAUCAACAAUCCUCAACAAUAUAACAACAAAUCAGAUAUCAAUAAUCCUCAACAAUAUAACAUCAAAUCAUAUAUCGACAAACCUCAACAAUAUAACAACAAAUCAGAUCUCAAUAAUCCUCAACAAUAUAACAUCAAAUCAUAUAUCGACAAUCCUCAACAAUAUCAAUCAAACAAUAACGUCUCGCAAGACGGGACAAUCACGUGGGACCAACCCACCUCAUCGCCACUUUAGCGUCUCAAAAGACGGGACAAUCACGCGGGACAAACCCACCUCAUCGCCACUUUAUAACGUCUCGACAGACGGGACAAUCCCGUGGGACAAACUCACCUCAUCGCCACUUUAGCGUCUCAAAAGACGGGACAAUCACGCGGGACAAACCCACCUCAUCGCCACUUUAUAACGUCUCGAAAAGACGGGACAAUCCCGUGGGACAAACCAGGGGCGUAGCCAGGAUUUUAACAUCGGGGUGGCCAAAGAUCAAAUAAAAAAUUAAUUUUGGUUUCUUAUAUCUAAACAAUAUAUUUUGAAAUUACUUUUACGUAUAAUUUAUAUACACACAUUCAAUAUUUUAUCCUUAAAUUAAUCAAAUUUCAUUAUAUCAAAAAUAAUUUUAUCGAACAAUAAUCCAAACGACUCUACAUGUGUAAAUCAAUUAGAAAUUGAUAUUUUUUAAAAGUAGAAAAAUAUAUAAUUAGUUUGACUAUAAUAAAUACUAACCAAUCAUUUUUUUUCUCCAUCGGGAAACCGAUACUAACUAAUCAUAAGUUUGUUAAAACUGAAAGUGAGAAAAAAUAUUUUGUUUAGAUAUUAUUUAUAUGUAUGAAUAUGAUAUAUCAUCAAAUGUAACUCUAUAGCCGUGCCUAGCUUAGUGGUAAGACAAGUAGAGGAAUCCAAAGUGUUCGGGGUUCGAUUCCUAUAAGUAGUUUUUUAAAAUUAUGACAGCGUUUUUUUCCAAAAAAAUGAAAAUUUAAUGGCAUAAGUAAGAUUCGAACUCGGGACUGCAGGGAAAAUCAUUGGUGCGCCUACCACUGGGUGCUAAUUUAAUUAAAAUUACAUGAUAAUAUAUAAAUAUAAUGACUGGUGCCAUAAGAAAAAUAUGCCUAGUGUCCUACUGAAAAUCGAAAAGAUGGGGGGCGCGGAGGCACCGGUGAGCCACCCCGGUCCCUCCGCCCCUGGGACAAACCCACCUCAUCGCCACUUUAACGUCUCAAAAGACGGGACAAUCGCGUGGGACAAAUCCACCUCAUUGCCACUUUAUAACGCCUCGAAAGACGGGACAAUCCCGUGGGACAAACCCACCUCAUCACCACUUUAACGUCUCAAAAGACGGGACAAUCGCGUGGGACAAAUCCACCUCAUUGCCACUUUAUAACGCCUCGAAAGACGGGACAAUCCCGUGGGACAAACCCACCUCAUCGCCACUUCAACCAAACCAAAACAUCUCAUCCAACUCAGUAGUCACUCAAACAACAGUCUCAAAUCCAACAAUCAAAUCAAGGUAACAACAUGUUAUUCAUAACCUCAACGAACAUAAAUCAAUUCAAUGCAUACCAACUCAGUUCAAUGACAGAAACCUGUAAACGGUCGAAGCCUCUCAGAAAACGGAGACACACGUCUCAAUAAGUUUACUCGUCCGAAGCCUUCAGAAAACAUUUGGCACAAGCCUCAGAAACAGUCAACAUAAGCAAGCAUACAACAUUGCAAGCAUAAUAAUCAUAAUCCAAUGCCAGUCAAUAUAAACAUCUUCAUCUCAAACGCAUGCAGUGCGAUAAAAGCAGACAGGACUCAAAGACGCUCUAAAACUGAGUUACCCUUACCUUAGCCAAUUUCUCCACCCAAGCUCAACAUCCCAGUCCAAUCCAAAAUAAAGCUCCCGAACUCAGCAAGUUCCUCGGGCGUCCUACUCAGUUGUGAAACCUCACCAAUUGCUCCAAAGUCUCUUUCCUCAGAUCAACUCGUUCCAAACCUUAAGCAAAGUAUCAUUGCUUAGUCGCUAAGAAACAAUACAACUAAUGACACUAUCAAAACCCGAAAAGAAGCUGCAACUUGUUGUUAUGGGUAGUACAAUCAAAUCAUAUAUGCCCUCCUCAAAUGUAUAGUCCAUCCCUACACAGUCUCGGAAUACCUCUUGUUCGGGUGUGAGAUCGGUUCAGUCAUGUGCCCCUCCGCCUAGAAGCCUGCCAGUAGCCGCUCCUUGUCCGUGCCUCACUGCACCGACGAUCACUCUCCGCCCUCGUCGGCCCCGAGUGUCACAGGUCCCAUGGCUGCCAAUUAAAAUUUGAAGUCAGAAUCAUAUCUUGAGUAUUGAAAGAGUAACCAGUAACAACAGAAUUUUGGGCAAAAUCUUUGGCAUAAUUUUGUUGCUCUUUACUCAAGAUUUGAAUAUCCUCAUCAGUUUUUUCCUGAGUCAUUAAUGAAUUUUUCCAUUCCUCAAUUUUCCUGAGUCUUUUAACUGUUUCCCCUCUUCCUCUCCUGCUUUCAUGUCAGAGUUCAAACGUUGUAACUCCUCUAUUGCUGAGAACGUAAGAGGCUCCUCCUCCCCCACACGCGUUUUUUUCUGAAUUUAUCCCCUCCAUCAAUUGCAUCUGGUCUUUUGUUCCUGGAUUGAUGGUUGUUAAUCCUACGUUUAAAGUUUCCAGACUCGGUUGCCAAAAAUCCGCCACCGACUCAGCCUGAAUCUACGCCACCCCGAGAACAUUCACGUGAGAAUUCAAAUUUUGAAACUCAUGUGAUGGUACUAGCAUGACACGCGUGAAACUUGUAAUAACCACCUUCUCUAACAGUUCCUGGUCUUUCAUCCCUGAAUUGAUGGCAGACGUAUCUGAAACAAAUGAUUUCCGGAUCACAUGCGAAAAUUCUGGCUUGCCGUGGUCACUCGCCGGCGACCCAGCCAGCUUCACCACCUCCACGUGACCUUCCUCUGAUACACCACCAGUCGCCCCUGCACGAAGACAGCCAAGGCCCUCUAUUCUAUCAUCCUUGUACAUUUCAUCUUCCUCCUCUGAAUCGACGUCAACGGCAGACUCAUAAUCUUUGUCAUGACCAAAUUCCGGGGCGGUAAGCACACCAACAUUCACGGUGUCAACAUCUAAACCACCAUCUGCAUCGUCUUCAUCUGACACAUAAUUCUUUACCAGCGUUGACGGCAUAUCCUCGACGCUCCCAUAAUCAUAAAUCGCGUCUUCCUUCUCAACCAAAAUAAUACAUGAAGUCCCGCCGACGUCGACAGACAUAGUAAAACAUUGCAAUAACAGAUGAUUCAUACGAACUAAAAUUCUGGAAAAAUCAACACGAUGCCGCGACGAAGUUGCAAUAUCAGACGACAGAUAGGUCCCCAACCUAUUUCCCACUGCCGUAAAGAAGGAAUCAGUCCACAAUCCCAACGGAACUUGCCAUAACCGAAUCCAAACAAGGUGUGCAGCCCCAAAAGUAUGCACUGUACACGGUCUAAUAUCAGAUAGCUUUUGCUCCAAACAAUAAUGACACUCUAUAAUCGUGACCUACAUCUCAUCGUUAUUUUCAAAUUCCAAAAUCGCUUCAUUUGCCCCUAAUGGGAUGAAGCAAAAAUUAAACAAACCGAUCUUACUGAAUUCCUCCUGCAACUCAUCUAACGGCAUAGCUACAAGAGUAUGUGCUUGAGCAUAUCUUUGAACCCACUUCUCAUCCAAAUCCAACGCCAUGAAACUCAACUGACUACUUUCAGACUUGUGAUUAACCUCCUUUGGCUUAUCUGGGAUGUCUUUUUUCUUCAUAUCUGGGAUUGUGAUUAACCUCCUUUGGCUUAUCUGGGACGAAGUUGCAAUAUCAGGCGACAGAUAGGUCCCCAACCUAUUUCCCACUGCCGUAAAGAAGGAAUCAGUCCACAAUCCCAACGGAACUUGCCAUAACCGAAUCCAAACAAGGUGUGCAACCCCAAAAGUAAGCACUGUACACGGUCUAAUAUCAGAUAGCUUUUGCUCCAAAAAAUAAUGACACUCUGUAAUCGUGACCUGAAACUCAUCUAACGGCAUAGCUACAAGAGUAUGUGCUUGAGCACAUCUUUGAACCCACUCCUCAUCCAAAUCCAACACCAUGAAACUCAACUGACUGCUUUCAGACUUGUGAUUAACCUCCUUUGGCUUAUCUGGGAUGUCUUUUUUCUUCAUAGCUGCAACCGGUCCAUCCGGAGGAUGUUGAGCUUUUGGACUACGAUUUCUCCCCUUGAUUUCAUAUUGAUACCGGUCCGGAGACGGAACCUUGAAACUCCGAGAAGGUUGUUGAUACUUUGCUUUUUGUACCAUUAGAAAGUUCCCUUCCAAAUGUAAUCCAUUAAACAUCUUGAUCGCCCUCCAAGCUUCAUCAUCAUGCUGAAAGCGCACAAAACCGAAGCGAAAGCGUCGUUGGAGUUUGUUUUUCUGUUGAAUAAAAACAUCACACAAUCUCCCCGCUUUGCCAAAAAUUGAACGAAGUUUUGCCAACGUAAUUCAAUCACCCAAGCCAUCCACAAACACAGAGAAGGAUACUUGCUGCUCCUUGGAAACAUGCUGCUGAUUCGAAACUUGUCGUACACCUCUAUUAUGGACUGGUUUCCUUUGCUGCCUUUGCAUUGAAUUCGCAAAAAAAGCUCCUGGCCUUGAGGUGCGUUGAGAUCCCCCAUAACCAGCAAAGUUUUGAUUCCAGUUCUGCGUAUCCCAACGCUGCUGUGGGCGCCAGCUUCCUAAGACCUCCGCUGAUCGUCGACAUGGCAGAAACCACCGUGCCGGAGGCUCCCUUCCAGAGCCUCUCUCUCUAAACUCUCUUAUUAUUAUUAUUAUUAUUAUUAUUAUUAUUAUUAUUAUUAUUAUUAUUAUUAUUAUUAUUAUUAUAUCUCAAUUUACUCUAGGAGUAACUCAUUAAAGCCACUCCGAAUCUGAACCGUUUAUUAUUUUAAAAUCUAAUGGCUUAUAUUCAUCUCUAACUCACCUCACGUGCUCUCAAAAUACAGAGUUUGUAGCAUCGCAGGAACAUCGACAGAUUUUUUUGUAUUUGGAUUUCAUUUAAUCGAUUUGAUUAUUCCUUUGGCAGAUCUCAAUUGCGAUGUUGACAAUUGCAGUUUCGGUGGAAGAGAAGCGAGGUUCGCGUUGUACAAUGAGAUUAAGGCAAGAUGGGUUGUGAUAAUUUGAGUUGUUGGGUACGAUCCUUCAAUUUAAGGCGAAAUGAGAGAGAGAGCGAGAGAGGGAGAGAGUAGCAAUCGUCGAUGCCGAAGAGGAAGAGGAGAAAGCAGCAACAUUGGUGUGGUUGGGAGCGAGGAACGACGGCGAGGCGGCGAUGUAUGAAGACGAGAGAAUUGUUGUUGUUAUUCGUCUUCGCUCGUCAGGUGCGCUUUCUCAUUAAAAUUUGUAUAUUCUAACAUUCACAACUGAAACCAUGAUAAAAAAACCCCAAUACAAAGAACCCAAAUCAAUAUAAUAAUUAGAUCAAAUCCAAAUUGUUGAAAUUAUAAUUUUUAUUGCUAACUAUUAAAUUUGAGUAUCAUUAAUUGUGUACUCUAAUAUUGUUUAGGCAGAGACUAUUUGCGCCUCCCUGUUUUGCUAAGUCCGCCAUCUCCUUUUUUAAAAAUUCCAACAAUGCCCUUAGUAAAAAAACAUAAAAAGGUAAUAUUUAAUUUUUACUUCCCACACACCAUCUCCUUCUUCCUCCUCACCCUCCUCCUCACUCUCCUCUUAAUCCUCCACUCCUCCACCCCCAAGCUCUUUUGGGUGAUCUCAAGUCAAGAAUAGAAGCUUACCCAUGUAAGUUUUUACCUUUUUCCGAGCUUUUUUUCAGCUUUUUUUAGCUUCCAUCGCGAUUUCGCGACUUUCUGACGUAACUGGAUAGUCCCGCCCUUAAAACUGCGGGAAUGAAACAAAUUACACGCUCCCGUUAACAUACGUGCGGACGUGUUAAAUUUAUACCUUCCGCUAACUUGUUAGCGGAAGUCAAAAAAACUUAGUCAUUUCAAUCGUCUUAAGUUCUGGUACUGCUACUAUCUAAAUAAAAGAUUUGACAGGCGUACCGCACUUAAACAUGCGGUAGGUAUAAAAGAUUUGACAGGCGUACCGCACUUAAACAUGCGGUAGCCAUAAAACCUGUCCGCGGUUUAGAGUGCGGGAAAGUCACGAAACCUCCUCCCAUUGCAGAAUCAAAUCGAGGGACUGAAAUUUAACACGAAAUACAACCUAAGCCUCGAAAACUUGUAAGAAAUAACUUACAUUGUUGUUCUUCUUGUGGGUUAUGGGUUGUUGUUGUAUUUUGUGGGUUACUCCUUCUUGACUUGGUCUCCUUCUUCCUCUUCUACUUCAACUUCUUCUUCUUACUUCUUCUUCUUACUGGUUGUCCUCCUUUCUCUUCCUCUUCUUGACUUGGUUGUGGGUUUGAGAGACUUGAUUUUGUGAGGGUUGAAACUUUUGAAAUUGGGUGGGAGAGGAAGAUGGUAUACGGUUGAAAGAGGGGGGAGGGUUUGUAGAGAUAAGGUAGUUUUUUUUUUUUUAAUUUAAAUUACUGAAGGGUAUUUUAGUCUUUUCGCGUGUUUGGGGAUGGCGGACUUAGCAAAAAAGGGGGCGCAAAUAGUCUCUGCCUAUUGUUUAUUCGAACAAAGUAUUUUUUAUUAUAUUUAUAAUAUCAUUUCAAAAAAAACUAAUAAUUGUUUUAGGCUAUUUGUUGAAGUUUCUCAUUUGGUUUGAUUUUCCUAGUCCUUUGUUUCUAGAUUUUGUUUGCCGUAGAUGCUUUAGUUUCUUGUCUUAGUCUUUUUUUUUUGUCCUUUGACCACCAGUCUCCACGGGGGAAAGGGGCCCCACGUGACUAAUCUGGCUCAAGAUACGGUAGUGAUAUUCCUGACCACAAAUGUAUUAUUUUUUUCCUCAGAGGGGAUCGGACCCGGGCCAAAAGCCUAGGCAAAAUCCAUUGAGGAAAUGCACAUUCACCACUUAUGCCACCCCUUAUGGUUUUCUUGUCUUAGUCUGCUAUGCUUUUAUAUUUUUGACUUCUGGUUGCUUUUCUUGUUCUUAAAGCUCACUUAGAAAAGCAUGUUUUCAAGACUACCUUAUUAUCAAUUUGAUUCUCUUUUCUAAAAAAAUUUAUUUAUUUAUUUACAAUAUAAUCAUUUUUAUACAAUAUUUAAAAAAUAUUUUAAAUAAAUUCAUGCAACACAUAUACUAUAUCUACUAAUUUUUUUUUUGAUAAGCACUAUAUCUACUAAAUGAAGUAAUGGAAGCAUGAAUCACAAUUUACAAGAUUUUUUUUUGAUAGGCCACAAUUUACAAGAUAAGGAGAUAACAUAAAGGUCUAAGUGUCCCUCCGAUGAAAUAUCGUGAUUUUUUUCAUUUUUUUGUACAUUAUUAUUUUUCUGAAUUAGAUUCUAUAACUUUUUUCAUUUAUUAGAUGAUGUUAAGGAUAUAUUUACCUGCUAUAAAUUGUUGUGCUUUUGGUUGGUUUUUCUUUCAUCUAAUUAAAAUAUUUUCACAAUUUACUCCCCCCCACACACAUAUUAGUUGCGGUGCAAUAAGAUAACUCAAGUAGUAGGAGCUGGGGAACAUAUGGAUUGGAUAGGGGGAGAUCCAAUAUUCGAUUCCUAGCGGGAGCAAUUUAUAUUUCCGAUGUAUCAAAAAAAAGUUGUGGCGCUAUUAUUAAAGUUGUCAAUACAGGCCACCACCCUGAUAGGUUGGAAAAAAACUAGUUGGGUAAGUUCGAAUCGCGUUUAAACAAGUCAUAAAUUGUUGAACUCGACUCGACCCGUCGCGGGUAGGCAAGUUCGUGAGGUGGCUUGUUUGUUUUAGGACAAAAAGUAAAAAUAAAAACUAAAAAAUGGAAAAACUAAAGACGUCAUCAUGAAGAAUAUGGCGACACAUUGAAAGGAUGUUCCUUCUUAUAUUUUCACGAACCCUGAGAGAUGAUUGUCUUCCUUUUUCGGACGAGAUACACGAACAUUUUCGCUAGCCUUAUUUGAGCAAUUCGAUCUUGAACCUGUAAGACCCGGAUUUUCGGAACAAGUUAAUUUCCGACUCACGCGUGGAAUCAGUGUAAGCGUGACAGGAGUUUGAUAUUUGAGAAAGAUUAAUGAAAAAGAAAGUUCAGGAAUUGCUCGAGGAAUGUGGCGUUGUUUCUUUCGGAGCUAGUGCGAGUCGUCUGCACACCUGCCUUAUGGCGAGCGUGUCCAGAAUAGGCUAUUUCGCUCUUAAAGCAACGUUUUGAGUGAGAUUUCGAACUCUCGGAAAAUUUAAAGUUUCUCUUUAUUUUUCCAUCGACCAGCGUUUCAUUUCGGAACUUUGGACUGUACGCACGAUAGGUUUCACUUUUCGGAUGUCCGCCGACGCUAAUUUCUUUGCUUCGAAACCCUAUUUUCGAGCAAUGGAUGAAGACUUUUUCUAUUCGAGACUUCUAACGAAGAUUCCGUCCGCGUUGCCAGAUUUUUUUCGACGUUUCCAAUCUUUCUUCAGAUGGAAGUUUUGUCGUCCGGCGAUCACAGCAAAAAGUAGUUUUUCGGGACAGAUUUAACUUACACCGCUUUUGAGAUUUUCGAUAUCGUUUUUCCCAUAUCAUAGAUAUUUGUUUUGAGUUCUGGAUUUCUGACGCCAGAAUCUCUCUUAGAAUUUCUCGGUGAUCGUGCUGCAAAAAUUGGAAUCGCGAAAUUUUCAUUUUCCCGCGAUUUCACCCGCCUAUAAAUAGCGCGAAAAAGCAAAAAUCCUCUCAUUUUCACCAUUGGAGGCCCAAAUUCGUGGAGAGCAAGGGGGGAGGAGAUUUUCGCGAAAACUUGACCAAUCUUCGUGCAGUUCGUCCCUACUUCUAGGUAUCAAGGUAACUAACACGAUUCCUACCUCUAAUUGUUGUUUCUGUUGCGUUUCUGAAGUCGUUUCUGUGCUCUAAGUUUUGAGCUUUUUCUAAAAUUGUCCGAUUUCUCUGAUUUCUCGCUUGGGUUAUGUUCCUUAUGUUCCCCUGAGUCUAAAACCUCUGUCAGUAAACUCUGAUUGCGAUUCAGUUGUCCAGGAUCUGAAAAAUUGACUCAAAACUCUUUUUGUCUCACAUUUCGAAACUUUAUUGUCGUAAAGCUAUAAUCUGACUUCGUGCCUUUAGGAUUUGUUGUCACGGAUGUCAUGAGGAUCGUUGCUGUCAAAUCUGUUUUCAGAACGGAUAACUUUGAAGUUUUGAGCCUUUAUUUUGGACCAAAAUGCCCCUGCGUAGUCGUAUUUCGGCCCGAUUGUCCGAAAAUUGUUCUGACAGUUUCUUUGCCUUAGUUUUACCCUAAAACUACCUUGUGAAUUGAUUUGAUCAAAGAAAAAGAGCCGAAGCCCUUUUUCCUUUGAGGCCGUGGACUAUUUCCUUUAGGGGGGAGUUUUUCGGUUUCGAAAACUUGUCUUUUCGUACCUGAUUGUCCUAUUCUGAAGCUUUAAUGCUUUGUCUAUCGUUUAUGUAUUGUUUUGCGAUUGAACUAAUCGAUAUUGUUUGGAUUCUGCUUUGUUUUCUCCGAGGUUCAGUUGAAGGAACUUUGGAAGGUUCAGAGCACUUGAGUGAAGGAGCUUGUGAUUUCGAAGCUAGAUCAGCUCGAGGUUAGGGCAACUUGCUAUAUUUAGCUAUGAUUGCAUGAUAGGCGUCGAUAAAUUCGACUUAUGCUUUAUCUGAUGUUGUUUAUGAUGAUUGUUUUCAUAACUUAUGAUAUUGAUGAUGUGUUGAAUUGAGCGUUUCGACGCAACUUCGGAGUGGAGGUUCAUUGAUCUGGUGAUCUUUGACAUUUCGGGUUGGAUGAACAACCCUAGGCAAGUCCAAAUGUGGUUUUGAGACUUAGCCAUUUGUUGGGAUUCGUUGGAAUUCCUAGACUUUCCCCGAGAAGUGUAUUUUGGGUGGUUGAUUUUUUGGAAACUUAGAAUGAUAGAGCUUUCGAAGAAUAAAGACUUGGGAAACUUAGACUUUGAGAAAUAAACUCAUAACUUGGAUAAUUCGAAUUGAAACAAUUUUUAUUAACGUUUAAGCAUAGGAGAACUGAAGGGGAAAAUAUUUACGAAAGGCGGGGAAAAGUCGACUUAUGUUGUGGGUUUGGAGAGUUUGGAAUUGGGGAAAGCCACUGAGGUGAGCUAUGGUGAUGAUUGAAAGUCACCGAGUACUCUAGUACUCCUGGUAGUGUUGUUCGAGUCGUGUUGUAUUGACCGGCAUAGACUCUGGGUUUUGUUUGUGGGUUUUGUGGUGGGAGUUGUGUUGUAUUGACCGACACUAACUCCGAGUCGUGUUGUAUUGACCGACACUGACUCUGGUUUUGAUAAUCAUAUUGCACACGUGCAUAUACGCGAUGAAGUGCCAAGCAGAGUACUUCGGUAUAACAGGAAGUAACGAUCAGCCAUGCAGAGUUGAAUCGGUCCUGACUAUAUCUGGCACAACAGGAGGUAACGAUCAUCCAUGCAGAGUUGCAUCGUGCCUGUUGAUGUUCGGCAUAGCAAGCAGAAAUGGUCAAACCAUGUAGAGUUUGUACCGUCUUGACUAUAGCCAAAGGUGAUAAGCGACGCCCGAGCAGAAAUGGUUAAACACGAGGCCAGUGUUACGACCGUCUCGAGGUGCCCAGCCUAUAAGUGGCAAUACCGUUGGUUUGUCCCGUCGCCAAGCAGAGUGACGUCGUUGAUUUGUUCCGUCGCCAAGCAGAGUGACGUUGUUGAUUUGUUCCGUCGCCAAGCAGAGUGACGUUGUUGUUUUGUCCCGUCGCCAAGCAGAGUGACGUUAUUCGGAUUUGUGUCAGCAUAUUCUGCACUGGCACGCAAUGCAUCUUAUUAUGAUUGAAUUGUGUAAGAGAUUUGAUAACAUGCUAUGUAUAAACCUUAGGGUAAGCAGUGCAUAACUUAUAUGUAUAUAUACAACAUAUAUAUAUAUACCCCUUUUAUCGCAUGUUGAUUGUAUAUCUAUUGUAUUCUGUAAGUUGACCCUAGCGCCUUGGCUUUGUUUGUAUGUUUGUGCUUGGGCGGUCGGCCUGCUGCCAGGCGUCCGUCAGCCGGUUCGUGAUGACUCGUUGUGCGGGAAAGACCCGGAGCGGAACGACUAUUACUGAAGCUUUCGACGAGGACCCGGACUUCAUGACUGAUCGAGGGAGGGUCGAUGAUAGUAGUGUGGGUUAUGGGUGGUUAGAGUCUUUUGAGUUGGUUGUUACUGUAAUAGCUCUGAUUCGUCAUUCAUAUUUUGGGACAGGGUAGGUUCCCGACGCAUGGCUUUUGUGUGGUUCUCUUACUGAGGGAUCACAGUGAGUCAGUCGGACCAUAGGGGUCUUUGCUUAGGCCAUUUUGAGGCCGACUUCCUCCUAGUGGUUUGUAAUUAUAAUUUUCUCACUCACACAUCUGGAUCUGUAACUAUUUGCCUACGGGCACACUACUUUGGAGUCACUGCGAGUGCGCGUGACGGGAGAGUGCAGCUGAGGUUGUACAUGUGUAUAUAUUUGUAUAUUGGUUAGUUAGUGUUGGGGUUAUGUCUUUAUUUCUCUUUUGCUUGAUUUAAAAGGAAUCAAACGAAAAAAAAAUUACCUGUUUUCCGCAUAAAGUUUACUUUUGGUUACUAAAGUGACACCUGGAAAUCGGGGUGUUACAGAACCAUUCAUAGGGAAAGAGGAUACCGUGAAGUACAUGAAUAUUUACUUGUUGAACUUUGUAUUCAUUGGAGAAUCGAGCAAGAUAUCUUGUAGAAUUUAUCCUUUCUUCCCACAAGGGAAAGCCUUGUCCUGGUUCAUGUCUUUACUGCCUAAAACAAUCCAUAACUAGAACGAGCCAUAUUGCAUGUAUUUUUGGUACCAGGCGAUGGGUGAACGAGAAGAGAGAGAAGACAACUGCUGAGAAUAUGAGUUAUUUUUUUUGUAGGAGAAAUCAAAGGUACGAACUUUGAAGGGGAAGCUUUGAAAGGGAGAAAGGAUCGGGUGGGUGGUAGCUUCGGGUUUGGUAGGAACUGUAGAGGCCAUGGCCAAGGAUGAUAGCUGGUGAAGCCUCCUCAACGUUAGUGCCGCCAUUACCUAGAGCUUAAUUGCGAUAACCUUCACUAGAAGGACUGUCAAAACUAAAUGUAGGUUCUCUUUUGGGUGUUUUCUUGACUAGUGUCAUGUAUACUUUAGCAUGCUAUUUUGCAGCAUGUUUCUCAAUGUAUCAACUAAAUUGAAAUAAAUUUUUUUACUUAAAGAUCUGAUAGAAAAUGAAUAAAAUGUUGGAAAAAAACUUUGAUACACAAACUACAAACGAUUAUAAUCUUCAGUGUAGAAUACAGAUUCCCUUGAUUGGUGUAUGAAUAUUACAUUCAAUUCUAUUUAUAAAGAUCAUGAUUGGAAAGUCGAGGGGUGGGGAUGGCAACCAGAGGUGUUUCCUUUUUUAGAACAAUACCAAAUUUUUCAGACACAUCUAACUUUUCUCCUUCUGGUACUGUCCAAUCAAACAAGUGCACUAGUGUUGCUAGAAAGUACAAAACGGACCUCUCUGCCAUAGCAAUUCCUGCACAAAUUCUUCUUCCAGACCCAAAGGGAAAGUAAUUAAAGUCAUUCCCACUAAAAUCCCAUUUAGCAUCCAAAAACCUUGUAGGAUCAAAUUCUAGAGGGUUCUCCCAAAUGGAAGGGUCCCUAUGAAUAGCCCACACAUUCACAAACACCCUAGAACCCUUUGGGAUCGUGUAGCCUCCUGCAGAAGUGGUUUCACUUGGGCAGUGUGGAACUAAAAGUGGAAGCACAGGGUGCAACCGAAGAGUUUCCUUCAUCACAGCCAACAAAUAGGGAAGCUUAUGAAUAUGAGACUCUUCUACCAUGUUAUCUCUCCCAACUACACCUUCUAAUUCUUCUUGAACUCUCUUCAUUACCUCUGGCUUCUGCAUCAUUUCCGCCAUCGCAAACUCAACUGUGUUGGAGGAUGUGUCACUUCCACCUGCAAGCAUGUCCUGUUUAUGCUCAUCCAACAAUUUCCAACAGUGUUAGAUACAUUCAAUCUCUUUCAAUUUUUCUUUUCCCAUUGGUAAAAGCUUUAAAAUAGUGACACCAAAAGUUUCAGAAUUUAAAAAGAAAUUCACACCAAACAAAAUUGGAAAGUGAAAUCAAUCAAUGGAAACAAACGUACCAUGAGAAGGGCCUUAACAUGGGUGAUGGAAAGUGGGGUCUUGGAAUCACCCUCUUCCUUCAAAUUCAACAAAAACUGCAGAAAAUCCUUGCUUUCACUCCUCUUCCCCUCCGACUCCAUCUUCACCCGUUCACCGAUCAUCUUCUCAAAUAUUCUAUCAAAACGCGGCACCACCUUAUGCAUCUGUUUCUCCACUCCUUGCAAAUCAAACCGGGCCAACCCGGGAAAGAAAUCCGACAAGUUCGGUUUCCCGAGAAGAGCCGUCAUAUCCGCCACCGCCUCCCUGAACUCCGCCCCCAAGGUCUCCCUCUCCGCCCCUUCCACCGACCCUCCCCACAUCAUGUUCGUAAUCACGUUCAGCACCGUCAGAAAUACCUGCUCCCCCACGUUCACCGGCGACCCGGCCCGGCUCCGCAGGUACCCGACCGUCUUCCGAACCUCGUUGCGGCGGAGAUCGUACACGGAGUCCAGCGUGGUGUUGCUGAGCAUCUUGAGCACGCAAACUUUCCUCAGCAUCCGCCACUCUGGUCCGUACGGGUUCCACACGAUGUCGGCGCCGCCGUAGGUUGCCGCUCUCCCGGCGGCGGGGACAUCACGGUUGGCGAAGACGGUGUCGUGGUCCUUGAGCACGUGACGCGCCAUGGAAGGUGAGGUGACGACGAUUCCAAGCUUGCUCCCAAGCCAGAGCUUGAAAAUGGGGCCAUGGGUACGGGCUAACCCGGCGAAGUAAGUGUGAAGUUCCGGGUCGAGGGAGAGAAGGUUUCCGAAGAUGGGGAGGCCCGGUGGGCCUGGUGGCAGUGGUGGGGUCUGGGCUUUGGGUUUGAGGAAGAAGAGCCAUGUGUACCAAGUGAUGGCUGAAAUGGCUAAGGUUGCUAUGAUCAGGUUUGUGGUGUCACUGUACCAA